AAGGAGUGUACAUCACUUCCCCAAAGCCAUGCAUCACAACCUGCAUCUCUAGCACCCCAUACAUCGUUCCUACGAUCAUCCCCAACAUGUAAGGCAUCCUCAGGUCUCACUCCCAAUAAUUCACAGGCUUUUAGAAAUAUUGUCGGAUUGGGCUUCUCAGCUUCAACCUGUUGGAGAUCAGGUUAGGAAGAACAACUGAAGUAAGUUCAAAUGUACAUGUCAAACAGUCGAAGUAAAGCAGUUGGUAACCAAAUCAAGUCCUAGCGCAUGAAAUACACAAAAAAAAAAAAAAAGAGAAGAGGUAGCAGCAAAAACAUAUACAAGAACAUCAGAAGCAGUGAAAAGAGAUUAAUGAACUCACUUCAGCUGACACUGCUACAGCGUCAAACCAGUGAUCACAAUUCAAAUCCCGCAAAAGAGGUCGUAAUCGAGUGUCGAAGUUUGACACAAUAGCUAUCUUUACACCUGCUUGUCUUAAAGCUUUGAAGACUUUCUCAGCAUCAGGAUCACAAAGGUGCCAAGCCUGCAAGAGAUUUAUCAUUAUCGGCAAAAAUGAUUGUUACAAUAAUAAUAAAAGACAUAAACAAACAGUGGAAUUCCUAGAGGAAAAAGCGGCUGCCAGAAAUUAACCUUGUUAGUCGUAUAGUAGUUGUAGAGUUCUUCAAAAUACUGAGAAUCAGAACAGCCUGUGGAAGAACUGACGAUAUAUUGCCAAAAGGGUUUCCCGUCAUUCACAUAUCUACAGAGUUCCAUAAAAGCAAUUACUUUCAUUACGCCAUUAAUUAAAAAGGAACAGGAGAAGAAUUAAAACAAAAAAACUUUUCGCUCUCUGGAUUAAUCAGACAAAACAAUCCUCAAAAGAUCAAUUAAUGAAUAAAGGAAUCUAGUUAGGAUUAAUGUUAAAUCCUGAAAGUAAAUUUAGUAUGAUAUCAUCUAAAACAGAGUGAAAACCCAUAUUAAUUGGUGAGGACAUAAUCUACCAUUCAAAUUGGAGAUACUACUGCCAUUUGAACUGAUACAAAGAUCCUGGGAAAGGUUUAUUAACCAUUUCCCCUCGGACAAAACAAAAUCCUCAAUGUUAUGCAGCUAGCAAUCAGGAUCUCAAUAGAUCAUUAACGAGUAAGCAAUUUCUCCAAUAAAAAAGAAUUGAAGAAAAAGGAAGGUAUUUCUAAGCCUGGUUUGCCACUAUUAAAGAUAUUUAGACCAAUUUAAUCUUCGGACUGACCAAGAAAACACAAACCAUGACAAUCAAUUUUGAUUAAUAUUUAUUAAAGGUUUUAAGUCCACUUAAUUCUGACAAAAUAAAUUUACAAAAUAAACUAGGAAACUGGAUGGCCACAACCACAAACAUAAAGCUAGAAUUAUAAUGGUCAAUGACCUAACAGUGUGAAAAAAAAUUCGUUAAAUACACAAUAAUUUCCUUGAAACUAUGCCAAUUAAGCCCAAAUAAUUUUACACUAAACUACAAAACCCAAAUAGCACAUGCACUUUGAUGAACAGCUAAUCACCUAAAAGACAUCUAAUUUCUUCUUAAUUAUACGUUCGAUUUGAUCUAGUCAACAACGGUCUUUUGUCAAUGAGGGUAAUGCAUGGGACUCUUCAUUCACAGAAAACAAGGUCUCCAGAUCGAGACCACAACAUUAAGAGUAAUAAAACCAAAAUUAAUCAUAAUAAACUGAAAUUCGAAGAAAGUCGACCUGAGGCGAGAUCUACCCCAAGGCUUCUCAUACGCUCUUCUAUAUCUAUUGAGAAUCUCCCCUUCCGAGUAGUUCACUCCAUACUUCUCACCUAUUUCCCUAUAUAUCUGCGACAAAACACAUCGUAAGUUCGUAACCAUUUAACACAGAAAAAACAGAAAUAAACGAAUUAAGACUUUGAAGAGAGAGAAAGAGAGGGAGACCUGAGCCAUAGGCUGAGAAGGAACAACAAGAGUCCCAACCGCAUCAACGAGCAAAGCCUUAUGAGUGAUAUCGCCAUAGAGAGACCUCCGGUAAUCCUCAUAAUCCUUAACGCCCAAGAUUUCAAACCCGAUACCACUAGAACCUAGGGUUUCGGGUUCCACGGAAGCAACAGCAGAGGAAGCAAAUGAAGACCCGAAUCCUCCAAACGGAAGGAGGCGAGCAGCCGCCUGGACGCCAUUAGAAGGAAAUGGAGGUCGUGAAAGCAAAGUAUUAGGAGAGAAAGUGGAGAGAAUCCUUGAGAUUUUGGUUCUAGUAGAAAUUAGCGCCAUUGUCGAACUUCAUUUGAGUGCAAGCUUUUUCACAGAGAGCUUCUUCUUCUUCUUCGCAAUUCCCUUUGGCAAUAAAAUGGAAAGUGCUUUUGGAGUGUCUUCAAAUAGAGGCUCUGCCAGUGCCAUAGAAGGAAAACUUUGAUCCUUUUUAUUCGGUGUUUCCAAAUUUGCCCUUUAACUUUAGUUUUACUGACGAUAAUACCCCCUUUGAUUCUUAUUCUUAAGCCGUUAUGGACACUUGAUAAGUGGGGGAUAUUAUAUGUCAUAUGUGACAUCUUAGCAUCAAAUUGAAUCAUUCAAUUUAAUCCCACUUUAUUGUAUAAUAAUACAUUCACAAAUUUAUCAUUCAUAAACACUAGAACUCUAUCUAUAUUUAUAAUAAUUCAUGCAUUAAAAUAUGUAUGCUUUUUAAUUAUACACCGUGGUUAUAAAGUAAUAGCAAGGACUUAAUAAACUAUAGAAAAGUGGGGUAGUCAUAGACAUAUAAAAAAUAUCUUUGUAAUUACUUUAAUAUGCUUAUUUAAUAAUUGGUUUUGGUUAUAAAAAAAUAAUUGACUUUGUCUACUUAAAGGACAUUUUUGGGUAAUGUUAUUAGGUAAAGAAUUGAUUUAAAGGUGACAAAAAUUGAAAAUAAAAAGAAAAUUAAGAAACGAAGGUUGGCCACAAGAUAUUAAAAUGGGUCCAUGAUGUACUUUGGCACAUCUCAAGAUUCUUCCAUGUCUCACACAAUGUUACGCUUACCUCCACACAAAAUUAUUAAAUAGUUCAAACGUAUAAUUAUAUUUAUACCCUCCAACUUUUGAACUUCUAUUUUCAUUCUUUAAAUAAUGACCACAUUUUUUAAAUUCUUCAAAGUUAUGUUUCAUACAUUUAUCUUGCCAUUUUUUUCCAGAAAAAUAAAUUGGAACUCAAAUAAUGUACUAUUUAUAUUCUUAAAAAGCUUGUGGGAAACUAUAUGAUUUUUUUUCGAAAAUUAAAUCAUUAUAAAACAAAAUCAAGUUAAAAUUCCUAAUUUUGAUUUUGAAGACUGUUCCAUAUCUAUUUACUUUCAAUUUUUUAAAAUUAAAUUUGUAUUCUUAAUUUUUUUAACCAUGACUUGCAUGAGACCUAUAAAACAAAUUAGAUUUAGAAAUAAGCAAAUAAUAACAAUAAUAAUAAUAAUUUAAACGAUACCAAAAUAUGAAAAAUUAAAUGUGUUUCACUACUGAUAUAUAUUUAGAAUCAUAAAACAAGUUAAAGUUUAGAUAAAUAUUUUAUACUUACAAAGAAAAAGAAUAAAAAUGAAAUUUGGAUUAAAAACUUUGUUAGGUUAGAUUCAUUUGGACUAAUGUAAAUGCUUUUACUUGAGUGGAGUAAUAAUUAAAAACUUUUAUUUAUAUAUAUUUGAACGUGUGUAUUUUGUAUAGAUCUAACAACUCGAAGUUACCAAAAACAACCUCAUUCUUUAUGCUUUAUGCAUGCAGAUAAAACUAAAUAAAUAGUAAUACUAAUAGCAACUGCCUUCUAAAAUCGUAUUUUAAAAAUUGAUAGAGUAAGUUGGAUGUGUUUAAUAUUUGGAGUCAAAUUGAAGAUGACUUUGGAGAAGGAAAAUUGAAAAUUUAAAGAUAGAGAAAAGGUAAAGAUUCUAUUGAAGCUUGAAAGAGACAAAAGGAUAGAAGAUGGAGGCUUUUCAUUCUCCCAUUCCUAUUGAGUAUUGAUUGUAUGAAAGUCUCAUUCAAUGAAGAAAUGGGGAGGGUAGCUUUGUAAUUAUUGCAAAAAUCUUAUCCUUUAAGUUAAUUUUUCUGCCAGCUGUUGAACGCGACACAUCAAACUCAUUGACGUGGCACCCCAUGUAGGUUGUUGUAUCCCACGUCAUCAUUAUUUCCCCCUAUUUACUACCCAUACUUUUUAGCAUUAUUAUAUAUUCUCGUUCUACACUACUAAUUAUAUUAUGAGUUUCCUUCUUCUUUAAAAAAAUAAUAAUAAUAAUUGUUACAAAAUUUGAUAUAUAAAGUAUUAAUCGAAAACACUAUAUUUUAAUCAAAUUUACAAAGUUCUACAAUUUACAAUAUUAAUAAAAAGAUUCCUUACUGUCUCUCCAUCCAUGUGAGUUCGUCAAAAUUUUUGAAUUAAGAAUUUGGGGAGUAUGCAUAAAAUAAGUACACAUGCAUAUGUAUAUGAAAAUUGUUGAAAACAUCGUUAUCUUUAAAGAUAUUUCUCACUACAAUAUUAUAAUUUUUCGUGUCAUAUAUAUAUUGACUUUCUAUCUUAGAAAGGAUUUAAAUAAUAAAUACUGAUUUUUUUAAUAUAAUAAUCUAUUAUUUGAUUUCUAACGAUAUUGUGACUAGCAAAUAUUAUCUAAUUUAGAUUUGAAUAUGAGUAAUAGAGUUUAUUAAAAGUAGAUUUUGAUUGUGAAUUGUAAUUCUUUUUAAAAUGUUGUUAUACAAUACUUAAUUAUAAGUUGCUAUAAUUUAAAAUUAAUGGUGAUUAUGAUUUAGUUGUUCAAUUUUACUAGACAAAUGAUUAUAUAUUUUGGAGAAAUAUUUUUGGUGUGAGAAAUUAAAAUAUUAGGUUUUAUAGUAUGAUGGGGUGAGCGGAUGGGUAUAGAAAGAUUAAAAAAAAAAGUGGUUGCCGUCUGUGUGGCCGUUACCUCGUAAAAAGUAGACUCAUAUGUUUGGGUCUUUCCUAACGCAUUUAAGAUGGAAAAUGACAACCAUAACUUAUAUCCUCAAUCCCUCUUUACUAAAACUUUUUUUUCUUUUUGUUUUCCUUUUGAAAAUAAAUAAAUAUAGACUUUAGUAACUACUUGUUUUUAUUUUAUGAUUUAUAAUAAUUUACGCAUUCAACUACAUUCAUUCAAUUCUUAGUUAAAUUUUAAAAUAAUAAUAAUUUUUUAAAAACUAAUCGUUUUAGUUUUUUUGAUCUAUUGAUUGAAAGUUAGAGAUAGAAAUAAUGUUUAUAAAUUUAAUUUUUCGAAAGAAAACUAAAAUCAAAAUAAUUACGGAACAUGUCUAAUUUUUAUGGGUACUUUACUUAUACUUUUUUUUGUUUAAUUUAUUAGUGACAAUGUUAUUACUUUGGUUUUUAUGACCAACAAAAUUGCCAAAAUUAUAUAGUUAUUUUGCUUUCAACUUUAAUUUAAAAUUAAUGUCCUUGAUGCAUUUAAAAAAAUUAAUGCCAUGCUUGAGUUUAAAGAGAGCUACAAAAAUUAAUGGAGAUUGUGUGAUUCAUAUAUGUAAUGAAAGAAAUCUAAGGCUAUAAAUGCAUGGUUGAGAAAGUUUUUUUUACAAAAUUAUGAUUAUCAUCUAUACCAAUCAAAUUAACGUUCAUUUCUAUAGAAAUUAAAUUUAGUGUAAAUUAUUUAACUUGGAGCAAAAUCCUAUUUCAAAUUGACUAGAAAAACAUGCAUAAUAGAUAUUUAUGAUGUCUAUCAUAAAUAAAUUAAAGUAGUCUAUCAAUGUCUAUAACUAUAUAGACAGUAACAUUUUGUUAUAUUUAUUAAUAAGCUGGUUUAUAGAAUCGUUACUCUCUCAACUGUACUCAAAAUAAAAUAAAACGAUAAAUUAUAGCGAAAUGAUAUAUAUAUAACUUCAUCUUAUUUUUCCUUUUCGUAGAAAAAGGGGAAAGUAUUUAAUAUAUAGACAAACUUUUACGGGUGAAUCUUUUGUCAUUGUCAAUGUAUUAAAAGGGUGUGGUUUCAAUUCUAUAAAAAUAUUUAUUUCUAUCUAUUUAAUAAUAAAAUUAUAACGAAACAAAUUUUUAAAAUAAAAAAUCUACUCAAAAUACUUACAAAAAGUUUCAUAUUCUAUCGAUGAUAGACAUUUAAGUAUUGUUACUGUCUAGUAUUGAUAAAAUCUAAAAAAAGUGUUAUAUUUGAUAAAUAUUUUAGUUUAUUUGUCUGUAUUUCAGUUAUGAAAUGAACAUUAAAGUUUUGAUUCAAAAUUCAAAUUUGAUACCUAAUAACUCCAACUUUCCUUUACGACCUAACCAUGCUAUCUUCUUCUUUAUGAAGUGGUUCUAAAAAUAAAUACAUCUCCACGAACCACCACGAUUUAAUGAAAUUCUAGGAGGGAUUAUUUCUCACAUACAAACCUCCAAGCUAAGCACACUUUACUUUUAAAUUUUAUAGUUUCUUUUAUUAUCUAGCUGUGAUCUCUGUUCAUUUAACGUAUUAUUUUUUAUAAACUUGAGUGUUACAAUAAAUGUUAUCGUUGAUGCUUCUAUUUAUAGGGUUAUUUUUUAACAAAUUAUAUGAAAAUUAUAUAUUUCUUCUAUAUAUGUAUACUUCAUAAAUCUACCCAAUAUAUUAAAAAUUAUAUUAAUUGAUAUUAAUAUCAGUGUGGAAGAAGUCUUCAAAAUACCAUCAUUGCUAUAGAUCAUAUUUAUUAUUCAUUUGGGUGUUUAGGGAUAAACCAUAGCCACCACAAUUAGCCAUGAUCUCUUCUUUUUGUUUAAACUCCUUUCCCAUUUAGUUUUCUAUGUAAUCACUUACAUAAAUUUGGGAUUAUUUAUGUGUGUAAGAAACAAUUAAUUGAAUGUAACGUAUUUAUUUAUCAACUCAAAGUAUGGUCUUUGUGAUUCUUUAAAGAAAAAUAUUCUUAUCAUCCUCCACAUCCACAUUUCAUAUUAAUAAUCUUAAAUUUCUAUUGGACAAACUACAAAUCUCUUCAUGGAAAAAGAAAAUUUUGUAGAUAUCGUUAAGAAAAGUUUAGUCCAAUUCUAUUAAUUAAUUUUAACGUAUACUUCGAAUAAAGUGUUACAAAUAGUUUUUAAGAUGAAUUUUAAAUAAUUUAAAUUUAAGAAAAAAAAACAUUUUUCUUCAUGAAUCAAUAUAAAUGGAGCCUAAAUUAAUUUAGCACGUUAAAGUUUAUUGUUUAAAAAGUUAAGAUCAAUAUAAUUUAACUAAGUCAAGGCUCUAAUUCCUAUCUUAAAUGAUAUUUUAAAAAAAUAAUUAAUCAUUUAAAUUAUUAAAAAUGUGUUUAGCAUGCAUAUAACCUAAUACUAAGAAGGGAAGAUUUUGUAGUUUUUGUUAGAAAAAAUGAAUAAUUAAUUAAAAAAUAUAUGGAACCAUUAAAUAUAAGAAAAUUAUUUUAAAAAUAAUUAUAAAUAUAAUAAGGUAUUACAAUCUAUUUGUGAUAGAUCGUGAUAGACUCAACAAUCUACUAUCGUUGAUAUUUCAGAUUUGUUUUUCUUUUUGUCUUUCUUCUGCCAUUUUUUUUCUUCUUCUUCCAUUUUUCUUUUAUAUUCUUUUAAACGGUUAUUUGAUUCAAGAUCGUGUACCAAAUAUAAAAGAUCUAUUUGUUUGGUUCAAGAUCGUUGAUCAAAUAUAAAGAAUCUUGAAAAAAAAUUCGUAUAGAUUUUGGUAGUCAAAUUUAAACGAUCAAAUAUCUAAACGAACCAAAUAUGAACAAUCUGAUCAAACCUAAACGAUCGUGUACCAAAAAAUCUUUCAAAUUUGUCUAUCCAAUUUAAACAAUUUCCAAAGUUAAACGAUAAAAAAAUAGCCAAAUCUAAAUGACCAUGUACCGAAAAAUAACUAAAUUUAAAUAAUCGUGUAGCAAAGAACGUUGAAAAAAAUCGUUUAGAUUUGGCUGCCCAAAUCUAAAGGAUCUCACGUAGAAAAGAACAGUCAAAUCUAAACAUUGUUUUCCAAAUAUAUUACGCGUGUUGGAUGACUAUUAAUUACGGACAAUUUUUUUGUAUUUUUGAUUAUGUGUGUAUGUAGUUUUUUAAAUUGUUGAAUAAUGUAAGACACUUUAGUUAAUCUUAAAUUUAGUCCCAUGAGAAUUUUUACCUUUUGGAUAAAAAGACAUUUCAAGAAGACAAAUUUAGCCUUAGUAUGAGCACUUAUGAUGAUUCUCAUUUUAUGAUUAAAGAUGAAUAGACAGUGAAGUGUGAGCAAUUUGAAAAUGGAAAACACCGGCAAAUAAAAUGUGGCCAUGGGAUUCAAAAUUGAAAGAUUAGAAGGACGAAAUAGGAAAUGACAGAGCAAAAUAUGUGGCUAAGGGAAGAAGGAAGAAGCAAUUAAGCAUUCACUAUUCUCUUCAUUCAAAAACACUUUGAUAAAUGUGACCAAGAAGCAACACAAAAUUGACCCUUCAACAAAUUAAAUGGGCCUCAAAUGUUUUAUGUGCACAAAUUCAAACGACCCCACUUUUUCCUUUCAAAUAAACUCAACAAAGGAAGUGAGGUGAGGUUUUUGAGAUAAAGAUACUCAUACAUUUGUGACCACAUAUAUCUAUCUAUAACUUUUCCUUUCGUUUACAUAAAUCCCUUUUCCACUCUCAUUUUAAUAUACUACGUUUUGUCGGAAUUGGUUGAAGAAUAGGUUUGUAAGUGAUUUUGAAAUUGUUAUUUAUGUUCAAAUUGCUCAUAUGAUAUGUUUACAAUCACUUGAAAAAUCAACGUGAUGUUUGUUUAUACGCUUUGAAGCAUGAUUAUGUGACAAAACUCAUUAGUGUAUGAGCAAGAUAAAAAUUAAAGGCAUGUUUGUUAAAUUUAAAAUCCCUUCAAAAUACGUCUUUAGUAAUUAAAAUUAACGGUAUACUUCUUAUAUCAUCAAAUUGAUUUUGAAUGUAUGUUAUAAAUAACUUAAUUAAUUUAAAAUCACUUCCCAAACUCACUUAGUCAUGAUUAAUAUGAAUCGAAAUAGUUUUAACCUAUUCUACAUGUAAAAGUUAUAAAACUUGGAUUGAAAGCAAAAGACAGUUGGAGAGUAAAGUCAUGAUAGAGAUAAAUGAAAGUAGAAAGCAGCUAAACUUUAGAUGAAUCGGUCAAAAGGAUCACUAAUAUUCAAUAAGGAUUUUAUUGAAAUAUGUUUUAUUAAUAAUCAUGGUGAAAUUAUGAUUACCAAAAGAUCAAGAUAACCUUUAUAUAGGUAGCUACUUUUGUAACGAUCUAUAACCUUUUUCUGCAACCUUGUAAUCUAACUACGUCAUAUGUCCGUGUCUUGAAUCAAACUAAUAUAAGUUCUUUUAGGAUGCAUGUGAAAGUUGCUCCAAUAAACCAACUUGGUUAUUUCAACAUGUUUUGUUCUUACUCACAUGCAUCCAGGGCAAAUUUCCAAGAGGUCACCAAACUAAGAUCGCUCUACACUAAGCACACUUAACCUUGAAGUUCCUAUGAUGAGUCGAAUGUACACCUUGUUAGUAUAGAUAGUAACUUUUAUGUCUUCAUAAUCCCUUUCAUUCAGAUGCGAUAUUAGUCCAUUCAUGUCAUCCUCCUAAAUUCAAGGUAAUACAAUUUUUUUAAUUGUACAAUUGAGAUAGAGGGGUUUGAAACACACUCGUGAUGAUGUUACUAACAAACUCGUAGGUCAAUAUAGAUUUGGUAUUUAGGAGACUACUUUAUUGAUUAUACUUUGUUGUUAUUUUCAUGUUGAUGAAUUUGGUGGGAUGAGAACCACAAGCAACAACCCAAAAACACAGCUACAAUACUAUUUUUUCCUUAAGCCAAAUGCUUUGACAUUGUCGAUGUUUGUUUAGGGACCAUGGGAAUUAUUUUCUAUACUCGUUAAUUUUGACUCUCACAGGUAUAUUCAUAUUGAGUUGUGAUCUUGUGAUACUUUUAACUUAUGGUGGAGAAGCUAGUCAAUAUAAAUUCUCAACCAUAUACAACAUGUGAUUGAGAUUCAUUCAAACAAGCAAGUAAUCAACAUGUUAUUAAUUGAAUCUAUCGAUAUGCUAUAGUGUGAAUUUAAAUAGUACAGACUAUAGUAAUAGUAUGGUCUCUAAAGGAUGUCUCAUUUUUAUGAUUUUUAGUAAAAACAAAUACAUACAAUUUUGUUAACAAAUCAACCUUUCAUUACAUCUCUCACGCCAUUUUCACUUUAAGGAAUGAGAAUCAAAAUUUUCCUUCUUAUUGAUUAUGUUUAUUAAAAUGCAGAAAUUGAAUCAAUUGGUGAGAUCUGACACUAAUUUUAGAAUUUCUACCAAUGAAAAGGAUAUGUUAUCUUACUCAAAUUUUAUCAAUUCUAAUACUCAUUUCUUGUUUCUUGAGUUCUACCAUAUUGCUAUUGAUUACUUCACGUUCUUACCCUUUCUUUCUUAUCCAUAAAUAAGACUACGCUUUUUAGUUCUUUUCUAACAGGGCUUCCAUUUUUGUUUGAAGAAACCACUGAUAUAUUGUCAUAAGCUGUUUAAGUGGUUAAGAGGAUGGUGUUUGAUAGCUCAUAAUUGGGUAAGCUGUUUAAGUGGUUUGGUACCUUGAGAGGGUGUUUGAUGCCUCAUAAUUAAUUGAAUGUGUUUGCAAUGUAAUUCAAAAUCCAUGUUUGAUACAAAAUUUAUUCAAUUUCAACAGUUCAUACAUCCCCUGAUGCAAAAAGAUAGGCAGUGAUUCUCAUUGUGAACAUAACAAUGUGCAAGAUAACUAUCAAGACACUAGUGAUUCUCAUGAUUAAUCGAGUUUACAUAAUGUUUUCUUUUUUCAUUAGUUUUUUUUAUGAUAUAACAAAAUUGUUUGGUUCACACCUUAUGACAGAGACAUCAACAGAUCAACCAAAAUUUAAUACCAUAGUAGUUGUAGUACAACAAAUGCUCAUACGCAUCUCUACAACCAGAAGCAGGGAGAAGCACUUUUUUCAUCUUUAGGGGAUACAUUAACUUGACGUAAAAAGAAAAGCAAAUAAUUGUAGAAAGGAGGGGCAACAAAAAGAAACAGAUCCUAAAGCCAAAAGAAAUUUACAUGAUACCAAGGCCUCCUAAUAUUUUCUUUUAAUUUAAUCUUCUCUUGGGGAAAGUUGGUUGGUGGUGGAGGGGAAAAACCUCUUCAAGAAUUUUGUUUUUUUCUUUUGUCCAUCAUUGUAAGUCCCACAAUCACAUCCUUGGCGCUGCAUUCACAAUAAAUUUAAAAAUUAAAACAGAUGUCCAAUAUUAUUAACUCAAAAUAAUUUUCAUGGGAAUUCUUCCUUUUGCAAAUUUCAAAAGAAUUUACUUAAUAGUUGAAAUGUCAAAAUUAAUGAACACUUGUGUAAUGUGACCAAUUAUUUGAUCUAAGUUUUGUUCAGAAUGGAGCAAACUACAAGCCCACAAAAACGGAGCUAACUAGAGAAACUAGAAAAGAGGCUCUCUCCAAUAAUUUCAUCACACAGAAUGCAACGAAAGACUAAACAUCUUCCAGACCCUAUCAACAAGUUUUAUUAUUCCUCUCCAAAUUCCCCACAAAACUCACUAGGUGGGAAGUUUUGGCAAUAGGAACCCAAAGAGAAACUGUAACUUAUCCCAUGCCAACAACUUAUUCUAGAAACUAUAAUCUUGUUUCUCCCUAUCCAAGUGCCAAUGUGCCAUUAGUUGAAUAAACCUAUUGCCAAGAAAUUCCAGCUUUCUUCACUAAGCUUGGAGAUACCGAGGCCACAAUAUCCCACUAAAAUGGAAGAUGGACAAAAGUAAGGUGCUUUCUAUAACAAGGUCAAAAGGCCAAAUGAUUCCCUAGAAGUAUAUCUCAUGAAAAGCAUAAUGAAUAAAAAGAUGGUGGUAACAUUCUUUUGCUCUCUCAGAGAGUGUCCAUUCAUCUUCACCACCACAUUAGAAAAAAGAUAAAUCAAAGGACACCUUUUAUGAAUUCAAUCCUUGGGUUGAAUGACCUAACAAGAAGUUAAAUAAAAUUGUUUGUUAUAUGGAUUAGACAUGUUGUAGCCUACCUCCUCCAAUUGUUGCCUCAGGCAACCGCUCAAUCGAAUACUGAUGCCGAGUUAUAUACAUGAUGGGUACGCCAGGAACCUGCAAGAAAAUAGGCGAGUUACUACAUCUAAAUCCAACAUUGUGUGUUCCCAACUAUUAUGAUCCGAUUAUACCUUGCGAAUUCUACGCUUCAAAUCUCUAUCACAAGUAGCAACGAUAUAACACUUAUGCUGCACAAAAAGAAAGCUUCUGUUAAAAAUAAUAAAAUAAUAAAAAACAGGGUGAAAAGGCAGGAUAUAGAUCACCAUCUCUACUUCAACUUUACAACUCAUUCAUCCUUUUUUUUUCUUAUAAUCUUUAUCUGAUAGAACGUGAGAGCCUGGUUCCCCAUUCCUCCAAUAACUUAAUACAUUGUUUUUUUUAUCCUAGUUCAAUAUAUACAAAUAUAAUAAACCAUACCAUUGUUGAGAAAUGUGGAAUUAUUUUGGUUUGAGCUGUGUUAGUGGAUCACAAGAGGUUUGACGGAUGCUUCUAUUAUUUUAACCCUUUAAAGUUCUUCCCAAAUAUUCUGGUUCCAGUCACUCACUCAAAGAUUUAAGGACUACUUAGGAGACAUAUUUUUUCAACAACAAGCUGCUUGGCAAUUUGCUCUCUCUUGGUGUUCUCCUCCAAUCCAUUUUGAAGUUUUUAGUUUGCAACCUUCAGCUGUUUUUGGGCUUCUUGUGGAAAAACUUUUAAGUUUUUUUUUGUUCUUAUUGUUCUUCUGUUUUGCUCAGGGUUUCGCUUGUGUUGUUUUUGUUUGUUCAAUUCGUCUGUACUUUUAUUUGUGAUCACUCUUUUCGCUCUUAGUAUAAUUCUCAUGUACUUUGACGAUUAGUCUCUUUUAUUAGUACAUUUAAUAAAGAGGCUCAUAUCCGUUUCAAGAAAAAGUGAUCCAUUAUCCAGAUUUGAGCAUAUAUUGAAGAAAAAUUAACUAAACAAAGCUCAAAAUAGAACGCUCCAAAAUUACAAGUUGCCCCCAACUUUACCUUACAUAUAAGGAAUAAGGAAUAUAUUUCUUUUAAGUAUUAAGAAUGUCAACCAUCUAAAACAUAGUUAUCUAGAUAAAUGUAUUAGAGUUAUCUAGAUAAAUCAUAAAUGUAUUGGAAAUUAAAUAUGAAGUUGGAACAACUGUGAUCAGGUCAACGAACAUCAUAAUAAGUAAGAAGCCUUCAGUUCUCACCUGAGUCACCCUUUCAACAAGGCAAUCAUCAGCAUAGGUUCCUUUAUGAGUACAGGGUAGUCUCUCAAAACGUGGGUCCUUAGCUAUUCUGCUCAAGCCCAAAAAAUAGUAAAUAAUACCAACUUGAGAGAUGCAAAAGAAUGAAACAAGCAGUAAUCUUUAAAAAAUAUACAGAUCUAAAGAACAAGGAAAAACCAAGAAUAUGGUAUUGUGGAGUCAUAUCCCCAUGAAAUUAAAUUAAAAGCUUCUAUUAUUUCUUUCCAAUCCUAAUAUUCAACUUUUCAUAACCUUUACUCGACUAUUUGAAUAAUGCUUUGCUGGCAUUCCAAAUUAUUUUGAGUGGUUGAAUUUCCCCUUCACAACAAAAUUGAAGAUGGACAAGAAAAGAAAAAUACAAAAUCGUGCAUAGAUAAUUCAUCUUCUGAAAGACAAAUGAAACAUAAAUUUACCUCAGAGCAACGCGAUACUUCUGACCUAAUCGCUCAAGCUCAGCCAUCACGCAGUCUGUUAUACAAGGAGUGCCUAAAACAUGAUCACAAAUAAGUAUCCAUGUCCACAAAGAAUACCACUUCUCGAAUACUGAAUUCUAAUACAUUUUCUGUCAAUGUACGACUUACAUUUAGCAUAUAGACAGUCCAUCAUUCCCUUCUCCAAGUCCAACUGCAAUUAGAAAGGAGAGAAAAAACCACUUCAAUCAUCAAGUAGAAAGAAAUUAUAUCCUUAAUUUUACCUGCAUGAUGUAGUGCUCUCAUCAUAUGAAAUUUGACGAGAGAAAAUCCACUAGUUUACAAAAAAAAAAAUACAUAUAUUUUUCAAAUUAUCCACAAACAUAUUCAUAACAAAAUGGACUUUACAUUUCCAGAGGAAUCACACAGUGAUAAUAUACUAUAUUCUCAUUAAAAAUGUAAAGCACUCACCUUGUUUUGAAUGGAGAAAUUGAUGAAAUUUGUAUCCACCAAAACCCGAUAAGGUGGCCCCAAUGCAGUGUUGUACUUGAAGAAAAGUGCCGAAGGAACAUUUGGACUGAAUUAACAGAAAUAUAAGUAUUCAUUUGUCACAGACAACACCAACAGUAGAAAACAAUUCUUAUGCCCAGACAACAAAGUUAGAAAAUGUUGAUUUGUUAUGGAAAGAUAAAGUAGAAAAUAGUCAGCUCAAGAAGUUCCUUACACAUUUCUUGGGAGGUUUUCUUUUGUUAGAUCUUUUCUCUUUGGAUUCAAGACCUCUUCCUUGUAGCUAAGAUAAGUAACAAAACAAAAUAAACAUAAGCAAAUAAGAUUUUAAAGAAAAGUUAGAUAAAGCUGACAAUUGAAAAGAAACAACAGAAGGUAUACUUUUUAAUCGCUUUGGAGGUGACCAUCUUCUUCAUGACUGCAAAUUUGGGUCCUUUCUUGGCCCUCCCCAUCUCGUUGAUUGAAGGGUAAAAAAUUGAAGUUGUGCUUUCUCAGAUGCAAUUUCAAUGCUUUAAAUCUUAAAAGAGAACUUGCUCACUAUCUGCAACAUUGGUAACGAGGAAACAACUUACAAUCAUUUAUAUGAAUCCCAAAAUCUCAACAGCACAAUCAAAAAGUAAUAUAUUUGCACCAUUUUCCACAUAACUCGUGCAUAUCAUACAUGUUAACACAUAUGACAUAUUGAGUUCAAAUAUAAAAAUAUUGACGAUAAAGUAACGUGAAAAAGACUAAAUUUCUUUCAAGCACUCAACAGAUGCGUCCCUUGUUUCAAAAGAGGAUACCGAAGCUAAACAGUGGUAACUCUAAGGAUUCCCAAGAGGGGGAAACAGUGAUGGCUCCUACAUUACCCAUGUACUCAAUUUCUCCAUAAAAAUCUUUUUUGUUCCUCCACAAUAUUUCCAUGAAACUUAAAUUAAAUCCUUCCAAUUUUUAACAUAUGCCCAUUUUACCAUAAUAUUUUCUACAAUUUCAACAACAACAAAAAAUCCCUUCACUCCAAUUAUAACCUUCAGAUAAUACAAGUAUAAACAAGGGUGAAGUUGUUUGGUAAAUCAAAAUUGCUCCUACAAGUUAAGGAUUAAAAGAGGAUUUCAUAACAGGAUAGACUAUUCAGACUAGUCCUCUGAUAAAUAAAGAAGGGAGAUGCUAGAAAAUUCAUGGUCGGAGAAACAAGGCAAUUUCCAGCAGAAAAAAACGAGACGUUCAGACUAUCAAAGCCUUAAUAGAAAGACAUAGGCAACAAAUCAAUAGACGAAAGAUUAGGAAAUCAGGGAAAACCUGCUGGAGAGAGGCUGGGACGACACGAGCAGAGGAAAGACGGCGACGGAAACGGCGGCAGUAGCACUGAACGGGAGAGAGGGGGCGGCGACAAUGAGCUGCUGAAAGAGAGGAAGAGACGGAGUGAAGAAGAAGAAGAAGGAGGUGUGGUGGAGCACGUGAGAGUAAAGGACGAUGAUGGAGGUUAGGGUUUUGCCACUUUCUAUUGUUAUAUUUAUUAUCUUAUUACUUUUUAAAUUAUUUUAAGUAUCAAAUCUUCUCUAAUAUUUACAAAAUAAUAAAAUAUCACAAUUUAGAUUAAUCGGUCAUUAUUAGUAAUAUGAUAAUUUGUUUUAUUUUAUAAUUUUCUUUUAUUUCAAAAUAGUCCUUAUUUUUAUUUAUUCAAACCUAUUACAAUUCAUUUGAUGGAUAUAAUUUGUGUUUAAGUUUUAAAAUAUUAAGUAUUACUCCUAUUUACAUUUUUACUAUUGAUUCUUUUUAUUGCAUAUCUUUGAUGUUGAUUAAUUUAAAAGAAUUAUACUUAAUUAACUUCUCAUUAUCCUUAAUUUUGUCAUUCAUAAUCAAUUCAAAGGGGAUAGUUUUUUUUUUUUUUUUUUUUUUAUCUAUUUCAUUUGUGAAGCUUGCUUUCUUUCAUGUUGAGAAUCCAAUUGAUCUUAAUUAUAAUAAUAAAAUAUAUAUACAUACACCAUUUGGAUAAUCAUUAUUCUUUUAUAAUUAUUGUUAUUCAAAUUUGAAAGUUAAUGAUUUGAUUUAAUCUCAUUAUAGUUGAACUAUAAAAUUACUACCAAUCUCAAAUAACGUAUUUAUAAAAAGAAUACAUAUAAAACCACUUGAAUUUCGUUUGUAAAACAAAUGAUUGCUUGGAUGCAUCUUCAGGUGUUGCAUUUGCUCAUUAAAAUUGCUCUUCUUCCGUCGAUCAAGAGUCCCUCGUUUUUCUAGACUUUUUUUUUCUUUGUAAUAUUUGUGUCAAAUGUUAAAUGAUAACUUUGACUUAGAUGAUUGAUAUUAUUUGAUAGUCUUUCAACUCUUCUUAAUUAUUACUGCAGAUAAAUGAUAACUAAAACUAAAAUCAAAGUAUAUAAGUAAAAGGUAUGUUUAUAUAAUAAUUCAUUCAAUACAAAUGUCCGUUAUGACAAUACACUUUAUUCAAAUGGUGAUAGACAAUAUCAUUGUUUCAUAAUUUAAAUUUGUUUCUUCUAAAAUCUAAUUAUGUUUAUAUAUGUAUAGGCACAUAAUUAUUUUAUAAAAUUAUGAAUGUUAUUACUGAUAUAAAAAAAAUCUAUUAUAUACUUCAUUUAUAAUUAAAAGUUUGUAUAAUAAACGGUGUUGUGAAUUUCUAAGAAUUAGUCCGAAUAUUUUAAGUCCAAAUCUACCUCUUUACAACAACAAUAAUAGAAAAUCAUCAUGUUAUGACUUAUGACUCCCCAAAAUGGAAAGUUGGAAACUUUCUUUUAUUCAAAUGGUUGGUUAAUGUCAAAAAAUAAAAUUAAUUUUUAAAAGGAUGGAAACAAUCGAACAUCCUCAAAUUUUUAUUUUUAUAAGUGUAUGAUACGUCAAUUACCUUUGAUCAGCUACAACCUCUACAUUAUUUAUUGAAACAGAAAAAUAGAGAAAAGGAAGAAAAUUUUGGCAAUGUAAAACUUUCUUUUUAAAAAAAGUUCAACAAACUGAAGUGUUGGAAACUCUUAUAUACCUUAGUUAAUUAACUUGUAAUUGUUGAACUAUACCCAAAUUGACGGUUAAAUUUAAAAGAUGGAAUGAAUCGUUAUUGUUUAAUUAUUUUUUUGUUCACAUCUUAAUCUUAGCAGCAAAAGGAGUAUUAAUAGAGCCAAUCCAAACAACACCAUCCUCUCUUUCUUCCACUUCAGAAAAAGACUUCCAUUUCAAAUCUCCUUUGCCUUCAAUAAUCUCCAUUACUUCACCUUCUUCACUAACUCUCAUUCCAAUCCCACCAUUCUUUAUCCAUUUUCCUAAAAAUGAAUGCACUUUAUCUAUAUCCAAAGGUAGCUUCAAUAGCACCUUCCCUAUCCAAGGUUGAGAUAAUAUCAACCUCAACGAUCCCCGUUUUCUCGAGUGAAUUCCAACCCAAAACCCACCUCGACGACUCGCUUUUAUGUUGUCUGGGAAGCCAGGGAGCUCAGCGAUUACGUCGUAGCUCCCGGCUUUUACAGUCUUUAGCCAGUACUUGAGAAUCCUGCACUUGGUCGUCUCGGCGAGUAGAAGGAAGUCGCCGUUUUUGCUCAGUGAAACUCCAUUUGGAAAUGAAAGGUUUGCUAAGAGAAGAGAUAGUUGUUUGGUUUUUGGAUCAUAUUUCAUUAGCCUUCCUGUAUUGUCUCCACUUAAUACCGAAGAUGCAAAGUUCCUGCCAAAAAAACAAAUCUUUGAUGGCUUGGUCAGUGUAUUUGAAUUUUCUAGCCUUUUUUUAUAAAAAAAAAAUGUAUUAAAUUAUUUGUCUGUUUGUUUGUUUUUUUCCAUAAACAAAUAAGGAUGAAAAAACCAUGUAUUUAUAUAAGCUUCAUUUUCACAAACUAAAUGGCUAUUAAACAUAGAACAGGUCUUUGAGCUAAAAGUGCAUGUGUGUGUGAUAUAUAUUACUUAAUUUAAAUCUUGCAUCUACUUGUAAGUCUUUCAAUUUAUUCUAACAUUUUAUAAAAUCACUGUGUAAUAGAUUCGUUAGCUUUUUUAAAAAACAUAUCGUGUAUUUAUCGAGCACAAAAUUAUUCAUAAACACCAAAAUUGGACAUUUAAGGUACAAAAACUAAACUACUUAUACUUCAACAACGACCACUGCAGCCUUCAAAGAAGAUAGGUCGAAUGUUUUGUUUCGAGGACUAGUUUAGAGACUAUGAGACUUGACGUACGAAAGUGAGAGAGAAAGAACUACCUUCUUUGAUAGUGAGAAGAGCUAUCAGUGAAAUAGACAACUCCAGAGAAUUGAUCAAUGUCCAAGCCAUUUGCAAAGGUUAAUGAAUCAAACCCACGAAGUUGAUCCUCUCGCGUCUGAAAAUCAAGCCUUUCGGCCAAACCCCCAUUAGAGCCAACUCGAAGCAAUCCCAUGUAUGCAUCAGCAAUGUACAAUUGAUCGCCAUCGCCACUGUCUUUGAAUUUGAGGCCUAAUGGCCUCCCACAUCUCUCUUCUCUUUCCUCCCUUCUCUCUCUUUCUUCACAACCUGUUCUGUUAUUUUUCAUUUUUAUCAUUUAGUUUUUAAUCAGCCAUUAAAUUACGAAUUCGUAUUCAAAUUACAUUCAAUAAAACCUUCAAAUGAACGACAUAUAAUGAUUGAAAUUAAAUAGAGAAUCCAAACUAAGCAAAAUCAAACAAAUUAUAUAUUCUUGUGCCAAUUAAUAUAUCUAACAAAUAUGUAUUUGCAAUAGUUUAAUUAAUAUAUAAAGGAAAAAGAAUAAUUUUGACGAUUAAAUAUUUUCAUUUCAACCUAAAACUUUCCAUUUUGAUUAAAUUUUGGAAAAUUACACAUAUUAAUAACAAAUUAAGUAAAUGAAAUGUAUAAAUUUAAGAAAUUUCAUAUAAUUAGAACCCAACAAUGUAGCUGGAAAUAUAUCACCACAUAAAAAUGUGUGACGAACCAAGAAAAGUGACAAAACGUAACUUACACGUGGAGAUCAUGCAAAACGAGAGGCCAAAAUCGUAAUAGAAUUUAAUAUUUGUUAUUAAUUUAAUGUAAUUUUGAAUAAGAUGAAGAAAAACAAGUCCUGAAAUAAUCCAACCCUAUUUGUUAAUUUAAUAUUUUUUGUCCAACUAAUCAAAAUCAAAUCAAACAUUAUAUAACAUUAAUAAUGUGAGAUUCCUUUGCUAUUCUUUGAAAAGCUGUUUCUACUUUGACAUCUCAGCCUAAUAAAAAAAUUAAAUUAAACCCAUCCUCUUAAUUCCUAUGAAAUAGUAAUAACAUUUCUAUUUCCAACUCUUUUUCUCCCUUUGGGACAAAAAUUAUCAAUCAUAGAUCUACCAGCAAAGAGCCAACAGCCACAUUUUUUUUCAAAGGUACUAUCACACAUAAUUAUUAGUAUGGAACCAAUAAUAAUUCACUUCAUAAUCUUAUCCUUACAUUAUAGAUUUUAGAAAAAUAGCCUUUCUACCCUAAAGGUUGUAUCAGUGACCAAAUGUUGUAUUAAUUAAAACUUUAAACUAAUACUUUAUAAAUGUUGAUGGAUAAAAAUUGAUGGAAAAUAAUAAUUUAUAUUAGUGAUUAAUUUUAAUUUUGUAUCGUUAAAUUAAUCCAUAUAGAUUGAUGGAUAAAGAUGGAGUAAAAAUAAUAAUUCAUGUCAAUUAAAUAAUUCUCUUAUACGCGUGUAAACUUAUUCAUUUUAUACCACUAGAGUUCGAUCAUGGGUGAAUCUCAAAAGAAAUUCUACCCAAAUGUUUUAAUUGAUUUAAAAACAAAAGUUUAAUUUAUAUAAUUAUAAAUCUCAUACUAAAUAUAUUUCAAUCGAACAUGUAUGGUGUGAAUUGGAAGUUAAAAUGGAAGAAUUCAAACCUAAGCUCAAAUGUGAUAGGUCUAAGUUUUAAUUUUGUUAAUCUAUUGUAUUAGGCUUUUAAAAUUGUUUUGGAACACUCAAAAGUCAAUAAAUAAAAUAAAUUCAAUUAUGACAUUGAUUCAUGUGAGCUAAUAUAGUAUCAAUACUUUUAGUUUUAGAGAAGAACAUAUGAGAGAAAAUUAGAGAUUUUAAAAAGAAAAACAAUGAAAAAAAGGACCAAUGUGUGUUGCCUAAGCAAAAAUAAUAAGAGAAAACUUUUAACAAAAAGAAAAAAAAAACAAAUAUUAAAAAUACUGAUUACAAUUCUAAACAUAAUAAUUUAAAUUUGGACAAGAACAUCAACAAAAUAUAUAUAUACACAAAUAAAAUAAACUCAAACGUGCAUUUGAUUAAAUAAUUAGAAGAAAGAAGAAAAAAAAGCAAAAAAACAGAGAGUUGAAAUUACCUGUUUGAAGAAGUAACGGCGAAAUCAAUCCAGGUUUGUUGUUGGGGCAGCCAUUUGAUAAUUCGGCCGUCGGAGAUGCCGGUGUAAGGUCCGCCGCCAGAACUGUCGAAGGCGAAGCUCUCCGGCCCAACGGCACCGUGAAUCGGCACGUAUUCCGUUUUCCAAUGAUCGAAAGUGGUCUCCGGUGGCAGGGAAAAUCUGGUGAUGUUGAUGGCGAGUAGGGCGAAGAGGGCGGAGAGGGCGGUUGCGUUGAGGCAGAAAUUGAAGUUCAUUGCUCUUGUAAUGAGAGAAAGAGAGAGAGAGAAAAGAAUUUGAGGAGGAGGAGAAGUGUGAGGAUGUGUUUAUUCUGUUUUGAAGGCGGAGCAGUGGCAGUUUUGUAGUUUAGAAAAAACGUUGGGAUUGUGUUUAGCAGUUGGCACGUUUUGUAAUGGGGGUUAUUUUCGUCUUUCGCUUUAACUCUAUCUAUUGUUUUUACAUUCUUUCAUUUCGGGGAUUGGGAAACCCUAUAAACUAUUUGGGGCAUUGAGUUAAAAUAAACUCUCUCAACUUCUAUCUAAAAUUUGCCAACUUCUUUGUACUUAAUUUAUAUGUUUGUAUUUGAGAAUUUUCAUUAGCUAAUAACAAUAAAUAAAUCGAUACAAAAAAAACAGCUUGUAACUUUUUUUAUACAUUGUAAAUUUGAUUUGAUAAUUUAUUAUUUUUGUAAUUUAAAAAAUGUAAGUGACUAAUUUCUUUUACUAUUUUUUGUAAACUUCCUUUUGUAUCUUGAAUACACACUUAAAUUUUAUAUAUUUUGUGUAUAAACAUUUUUUAAAAUAGCAAAAUAAAUUAAAAUAUUUAUAAGUUAUAGCAAAAUGUUAGAUUCUAUCUAUGAUAGUCAUCGAUAGACUUCUAUCACUGUAGCAUAUAUUUUGUUAUAUGUUGUAAAUAUUUUGUAAAAUUUACUACUUUUGUGUUAAAUAAAAUAUAACUUUUCUAAUUUUUCUUUUGGAAUUUCACCAUUUUCAUUUUUCUUCUUUUUCUUUCUAUCGUUGAUUUAUAUUUUUUUAUCUCGUGUAAUUUUUCUUUUAAUUUAAUCUCUCUCAUCAUCUUAGUAGUCAAUCGAAUGCGACCACAUUUUUGCAAUAAUUUCGCAUUCAAUUAUAUUCCUCCAAAUUUGGGGAAUCAUCAUAGUUAAUAUUAGUGUUUGUUUGGUGCGGUAGGAAUUUAAAAUCUAGAGUUUGAUUAACCUACUAAACUAAGUACCACACGGGUAAAAAGAGAACCUCUCUUUGUUAAAGGGAAGGAAUUCAUUUCUAUCGCUAUUUUUAUCAUGCAAAAGAGUGUGGCUCAUCUACCCCUAUGUAUAAGGUAAAAAGAAAAAAACAAGUAACAAACCAUUCAUGACUCUACCUAUCUUUUUAUAAUUCAUGUAGUCCACUAGUCAAACUAUGCAUAACUGACCAAAAAAACUGAAAGUAAUUUUUAAAAAUAAAGAAACAAUAAUUUUUCAUUUGUCAUGUAGUAGUAAGUGACAAUUACAAAUUUAACGAUUAGAUUCAAAUGAUUAGUAUUUAACAAAUAAAAUUACAAAAAUAACAAAAUUUAUUAAAAUGUAUCACUGAUAGAUCAUAUUGUAAAUAUUGAUCCGUCAUUAAUAGACCAUAAGAAACUACCAACUAUAGAAAUUUAUCAUUAAUACAAGUUGCUAUAUUUAUAUAAUUUUAAAAAUGAUCUUGCACAUACACUCAAAUAUUAUCCCUAAAAAAUAUCUAAUGGAAUAAAAGAGUUACAUGGAAAAUUGUGAAUUUUCAAAAGUAAUAUGAAGUGCUUCAUUUCUAGUAGGUUGGAAAUUAUAUUUAUUCUCUCCCACCAAAUUAAAACCCUUUAAAAUUUUCUAAUUAAACAUUUAAAUUUGUAGUCCAAAUUCAAAAACAAUCUUUUUUAAAAAAGAAUUAAAUCUUAUGUUGGAUUUUAAAAAUAUUCCGAUGAAUUAUUAGAUAACAAUAAAACAUAAAUAUUCAUAUAUGAAAGUAUAAUACUUAAUUAAUUCUGAUAAAGAAAAAAUGAAACUAUUCUAUUUAUAACCAUUUCAUUUUUGAAAAUUAAAGUUAUCAAUAUUUUAAUUUUAUUAUCUACUUUCUAUCUAUUUAAAAAUUGAGGCAAAGCUUUAAUUAUAAAAAGUAAAUAGUUUUUGAAAACCUUGAACUUGUAAAGCUUGCCAAAAAUGGAGGUUGAUAGUAUAGGCUCUUUGCUACUUUCAUCUACCAUUGAUUACAAAAAUCACUUUACCUCACUUUCAAAACACCUCAUCUUAAAUUUAAUUAAAUUUUUGUAUAUAGAUUUAAAAUUAAUUUAUAAAAUUUUCAGGAGUCAUACAUACAUAAUAAAAUGGUUGUCAAAGUUAACACUCAACGUAACUAAAAUAAACUUUCUAUCUUUAGAGGUUAAAUGUCGGAUCUUCUACUCUUUAGUUGUUUUACUUAGAAAAACAAAAUCAAGUGUAAAACAUAAUUACCUGGAAUUAAUUACAUUUGAAAUAAAAAGAAAAUAAGUACGGAGAAAAACUAUACUUUAGUUAAGAUAUAGAUGUUUCUAAUCAAUUGCAUCUCUUACCAACAAACACUCAAAUUUAUCGAGUAUUAAUAUGAUUUUACAAGUAUAUAUUUGUAUGUAUACAUCAUGAAAUUCAUCCCUAUAGUAAGUUUUGACUCUUUGAAUUUUUCGAAAUAGGUGUAAAGUAGAAUUAGCAUCUCGGGUCAUUAAUUAAUUUAUCUACACCAUGUUAGUUUGCUACAUGUCUUCACAUUAACACACCAUCAAUGCCCGAUAGGAUUGUUGUAUGUAAUUAUCAUAAACACAAACAUUUAUUGACAUUAUUAGUGUGUCAUUUUAUUUGUCUAUGAGUUUGUAGAUAUGCAACUUUAGAAAUUCUUCAACUGUGUAUUUAUUCUAUUAAUACAUUACCAACAGAUAGACUACUAUUAUCAAACAAUGGUUUGGUAAAGUUCAUCUACAGUGAUAUUAUACUACUAUGUUUCAAAAUAAUCCUAUACAUGUAUUUUUGCAACAAAAUAUUGUUGUAUGCACUAUUGUGUUUAGUUAGUUAUUUGCUAGCUAGAUGUGCCAUACCUACAAACAAUAGGGAACAAAUAUUAAUUAGAAUGAAUGCUCUUUAAUUUUUGUACUAAAUUAAUUUGGAAGACAAUUAGGAAGAUUCAUCUUGUGUUCAAUUUGUAAUGCUAUUUAUGCAGCUUCAUUUAUAAGAUAGACUUUAAAAUAAUCAAAAUGAAAAAGUAAUAUUCCGCUUUUAAUUUUGUAUUAAUAAGGCUCUAAAUUUUUUUAAAUUAAAACCAUUUUCGAUUUUAGUAGACACAAUUUUAAUUUUAAUCCAGAAUAAAAAAAAAGAAUGAAAAAGAAAAUUAUUUUAGUGUAUGAUUAAAAUGAGACAGCACAAAAUAUUUCGUUCUUAUAAAUAAAAUUACAUUGUUUAUGAACAAACCCAACAGUACAAUAAUGUUAACAAAAGUUUUUAAGGGUUUUUUCAUAAAAUAAAAUAAAAGUUUUUGAAGGUUAGCAACUUGAUAGAUUUUAAUUUAAAUGUUCAGUAACUAUAUGUACCUAAUAAAUAUAUGUGUGUGUAUAUAUAUACACUCCACAACGAUGCUUAAAAGUUAUGAACAAUAUUUUGAAAUUUAAACCACAAUCUCUUAAACACAAGACCAAAAUGAAGAAAGUUUCAAAAUCCAUUAAUAUAUUAACCAGAAGUUAGAUCACCAAGAGAGCUCCAGCUUUCUUCCAAAGCCAUUUUUAUGAUCUUCUACGUGAAAGUUUAUCUAUUUCAAAAAGGGAAAAAACUAAAAUUACAAGAGGAAGAAGAAGCGAGAGUGAAAAUUACUAUCUACUCGAAUCGUGUUUCGAGAAAUAGCUUAGGAAAACAAGCCUAUUUUUAUUCAUAAACACCAAUGAACGGCAUUAAAACCGAUCCGAACCACAGUUUUCCAUCCUUCUCUUCAACUUCACUAAUGAACUUCAAAGUGUUUCCUUCACAAUCUUCUAAAACCUCCAAAACCUCUCCUUCCUCACUCAACCUAAUAGCAGUUGCAUGGGCCUUCCCUCCCACCAACAACCCAUGCAAUCGCUUGAAAUCAAUUGGAAGCUUCAACAGAAGUUUCCCAAACCAAGAUGUUGAAGUAACCAAGUUCCCAAUAAUUCCCUUUUUCGAAUGCAAAGCAACCCAAUAUUCACCUUUCGGAUUCCUUCUAAUGUUGUCAGGAAAGCCUGGAAGCCGAGCAAGAACAUCAAAAUUUCCUGCUUCAGUACCUUGAAGCCAAAAUCUGAGAAUCCUGCCAGAGGUAGACUCAACCACAAGCACGUAGGAAUGGUCUUUGCUUAAUGCAAUACCAUUGGCAAAUGCAAGGCCUUGUAAUAAAACCGUAACUUGCUUACUAGCUCGAUGAUACUUAAAUAACCUUCCCGUACUAUCUCCGCUCAAUAUCGACGCCAUGAACUGUCUUCAAAUGUAAACAUUCAUCAAAACCAAAGUUUAACAAGAACACCACAGCCAGUUAAUGGACUAUGAAUUUCAGAUUGCGGUAACUGUAAUACUAUAAGCAGUUCCAGUUUCAAAUUUAGUGAAGUGUUAUGCUAAAGAGAGGUGACCAGUGACAUUUAGAAACAUAUAAGUUUAGUUGAACUAACAAAUAAAUUAAAAUUUAAAAGUCAGAAAUUUCAGAUUCAUUAAUCAGAUUUUUCUACUUUAAAGAUCAGUUGCUAAAAUGAGGUAUGUUUGAGUCUGAGUUACCUUCUUUGGAAAACUGUACUACUGUCAGUAAAGUAUAUGAUAUCGUUGUCCUCAUCAAUAUCAAGAUCAUUUGUGAAACGAAGUGGCUUGCCUUCAAAUUCACUUACAAGUUUUGUUGCCAAACCUCCACUAGGUCCCACAACAUGAAGACCGAGAUAGGCAUCAGCGAUGUAGAGAUCUCCAGUUGUCUUAUCAAAACGCAGUCCUAAUGGCCUCCCACAAACAUGCUCCAAUUCAGGUGCAAAUGGGCGAACACACUCACUCCUUCGAGGACAUAAAACAAAAUGAAUCAACAAGGGAAACGUGAAAAAUGAACAAUAUUUGCUAAACAAUAAAUAUGCACAACCCUGUUUCCAGCAAGCAAAACACAAACAUGCACAUCUAAAGACAAAACAGACAUUUUCAUAGUACAAAGAAAUGUAUGAGGCAGAAAGUGAAGUACUUCAAAGUUCAAAUCCAACGUCAUUGGCUCAAAUUCUAUAGGAGCAUAAAGAUGUUUUCUUAGGCUGAGGAGAUAGUUUGAUUUUAAAAGCUCCAAGGCGGGGAAUUGAACCUUCAACCUUUAGGGACAGAGGUCAUGUCAUUACCACUUAACCAAACUUUUUUUGGCAGGCCUAAGAGACGGUUUUGAUUUGCCCUUUCCUAGUGUCAAUCCCGUUUCAAUCUCCAACAGAUCUUAUUUGAUUCCAAAAACCUGAGUUUUUGGCUUUGGUAGGUGGGAUAGUCAUGCCCAGCCCUUUCAUGAUACUAAGCCAGGCAAAUACUAUGAAGGGAUAAAAUCUAUUCACUGAGAAAAAUGAGCUGAGCGAUUUAAACCUGUGAUAGUUCUUUUUUAUUUAUAAAAAAGUUUUGAGACCAGAGCAACUCACCCAGAGUCCCAGACACAUGAAAAACAAGGCCUUGAAAUGAUUCCUCAACAACUUGAUAUCCAAUUAUAAGGGCACUAGAGGUAGUUGACUCUGCCCCCAAAUCCUCCUGAAAUGGGCUUUAUGGCAAAGAGCAAGAAGAAAACAAAGACCAGGUCCAGGCAGGAGAAUUUGAAAAUCAAUUCUCCAAACCAAGCUUAUCUUACAACAUUACAUUAAAAAGUCCAACCAGAACAUAUUCCAUCUAUAUUUAUAUCUAUAUCUCAAAAUCACUCCCAAACAUAAAAUAACUCCAAAAGUCCAACCAAAACAUCUAGCAUGUGUGUGUUCACCAUUUUUAUUAAAGGAAAAACAAGUGAUUAAUCAGCCAUCUCCAAAUAUUUUAUAUAAAAACAAGAAUUCAACAAUGAUCCUGCUUAAAAUAAUAAUAAUAAUAACAACAACAAAGGUCCAGCCAAGCAACACCAUUCCAUGAUCAUAUUACAGAAUAUUUAGCUUAAAAAAACCUCCCCUUAAACAAUUUUUGUAAAAAAUCAAAACCCAAAAUUAAUUAACCAAUAUACAAUUGGACAACAAGAUAAUGAUAAAAUUGUACCUCUGAGAGCUAGUAACAGCGAAAUCAGUCCAGCCACGGCCAUCACCUUGCCACUUGAGAAUCCGGCCAUCAGCAACCCCAGUGUAGGGACCUUCACCAUUCUGGUCAAAAAUCAAACUCUCCGGUCCGAUUGCUCCAGUGAGAGGAAUAACGUUGGCGGAACGAAGAUAAUCGUGGGUUCCAGGAAUGUGCGGCGGCGCAAAGACCUGUUCGAGCUUGAGAAAAGGGGUUUGGAGGGAGAAGAUGAUAGCAACAAGGGCAGCAACAGUGGCCGCCACAAAGAAUGUAAGCAUGGAAUACAUUGAAUUUGAUUUGGUGUGAUUGUGUGAAUGGAGGAAUGAAAAUGGUGGGGGGAAAGUGGAUCCGGUAGAAAAGGGAAUGGGUGGUGAGAGUGGAAAGACGGACUUUACAAUAAGUCUCUCACAAAGAUCAAAGGUGAAAAUAUUGAUUUUUUUUCCUUCCAAAACCUUAUUUUAGUAUUCUACUUUCUAACAACCUUUAUUCUAUUUUCAACCUUACUUUCUAUUAUUUAGUGCAACCAUUUUCGGGUUGGGAGAUUGAACUAUUGAUCUUUUGAAACAGUAGUAGCUAAUUUUCUUUUAAGUGUAAUAAAUAUGGAACUUCAAAUUUUGAACAUCUUUGAAUUUAUUAACUUUUUAACUUUAAUAUUAGUUCGGUUAGUUUUUGCGUUUGUACUUGGUUUUGUAUUUUCAAAAUGUUGGACUAGAACCAAGACAAAUCAUGAUGGGCCAAAGAAGGAGACUAGCACGAACUAGAAUCACACAAGUGUGAAGGGUUUUUUUAUAGGUCACACUCUUCCUUCCUUGAAACAAAUGGACUUUGGUUUCAGGUAAGGACGCCUGCGUUUUGAUUCUUAGGCUUCUUUAAAUGAUAGUUUUGGUUCCUUAAGAAAUAAAAAUAGAAAGAGAGAGAGUUUCUUUUUAAAAGUAUCAAGAACACAACAAAAAGUUAAAAAGAUAUGGUUCAAAAUAAUCAUUUUCAAAGGAUAUGAACACAUACCCAUUUUAGUCAAAAGUAUAGAGAUUAAAAUAGUAUUAUCGAUUUUUUUUAAUUUUAUAUUUUAAUCUCUCCAACUUUUGAAUCCCUCAUUUUUAAUUUUGGGCUUGAAAAAGGAUUGAAUGUUAUUAAAAUUAAAAAUGGUGUUAUUUUAAGUAAAUCUCUUUACUAUGAAUGUUUUAAAUGUGUUGGAUUUAGUUUUGGAAUGUAUUGAAAGUUCUAUCUUUUAGUCUUUUCAAGGAAAAAAUAGUUAAAAAGAUGAUAUGUCAUUGGAUCAGAUCUUGUCGAUGGCCAAAUUAGAAAAGUUUUGAAACCUUUUAAGAUUUUUGAAUAUAUCACUUUAUUUUGAUUUUAUGAGUAGAAAAAAGAAUUUGAUGCCAAUGCUUUUGCAUUAUUUCAUCUACUAAAGUUUGCUUUUAUAAAAUUAAGAAAAGUAUCUUUACAAAAAAAUAAAAAAAAAAUACAUAUUUGUUACAACCAAGUAAAUUUAUAAUGCUUUGGUUUCCCCAUCUAAUUUUUUCUAUAAAUUCUAUGCUAUGUUAUUAUGUAAUAAAUAUAUAUAAAAAAGGUAAUAAAACAAAUUAUAAAUCAAUUUCAUCUAAAUAAUUUGGAGAACAUUAAAACGUGUGAGACUCGACGAUUGUUGGCUCAUUGUCAAACAUAACCUUGAUUAUUUACUUGUUAUAGUUAAGAAACUUUAUAGUAUAGCAGCAUAAUCAAAUUUGAUGGAGUUGAUGAAGAUUUUAAAUAAUGUGCUGAAUCAAAUUCAGCUUAAUUUAAUUGAUUCCUCGACUACACCAUAUUUACUACACAAGAGACGUUAUUAUACGGAGAAAUAAGAAAUUUUUAAUAAAAAAAAAGCUAUCUAAUGUAAUAGCAACUAAACUUCAAUAUGGGCUUCCAAAUAAAAUGAAAAGUUAGUAUAUGGGCCACCAUUCAAAGCCCAAGCCCAAAAGGUGCACUAAAGUGAAUUCGAUAAAAGUUACAACUUUAGUCCCUCAAUUUUAUAUAAAUAUCUAUUCUAAAGUAUGUCCAUAAAUCUCAAAUCUAAACCUCUAACAUUUUUCGUGACACUCACAUCAAACUUAUUCAAAAUUUUCAAAACUUAGAAACAAAAUAAAUCUAAGAGCCUAUAAAAUAGAAUAUAUUUUAGUCAAUGAAUAUUUUUAAAAAACAUAGUAAUUAUAAAUACUAAAGUCAACAUAUGUUUUAUGGUCUUUUUUAAGUAAUACAUUUUUCAAAUAUAAAAAAGCCAGUUCGUAUAAUUCGAUUAUAUAAUAUAUAGUUUCAACUCCAUUCCCUAAUAAAGCCUUAAUUAAUGAUUCAGGUUUUGUUGUCAUAAUUUUAGAAGCUUCAAAAUUAUUAUUUAUAUAUAUAUAUAUAUAUACAAAUUUUGGAAAAAUGUACACAUGAGUAACACUAAAUUCUAAAAUAAUCCAAUUUUUGAAAUCAACCCACGUUUUUAAUAACAUAAUAUACUAAAAUGGACUAUUCAACGCCAUAAUUUUUUGAAGCUUUAUAGUUGACUGUACCAUCAUAUGAUCUCAAACUAUAAUGUUGAAUAUCUAAAAAUUAAUUAAUUUGAAAACAUUAUGAAGAUAUGUAAUAAAUAUCCCCUACUAAAUCUGUACAUUAUAAAGUCAUAAAAUUAAAUCUUAUUUUGGAAUAUAAAUGCAAGCAAAUAUUGGGUCAUAUAUUCUCUUGUUAAAAUGAUACUUAAUUGAUUAGCAUGUGAUGAGAAAGCUAAAUUAAGUUGGAAUUUUGAGAUUGAUUUGGUGACUCCAAGGGGUUUCCAAAAGGUAUUUGAGGAAUAUUGUAUUAUACUGUUUGCCCUUUAGAGUUGUUCUCUAACCCAUAAUUCCAUUUUCUUUAUUAUUAUUUUGGCAACAAAUUAAUGAUGAAAAUAUUUGGUUUCUGAGUUUCAUGAUCUCAAUCUUAAAAGAUAACUCUAUCACAUGAAUACUUUAUAUAUAUAUAUAUAUAUGAAUUCAGAAGUUUAAAUCCUAAACUUUAAUAUCAUGAUAGUUUCUAUAUAAUUUUUGUAUUAAAAUACUAUGCUAACGGUAGUUUAAAGAAAAAACUAUAACCAAAACGAGGAAUAGAGCAUUAGUUUUACUUUCAAUAUUUUCCUUUCUAAAAUAAAAAUCAAUUUUGUAAGAAAAAUAAAGUCGUUAAUAUAAUGUUUCAUUUUUAAAAAAAAUCUAGAAUAAAAAAACAAAUAAAUUAUGUUAAAAUAUAUAACUAGAAGCUACUAAAAUAUUAAUACACAUAUAUAUAUAUAUAUAUAACAGUGGUGGGUUCUUUUCAUACAUACAAUAAUAUCAUAAGUUUAUUCGAUUUUGUCAAUUUGUUAUUUUUAUUAUAUUUGAAAAUAUUUAAACAAUUUUAUCAUUUAAAAUAUUUGAUUAAUUAAAAAAACUAUCUUACUUUUUUAAAAAAAUUAUAAUAAAAGGAUAACAAAAUCACAAUAAAAUUUAUAGGUAGCUAAAAGGUUUAAAAGUUUAAAUUUUGAAAAUAAAAACUAAAACAAAAAACUACUUUUUUUUUUCUCCAAAUGAAAAGUAGCUUUGGAUUUGAAAUGACUAUUUAUGAGUCGAAGAUUAUAAGUAGCUUCGGAUUUGAAAUGACUAUUUAAAACACAAUCAUUAUUCUAAGGAAGAAGAAGAACAAUUAUACUUUAGCACAAUUCAAGAUUUAAUUCAAGAUUUAGGUUCAAUUUGCUAUAAUAAAUCGUAAAAAAAUGUAAAAUUACAAAAAAAAAAGGUUACAAAAUAGUUUUAGUAAACAAACUAUUAAUUUUUUGUAGGUUUUAAAUAUGUUUUUUAGAUUUCUGAAAACAUUUGAGGAAAGAGAAUAGAUAAAAAAAAUGGUUAAUUUAACAUUGAAUGAUUCAUAAUUUAAACAAAUGAUCGAGGAAGAUUUGUGUUCAAACAUUUAUUAAAAGAUUUGCAGUUUGUGUGUUAUAAUUUUAUAUUUAUAGGAACGAAAGUGAAGGUAUAUACAACAUAACAAAAGCUCGAUUGUAAAUUGACUCAAUAGAUAAAACAUCAAUUAUUAUAAAUAGUUGCAAAUAUAACAAUUAAGUUUAAAAUAUUAAUAUGCAAUAAUAACAUUUUUAAAAAAUUACAAAUAUAAUAAAAUCGAUAAAAGUUUAUCGCUAAUAGAUUAUAAGAGUCUAUCAACAAUAGAAGUCAAUUAUUGAUAAAUUUUAGUCGUGUAUUUGUAUACCAUUAUUAUUUGGAAAAGGGUUGAUUCAUAGUUAGCUUAAGGAAUAGAAGAAAUGACAUCAUCCAUCACAUGGGGAAUUUUUAUUUAAUUCAUCUUCAUCACAUUCCUCCAUUCAAGAAAUUCGAUGAAGUACACAAAAUCUUGAUUCAUGGAUUGAGGUUUCCUAAACCAAUCCAAAUUCUCUCUUAUUUUACUUUCAAUUUUUUUAAAAUAUCAAAACUAAUAUAUAUAUAUAUAUAUAUAUACACACUUUCUUAUUUAAAAGUUUACUGUCUAAAUUAUUUGUUACAAUUAAUUGGUGUUUAAAAACAACUAAUUAUAAGAAUUAAGAAGAAGUGGAGUCAAGUGAAGAAUUAAAAUGUUAUUGAUGAUAUAUGGUUUUAAAAUUAAAAUGAAGAAGAAAGAGAGAGGUUAGGAAUAAUGGGAGGGUCCAUAUUAUUAGAGUAAGAAAGAUGGAGGGAAGGAAAGGCAUCCAUUAUUGAUGAAAGAAAAGGGAGAGAGAAUGAUGGGUUUUUUGGUUGGGAAGAAAAGGAAAGGACAAAACAAAGGCAUCCAUAUAAUGUUGUUUAAAAGUUAAGAGUUUGAAGGGAUUCUGGGAAACAUAGUUUUCCAUUUAAAUUACUAUUGGAUUAUUGUAUGAUUCUUAUAUAUAUGUCUGUGUAUGUCCUAUCACACACUUAUUUUUUCAUAUACCAAUUUUGGGGGCCCUCUAAUUCUUCAUCAUUUCCCCCCACAAAUUUUGUAUUAUAUAUGUAUGAAUUACGAAACCAAAAAAAAAAAAUGUUGGGUAACUUUUUUGUUUUUUGUUUUUUGAAAUUAAAUUUUGAAAAACAAGCUGUUUAAUUUGGUAAAUUAGAAAGGAAAAUUGAAAGCGAAAAAAGAAAUUAAAAUGAUAAAACUUUCUAUUAUCAUUAUAUUAUAUCUUUUCGUACCGUCUCAAGUACCAACUAUAGAUUUUUUUAAAAUUAUUUUUCUUCAAAAGUAAGAUUCUAAAAUGUUUCUUAAAAAAUCAAAUUCUCAUUUAAAUAGUUAUUUAUUUAUUUAUUAUAAACUUUUUUUACUUCAUUUAUAUUUUGUUAUCUACUUUUUGACAUACCAAAAUGGUUUAAGAGAUACACUGUUUCUAAUUUUUUUCCAAAAGUAAAAUGUGUUUGAAUUUUGUGCAAGGAAUUUUCACACAUUUAUCAAAUUACAUGAGUAAAAGAACAUUCUUUUAUAAUUCUUUUUUUUUUUUUUUGCAUAAAUGAUAAUACCUAAUUUAUUUCGAGGUUGAUGGAAUUUGUAAACAAAGUAAAUUUUGCAAUAAUGUGCACUUAUAUAUUUUUGGAGCAAUUAGCAAUUGAAAUUAAGAUAUAUUUAGUUUAAUUUAUAUAUAUAAAAUAACCAUCUUACAAAUUAAUAAAAUAAAAAGGUAAAGUUAUCAUAACUUUUUAAGGAAAAAAGAAAUUAUAUGAUUAUCUAAUGACGUGCUGUUUAAAGAAAUACUUUUCAAAGUUUCCAUGUGAAAGCAUUAGACUUGUGCUUUUAUGAUUUAAUAAUGUUGUUACAAUUAAAAUAAUAAAAACAACUUAGGGAAAAGUUUCUCCAUAUUAAUAUGAUGUUUAUUUAUAUAUUUAAAAAACAUUGUAUUUUUGGAAUUUACCUGAUUUUAUUCAUGUUGUCAUUAAAAAAUUUGAUACUCCUUGAUUUCAUGGUGUCAGCUACAACUUGAGAUUACAACCAAUAAAAUACAUAUAUAUGUAUGUAUGUAUUAAGUAUAUUUUAUAUACUUAGUGGAUUGAUUUUUGGAAGUUAGGUUAAAGUUAUAUAUUUAGAUGGUUUUCUUUGGGCUAAGUUUGUUUAGCAUUUAUCUGUUUUUUUUUUUUUACGAUACUUAAGGUAUAAUAUGUUGAUUAAGUAGGUAAUUACAAUUUUUUUUUCUUAAGAGAGAUAAUAAUUACUUGCAUUUAGUGAUCAAUUAUAGCUAUGGACAUAAAUUUACUGUAUGGUUGUCAUGCAUAAAAAUGUAACUAUAUUUCAAAGUUAUAUGUCUAGAGUGGAGUGUUAUUGAGUUGUAUUAAUAAAAGAGAAUAAUUAAUUUAAUUAAUUAAUUACUAAUGUUGUAUUAUUGGAGCUUAUAAUAAGAAUGUGUUUAAGAUCUUUUUGUUUACCUAAAAGAACGUUAAGGGUUCUUUUUUUAGUAAAAGAUAUGAAGUUGUAAAUGUUCAACUAAGAUCAUUUUUUCUAUCAUUGACAAAUAGUUAAGAAACCCGAAACUUUGACACGUAUUAAUUGUGUUAAAAAGUUAAUAAUCAAAUCUUACAACGAGAAAUUAAAAUAUGAAACAUUUUUUUAGUGGAAUUUGUAUGUUCUAUACAAAAGAGACGUAACGUGGUUUAAGAAAACUUGUAUGUAUAAAACGUUUGAUACAAUUCUUUAUAUAUCUAUUUUAUUCCGUCACUUUUCUAGAUUAGUUCAUAGGAAAAUAUUUUGAAAAGUAUAUAAAAAACUUAUGAGGAAAGGUAUGAAAAAUUAGAGCACAAUAUCCGUGUGUUAUAUUCCUUUUGUUGCAAUUCUUUUUCGAACUUUCAUUCAAUAUGCAUGAGUACCAAUAAUCAGUGUUUGUUAGGGUUAAUUCAAUUAUAAUUUAUAUACAUUUUUGCUUGUGUGUUAUAUAUUGAAAUAAAUUACAAAAAUGGUUGUUGAUAUUUUUCAUUUCUCGUUGUUUGUUGCUUGUUUUAUUUGUUGAUUUUUUUCUCUAGCUUCUUUUUUUGAUUAAUUAAUGUAAUUUGAUACUCGAUAAUUCCUACUUAAUACAUUUAAACGAAGGACAACUUGAAGAAAAAUAUCAAAACAAUAACAAGUACUAAAAGUGUGUGAGUUAAAUAUCAACACAUGUGUACACAGUAAACAAGACGAUUGUUUUCGCAAUAGGUUAUACUACAUACAUUUCAAACGUGUGGCUACCAUUCCAUAUUACUCUCUAAAAAGAAAAUUAAAAUGAAAAGAAUGUCAUGUGCAAUUCUUGAACACAACUUCUACCAAAUUUAAAUAUGUUGUCGUUACUAUGAUUUCUCCACGUUUGAUAAAGAAAUAAACCCUACAAGCAUUUUUUAAUAACUCAAAAAAUUCAAAACGAAAGGUUGAGAUUAAAUCAACGAUUAAAAUAGUAGUAAUUGUUUCACUUAUAGAUAUUUUCAAGAUGGGAUAAGAUAUAUAUGUGGUUUAUAUUGUGAUCGUCCUCCUCUAUUCCAUUAACUCCUCUCUUGAAAUUAUUUGUUUUUACAGAUAUAUUUUAAAUCUCAAUUAAAUAAAAUAAAAUUGUUUUACUUUAAUUUUUUUUUGUAUUUAAACGAGGGAAGUUAUGAUACUAUUAGAUUAAAAUUAUAAUAUGGAAUGGAGUAAAGAUUAUAGAUUCACGUUAGAAGGGUAAAGAUUAUAUAUAUAUAUAAAGUGUGUUUGAUAUGUUGUGGAGACAUAAGUUUUGAAUAGACGUAAGUGAUGGUCUAUUAAUGGGGAAGGAAAAUUAGAAAAAGGAAUAAUGUAGGAAGGCAUUGACUACAAAUAAAUAAAAAGCAUCAUAAACACUUUUCACAUAUUUCAUUUCAUAAUGCCAUCAAAUCAAACCGCAAAAUACGGAAACAAAUCAAAAGAUUUUAACCAUUCUCAAAUCAAACUAUCAAAAUAAAUUCCAAUAUAUAUAUAUUAUUAAUAAAGUUUAACACUCCAUAUUUCUAUUUAAAUGUUUAUAUCACUAAAACAAAAUUCUUUUUUUUAUUAUUAUUAUAUGGGAGGAGGGCCAAAAUUAGAGGAGAGAGAAAAAUGUCAUUCAUUGAAAAUAAAAAUAUAAAAAAUGACAAACAAAAUCAUUAAAAAGACUUUUUUUUUUCUCUUUAUUUAUCAAUUAUUCUAUUUUUGACAAUUUUGUUUUUGAAGAUGAAGACUUCUAAAUUAGAAAAUGUAUGAUAAUUUCUUUUAAUUAUUUGCUGGGCGGUUUUAUUAUAUCACAAAAUGUAUUACAUUGAUCAUAAAGGAGAAACAAAAUAUCAUUAAUAUAAAUAAUAAUUAUUUUAAGAGAAAUUGUUAUCUCUAAUUGAAUUUUUGUUAUAUUAUGCAAAUAGUUUCAAUAUUUUGCUAUUUUUGAAAAUGUUUGGAUACAUGUGAAAUUAAAAAUUAAAAAAUUUGUUUGUAUAGCUUACCUAUAACAUCAAUUUUAUUAAUGUAUGUAAUAUAUCUUGAAAGAAGAAACAUUGUAAUAAAUACAUUGAUUUAAAAUUAAGUAGAACGAACUUGUUGACUUGUGAAAAUAAAAUUAAAAGAAAAAAAUUACUUUACAUGACUUGACCUCACCUCAAAACAUAAUUUUGUUAAAAGGACAGACGGCUGGAAAAAGUAAUUAGAUCAAAUUAAAUUAAACUCACAAAUUAUAUAUCUUCUUGAAAUUCAUGCAUUGUCUUCUUUUUUUCCUUCCUCUUUUACAUUUGUUGGCAACUUUGGAAACAAUUAAUAUAAAUCAACUUUUUAAAAAAAUCAUAUAUAUAUAUAUUAAAUAGUUAACACUUAAUUAAGAAUAUAUGAAUUAGAUGAAAGUAAUUUUUCGGAGUUAGCACUUUCAUAAUUUAACAUUCUUGUUUCAAACUCUCACAAUCCUAUAAUCAAUGGAGGUUGUAGUAGAUAGUUUACAAAAAUAUGAAAAGCAAUAACUAUAAUUAUAUAGUGGUAGCAAAUGUAUAAAGGAAUGCAUUAUUAAUGUAUCCUAUGGAUGGAGUUUUUUUUUUUUUUUUUAAUUACCAUUUAUUGUGAGAGGAAGAUCAAACAAUCAUUCUUUAAAUAGUAAUUAAUAUUGUUAUCUACUAAAGUACAUACAAUUAUUUGUUUAAUUGAUAGUUUGCAUACUUAAUGAAAUUAAAAGAAUAUGAUAUGGAUACUUUAUUCACAUGCGCCUAAGAUACGUUAUAGUGUUAUUUCAUCUUUUCUACUUUAUGUUAAAUAUGAUUAAAUAGUUAAUUGAAAGAAAUUGAUGAUUUGAAAAUGAUCCAACAAUAAUGGAGUGUUAAGUUUGUUAAGAGAAAUAAAAUAUUGUGUGUAUUGAUUUUAUGAGUAUAUUAUUAGAUAGUUUUAUUUAUUUGGUUAUAAUGUGGGUAACAGUUAAAUGUCACAAUUUUCAAAUCUUUCAUCUUUAAUGGGUGAAUCUUUGUGUGGGGCUGACUUAUAUGUGAAUAAGAUGACUUUAAACUCGAAAAGGAAGUUAAUUUAUAAAUUUUGAUUUGAAACCCAAGUCACUGUCAAAAUGAUUUCUCUCUAUUUUUCUUUUCUCCUCUUUGUUAUGAUUUGGUGAUUAAUAAGCUUUUGUUUUUUCCCCUAUAAAUGUAUAUGAUUAUGAAAACUAUGUAUUGUUUAAGCUUAAUUUAUUAAGAUCUUAUUCACUUUCAACCAGAUAUCACUUAACUAAAUAUAUAAACGAGAGAUUGACAUGGACAAAAUAUAUAUAUAUAUAAUUUACAAAAUAAGUAUAUUUAAAAUAGUUUCAUCAUUUUGCUAUUUUUUUAAAAAUGUCCGCAUAUAAAUAUUGUUAACAAGAAAAAUAUAAGAUAUUCUAAAAUUUUAGUGGACAAUUUUACGAGAAAUAAAAAAAAAAGAAAGAAAAAACCAAUCUAGAAAUAUACUUUUUGUUUUUGUUAGUAAGGUUUGAUUAGAAGUAAGAAACACGUACAAUUUGAUUUUAUAAAUCUAGCAUAAUACGAUUCAUAGUUUUUAUAUUCAAUUGUUUUUAAAAGGUUGGUAGCUAAAAAUAAUCGUUAGUCACAAAAUUUCGAACCAAAGUCAAUUAUAUUAUUUAUAAUGAUUAAUAAAUAUGUAAAUGAAUUAGUAAUGGUUAAGUUUGUAGAUACUUUAGUACUUAAUUAAUAAACGGGUAAUAUCCUUCUAAAACUAAUCUUCAGUUUUAGUUAUUAGUGCUAAUUAGUGUCUGUUUUAAUUAAUUGUAUAACGUUUUACUAUUCUCUCGUUAUAGUUAAAAUAAAAUUUAAAAUGUCACGUCACAAUAGUUUAAAUUGAUUAGUAAAAAUUUGAGGUUAGGAAUAUAAAUAUUGAAAUUAAAAUAACACUUAAAUUUCAAAUAUAAAACUGUAAUAUUUUGAAAGAUGUACAUGUAGUUUUAUUAAAUAAAAGAAAAUAUAGAAACAUCAAUAUAUAAUGCUCUUUAAAACUAAUUUUGUCUACACUGGACAUAUUUUUCAAGGAGGAAAAAGAGAGAAUGAAAAUGUGAAUUGGUAUUUGCUAAAAGAAUGCUAAUUUUUAAAAAUUGAUUGGUUUGAAUAAACUUCAGGCAUUUUGUGUGGUCUCCAAAUUAUUCCUAACGAUGAUCAUACCUCUUUGGUUUAAGUUUGGAAUACCAAUUCUAACCACUACUAUUGAUUGUUGGUUUUUUAUUCUUUCUAAUUUUAAUUUUAGUCCAUUUUUUAGGUAUAAAAUUAAAAAUAGGUAAUAAGAGUUAUUUAAUUAAUUAAAAUAUAAAAGAUCAAAAUUAAGGAGAAAUAAAAUCUAAUUACAGUAUUAAUCAAUCUGAAAAAAAAAAAAAACUCAUUAUUUGAAAGUAAAGAUACGAAUAGAAAGAAAAUACCAAAAUAACUAAUUGCAUGUUCCUACCAACUUUUUAUUUGUAAGAUGUGCAAAUAACUUCAAAAUAACAAGAGGAGUAUUUUGAAAUAUUAAAUACUAGGUCACUUUAUAAACAAUCAAAAUGAGUAUAAUUCUGAUAAUUGAGGUGCAUUGUCAAUUAUUUUUAUUCGUGCAAUAACAUCAUAUUUAGCCUAUUUUUCCAUACGUUUUUAUAAUUUUAAGAACUAAAUUUACUAUUUGACAAUAUAAGUAUGUAAAGUAGAUUUGUUAAAAAGUGUAAAAAAAAAAAAUCCUAUAACUACAUAAAAGUUUACUGUGCAAAUUGUAAUUAAAAAAGAAACAUUUGGAUGAAAACAAAUUUGAUAGAAAGUUAAAGAAAGAAAUCUUGGAAACAAAUCCCAAUUCUUGUGUCCAUUAUAUACAAAUAAUAAUAAUUGAACGAAGCAUGUCCCACUUCCCGAUCACUUGGGAAGAUAUUGGGGACGAUUCGUCUUAUAUAUAAAUAAUAAAAUACUAUUCUCCCCAUUUUUUUUUUAUUGUUUUUAAAUCUCUCAAUCGCUUGCUUCCAAUUCAAUAUAUAUUCGUAUUUAUUCAUGUAUGUAUUUAGAGAAAAUAAUUUAUUUUACUUUUGUAGAUGGAAGAAUCAAAUAUUUGAUCUUAAACUCAAUAAUAUAAGAUCCAUCAUAUAUCUUUCAAAUGGCUUUCUAAAAUAUCAAUGUUAUUCUUUUAAAAAUAUGAUCUCAUAGCAAAUGAAAGAAAAAAAAAGUUUUUAAGGAUUGAUAAGAUCCUAUUUUAAAUUAGUUGUGUCAAGUUGUAAGGGGUUUCUUAAUAAAAAUGUGUAAUAAGUUUCUAAACAGUAGUUUAAAAUUUGAACAAUAAAUCUAAAAUAUUCCAAAAAAAGCAACUUUUUUCUUCAUAAUUUUGAAGUUUUAAAAGUAUAUUUUAUCCAUCUCCUUCCACUUAUUUGCUAAUCUUCUUUAAUUAUUAUUUUCAAUUUAAAGUGUAAUAUCAACCUUUCAAAUAGUAAUUAAAAAACAUUAAAGUUAAAAAAAUAGUAAAAAAUACAAAAAAAACUAUUUACACUCGUGAAUCAAGAUUACAUAUUUAAAUUUAAUAUACGAUUAACAAAAAUUGUUGGAUAUUGAUACACAAUUCUUUAGAUGUGGGUACAAUAUCAUGUACCAAAUCUAUAAGAUCGCGUAUCUAAUAUAAAAAGAAGAUUGAAUACCAAAUAUAAAUACACGAUCUUGAAAAAAUGGUUAAAUAUUGAUAUUUGAUCAUUUAGAUUUGGAUAUCAUUUCAUACCUAAUUGCUAUUAUAAGAAGAAUGACACAUCGUGACUAAUUAAUUGCAUGUUGAUUGAGGCAUUAUUGAUAUUUUUCAUUGAAGACAUAUGGUGACAAUGUAUACCGUGUACAAAUUUUGGUUUUUUAAAUAGUUUAUUUUUCCUAUUUUUAAAAAACCAAAAAUUAAAAAAGUUUAAUAUUAUUUUAGUUAUUGUUUUCUAAUUCAAAACCUUAAUUUUAAUUCCUAUACUAUCAAAAAUUUGGUUGGUUUUAGUUUUUAUAAUUUACUUUUAAAAAACAAUCAAUUUGGUUGGAUCAAAAUAGUUAACUUAAAAAAAAAAAAAAAGUUCAAAUAACAAAAUGAAACAGGGUUUAAAAUUUAAGAAAAUAUGUGAACCACCAAAGUAAUCCAAAGUUAAGAACAUAAAAGAGAAAAAUAAAUAUUUGAAAAGUAACGUGACGAAAGAGACUAAAAUCAAAUAGUAUUUUUAUUUCCUAAAAAAAAUAAAAUAGUAUUUAAAAUUUUGAAUAAAAUAAAUACAUAUGAAGUUAGAAAAAAAAAUUCGGAAGAUUUGCAACAAAAUCCGGUCGGAUCUUGCUUCGUGUGAUGUUAAUCGUGGUGGGUCUUUUUUUUUUUUUUUUUCCUUUUCUUUUAUAUAAUUUUUUUCCCUUCCUCUUAAAACCAACGCAAACCCACCAAAUUUUCCCCCUCUCUCUCUCUUUCUUUCCUGUGAUUCUGAAUUUGAAGCAAAAUGGUUAUGGCUGCCGAUUCCCAAUUCCAUGUUCUUGCCGUUGAUGAUAGCCUCAUAGAUAGAAAGCUCAUCGAAAGGCUUCUCAAAACCUCCUCAUAUCAAGGUAUUUUUAAUUUUAUUUUUUAAACUUUUAUGCAUAUAUUCUAAAUUUAAAUUCCCAAUUUCUUUUCAUUUUUUUUUUUUCUGAUUUGGAUUUGUUUUUCUGUAGUUACUACGGUUGAUUCUGGUAGCAAGGCCUUGGAAUUUCUUGGUUUGAUUCAAGAACAUCAACCUACAAACUUCAAAUCGUCUUCUAAUUCUUCUUUUUCCUCCCCUAAUAAUCAUCAUCAGGUUAUUCAAUUUCAGAUUUGGAUUCAUUUUUUUCUCAUUCCAAUCUAUUCCCUUCCCCUGUUUCUGAAAUUUUGUGUUUGUUCAGGAAGUGGAAGUGAAUCUUAUCAUCACUGAUUACUGUAUGCCUGGAAUGACUGGCUUCGAUUUACUCAAGAAAGUUAAGGUAAAAAAGCAAAAAGAGAGAAAUUCUAUAGUGUUUCUUAGUUCUACUUUUUUUUUAAAAUUUUCUGUAGAAUGCGUUUGUCUUGUUUCGGACACCACUUGUUUGAUGAAAAAUCUCAUAGAAUAUUUUUCUCACCUAACUUUUCUAUUCUAAUCAAUUAGAUCUGAAAAUUCUGUUUUCCUCUGUAACUAAUUAGGAAUUUACCUAACUUUCCUGGAAAAUCUAUUUUUAUCGAGAAACAAACAGAGAAAUAAGUAAAGAAUUUGUGUGAAAUUGCAGGAAUCAACAUCGCUAAGAAACAUACCAGUGGUGAUAAUGUCAUCGGAAAACGUACCUUCAAGAAUCAACAGGUAACGAUUUGCAAUUUUGAUUUGGCCUCGAUCUGUGAUAUCGCACGAUCGGAAACUGAUGGAGUCGGAUUGGAUUAAUUUGAAAGCAGAUGUUUAGAAGAAGGCGCGGAGGAGUUUUUUCUGAAGCCAGUUCGAUUGUGCGAUGUGAAUAAACUGAAACCGCAUAUGAUGAAGACGAAAGUGAAGGAAGAUCAAAAUCGAGAAGAAGGAGAAGAAGAAUCAAGAACAGAGACCGAAUUGAAGUUGGUACAAGAAGAAGAAGGGGAAAUUGAGUUUGAGAUGAUGAGUAAGAAGAGAAAGGGAGGUACGGAAGAAGAAGAAGAAGAAGGUUUGGAGGAGGAGAUGAGAAGAAGAAGAAGAAGAUACAACAACAAUGGCGUCGCAACGGCGAUUUGAUUAAACGAUACGGCAACGGAGGCGGGGCAUUAGAGAAAUUGUAUAUAAGAGAGAGAGGUUAUUGAAAAGAAAUUUAGAAGAAGAUGGUGAUUCGUUUCUUACAAUGGAAGAUUUGUUAUACAUCAAAUUCAAUUUUGUUUUUCCAUUUCUAAACUCAAUAACAAACUCUCCUCCUCCAAUUACCAUUUUAAUUUUUUAAAAACUAUCUUACAAACUAAAAUGUACAUUUGGACACACAAACUCUAUACUCUAUGAACUAAAAGUCUAUUUUAUCAUAAGUUUUCCAAACUCAUCUUUACUUUUAUUUUUUAAAAUAAUUUAGUCUUAGAACAUUCAAAAUUACAUUAAAUAUUUCAACCUUUUAACUUUGUAUCCAAUAGGUAAUUGGUAAAGUUGGAAUCUUGAUUUAUAUAGUUGGAAAAUGGAAAAAAUAAAUAUAUAUUAAUUUGGGGUAAUUUUAUUAAAAAUUAUAAUUUAAACCAAAUUGAAUUAAUGAUAUAUAUAAUCUUAAAAGUAAUCAUUAGUCCUAAGUCUCGACUAGUUUUUUUUUUUAAUUAUUAUGGUGCAUGUAUGUAUGUAUAAACAUAUUUGUUUAGAAAAAGGUUUAAUUAUGCACAUCCAAAAUAAAAAUUAAGAUAAGUUUGAACUUAUGGUCCUACAAUUUUAACUUAGUUUUUGUUUGUUUCGUAUGUUUUGAAAACUAACACUAUUAAAUUUUAAAUUCGAAUUUGAUUUGUUUUGUCUCGAAAAUGGUUUGUUUAGUUCUUAAAUCAUUAUUAAUGGGUCACUACGUUUAAAUUUUGGGUUUUAUUAGAUUAUCAAUAUCUUAUUUUAACGAGUUUAAUUUUAUAUUUUAGAUUAAAACACCAAAUUGUUUUAGUUGUAGUUCAUCAAUUUUAAAUUUGUUAAAUUUUGUUUAUAUAUCUUCAAAACUGUGUCAUUGGGCUUUUUAAUUUGGGUCUUAAUUGUUGUGUUGUUUCUUCUGCCAUAAAUUUGCUUUGCUUUGUAUAUUCGUACCUUUUUUUAAAAAAAAUAUCAAUUUUGCCAUUCACUUUCCUUCCUCCCAUGCUAGUGGUGAUGACUUCUAUCAAUGAUAUCAUGUCUAAUAUAUCAAUAUGUUUUUAAUAAAUUUAUCGUUAAUAACUUGAACUUUAAAUUUCUAAAUGAUAUAAAUGCUGAUAGGAUAACCUAAAAUCAAUAAAUAAUUUCAACAAAAGUUGCAACUAUAUCAAUUCUAUCAAUACUAUUAGUGAUAGAAGCUAUCAUAGGGACAAUAUGUUGUUGGUGAUUCAAACCUAUUAUUGAUCUAUUUUCUUUGUCCAUUUAUGCUAAAAACAAAACACCACGACAUCAAUUCAUAGUAGUAUUAACUUGAUAUCAUUGAUAUAUAGUAGCCUAUUAAGGAUGUUACUUAUAGAUGUUAUCAGCGAUAUCCUUAUGUUGCUAUCACUGAUAGAUAUUCUUAAUGAUAGCAAUAGAAAAAUAUUAUUGAUAGUAGCUAUCAAAAGUAUCAAUUGAUACCCCAAUUAAACCUCAUCAAUUAAAAAAUGAUAUGUUCACCAAGGAUAUAUCACUUAUAAAAAAAUAUAGUUAUAAUGACAUCGCUUAUAAUUGCUAUUAGCAAUAUCCUUCUAAUGCAAUCAUUGAUAGAUAAUGUUAGUGAUAUCAUUUUAUGUUGAUAGCAAUAUAAAAAAUUACUUACAGAAGGUAUCAGAUCAGAACUGUCAAUUGAUAGCAACAUUACUAAUAAGAGAUAUCAUUCGCAGUAACUAAUAUCACUUUUUUUUUUCAAAUUGAAAGUUAUCGCUGAUAGUAAUUAUAUAAGUGACAGUAGCUAACUAUAACAAUUGAUACCAUAUUUCUCAAAUUGAAAAUUACUUUAUCCUUUAAUGGUUAUCAUUGAUAAAAGUUAUAUAUCGUUGAUACACUUUAUCAAUCGAUUAACAUAUUUAUCAAAUUAAAAGCUAUCAAUGACAACAAUGUAUAACAACUAUCAAUGAUAGCUUUCGAUUUAAGAAAAUUGGGAAACAAUACUCGCAAUAGUGACAAGUUAUCACUGAUAGUAGUUAUUAGUCAUUAGUGAUAGUUGUUAUUAUUGAUAAAUGCUAUCGGUGAUAGUUUUUAAUUUUAGAAUUUCGACAGAGAACGUCCAAAAUGGUGGUUGGACAUGGAGAUUUUUAUAUUUUACUAGUUUUUGUGCUAUAUAUGCAAUUAUUUUAUCCUUGUGCUAUAUAUUAUUUUAGGCUUGUUUGCCAUUUAUACAAUUAACUCAUGCAUGUGCAAUUUAACAAAUAAAAAGUAAGGAACAAAAUUGAUAGCAUGUGAGUGCGAGCAAUAUAUUAAGUAUGAGAAAAUGAACCAAAAUGUUUAUAAAUAUGUGAAGACGUUAAUUAUAACAUACAAACUAAGUAAGUACAAGGGACUUUUUUUUGUAAAUGGGUAAGGUAGAAUGUGUGUUUUGGAUGAUAGUGAAAGAGAGGUGUUGCAUGAGGGAGAGAGAAUAAAAUGUACAAUGAAUUAGAGAGAAAAACUGACUUUGGCUUUGUAUGCAAUAUGCAUGAGGGAAAUUUGGUUUUUUCUUGGAUGCAUUAUUUAACUUUUAAGAGGACAAAAUUCAAGUACUAUGCAUGAAGGAGAGAGAUUAGAGAAGGUCACCAUUAUAUGUUCCCAUUACUUGCAUGGUGUGAGGGAGAGGUUUUUUUCUUUUUUCUUUACACUUUUUACCUUUUCUUUUUUAAAAAAAUGAAAAUUAAUGAAAAUAAUACUUUGUACAAAAAGAAGAAAAGGAAUAAAAUGUAAAUUUGGUUGAUUUUGAAGUUUGAAAUCUGAGUUUCUGCCUUUAAUUUGUUGUUGGGAACAAAACUUAUAGAAAGAAAAUUAACAAUAACAUUCUUUCCUCUUCCUUUUCUCUUCUCUAUCUUCUCCUCUCCAUCUAUCCAUUUAAUUUCUCAUCCUAUCAUAUCAUUGUUGUCUCUAUGGCUUUCUUUAAAAAUAUAAAGCAACAGGUAAAUCUAUGUUUUGUGUUGAUCCCAAACAAAUUGAUUUCGAAGAUACCUUUAAUUAAUAAGUUUGGUGGUCUGUUUAUAUAGGUUAGCCGAUGUGUAAUUAACGUUUGGGCUCAUAAUUGUCUCUCUUAAAUUUCUUGAAUUAUCGAUUCGUUACUUAUUGUACAACUACACUACCACCAUUCGAGGUUGUAACUGAUGGUUAAGUGCAUUAUCUCUUCAACAUCUCAACAAUUUCUUUAUAGAUCGUCUUUUGAUAAUUUGAAAUUUAAUCACUUUGAAGUCUUUCAAGGGAACUCUUUGAAAUCAUCACUCUUAUGUUCUCCAAUAGACUUUCUAAUAAAUCUAAAAUACUUUUAGGGUCCUUCAUUGGUGUUCUAAGUUAUAUGUGAGCUAUCUAUAAGUCUAUUUUGUGCUAUCGCUAGGCUUCUUCAUGGAUCAUCUUAGCCACCCUUCCGUGGGUAUUGCCAAGGGCCCUAAACCAUUGAUUCCUCCAGGCUCCAACUCGCACAUAAGUGGGCCUGUUUUCCCUUUUUCCACGUGGCAAAGUUUUUUCUCAUUCUCCAAUUUGGAACAUUUAAUAAAUACAACUAGUAAUUAAUAAAUAAUAAAAAGAAAAGUAUUUUACGGCAUAAUCGUAUGGAAAGGAAAGGAGCAGCCGAUCAAAACACCCAAAAAAGCAAAAACACAAAACCGCUAUUCAUUGAUCAACCCAACAAAAUAUUACAUAUAAAUUAUAAACAAAAAAAAAAGCCACAAACUCCAAAUCAAAAUUCCCUUCUUCAAUUUUCCCUCAAUUUCUUCCUCUUAAUCAAAACCUUCCCUCCAAUUCCUUCUCUCCUUCUUCAAUCCGAUUCAGGUAUGAUCCACCCCGCUCUCCUACUCCAUCUCUCUAAUUCCCUCGAUUCCUUUUUUUUUUUUCUGAUUUUUCAUUCUCCCUUCUCCUUCUUCCGAUUUUGUCUCCGUUUCUGCCUUUUUCCGCUACUUCUCUCUUCAUUCCUACUGUUUCUUUUUUCCUCUCACUUUGAAGCUGGUUUAGGGUUUUUUUUUUUUUUUUUGGUUCUCCCCCCCUGUUUUUAGUUUUAUGGUUCUUGGCGGUCAUUGCGGUGGAAUCAUUGACAUACUAUGUGAUCUCUUUGCUAAUGACUUUCGUCAUAAGUUAUUCUGUUGACUAUCGGGGUUUUUCGUUGUUUGUUAAUCGUUAUUCUUGUUUUGUUUUUAAGAUUUUUUAUUGUUUGGGUGGUUUAUUUUUGUUGGGAUCAUUUUUGGGAAGGGGAUUUUUAGACUGCUGGAAGAAUGUUCGUGCAUGCAGAAUCGAUUAACUGUAAAGCUUGUGCAUCACUGUUGUAAGUUGAGGGUUAAUGUGAAGAAAAAAGAUUUGGAUAUUGUAUGUGUCCAAAUCAUUGUUUGAUCGGGUCAGGUGGUCAACAAAAAUGACAGGGUUUGGUUAAAUUUGGUGUCGUGAGAGCCUUGUGGUUUAGGUUUGAGGUCGUUUCUGAAUGGUGGUUGUUGUUGUUGUUUUUUUUUUUAAUUUUUUUUUAAUUUUUUUUUUUAUUUGGUAUUGUUUUUGUUACCAAACUCAAUGAUUUCUCAUUAUUGGUUUGCAUUGUUGGAGUGGAUUGUGUACUUUAAGGCAGUUUGACAUUAUUGUAACCUAUUCUUGUGAAUCUCUUCAUCAAGUUAUAAGCAGACCAGAGUAGUUGCUGUUUCUUGACAUAGGUUCUAUAUAUUUUUUUUAAAUUCUAAAAUAUUAUUGUUUCAAUAGUGUUCAUAUUACAUCUAGUUGGUUUAAUGCAAGCCUUUAUAUCAUUCCUCUGUUACGGAAAAAAGUUGUCUUCAAUAAUGCUUUUUAUGGAUGCAUUAAUUAUAGGAUUUGACUUGAGUGUAAUAAUAGGAUUUUCAGAGAGGUUGAGAGGUCGUUUGAUGAGGUUUAAUGCAUCUUUUAGGGCUUUGGUUAUUAGGCUUUCUAGUAAUUAUGAUUUGUGUGAUUUUAUUGGAUCUGAGUUCGUUUCUGUAGAUAGUUCUUGAACUUCUUUUGUCAGGCUUUCUGUAUGUCCUUGUUAUUCUAAUGAACGUCCAGUUUCUAACCAAAAGAAGGAGUAAAUUAAGAAAAGAAAAAGAAAGACGAUGCCCCUAUGCAGACUGUGGAAAUUAGAGAAAAUGAAAAUGAAAAGUUAAGGAGCAAUGCAAGAAAUUUCUGGAACAUGUAAAGUAUAUCUUGAUUCCUUAUAGUAUGCCACACAGGACAAGUGUUUUAGUUUCUUCCAGAAGAUAUCUUUUUCUGAUUAUUUAAUUUUUAACUUAAAAUUUAUUCCCUCAGUCCUUUUUUUCUACAGGAUUUCUGUUGAGUGAAGAAUAUGUCAAAUUGCAUGACAUGAUAGAUUUGUUCUUUCAUUUAACAACUACUUAUUUUAGACUUGACAGUUGGCAUGAACCUUGGUUAUAUUUUGCUUCUGCAGCUCAAAGCUCUUUGCAUCUGAAAGUUAUAUGGUUUCGUCAUUCAACUUAUAUUUGGUGCACUGAACUGCUUUCCUUAGUCCCAAACUAUCCAUCUCCGGUAAUUUGCAUUCAGAUCCUGCAGUGGAGGAACAGUGCUGGAUAGAGUCUUUAAGAAUGUCAAGUGGACCGAUGAGAAGAGUCUCACGCCAAGAUAUUCAGUUGGUAAGCUGAAGUGUUCUUGGUCCAGUCCAGCCCUUAUCAUCACUCUAUCUCUCUCUCCCCUAUUUGUAGGCGUCAAAAUUGUUGACAAACUAAGCUUCACCAAAUAAAUAUAAAUGGGGCGCUAUAUGUCAAUGUUUAACAAAAACAGGAAAGCAAAAGAUAGUUUUGAUUUCUCCAUUUCUUUUAGACUCUUUUUACAGAUAAAAGAAAUUAUAUUCCGCUGCAGUUAUGUUUUGAAUCGUUAUGACACUUUUUUGUUCAACCAUUCAACUUUUCUUUUAUGAGAUAACGGCGUGCUACAUUAUUUCCAAUCUUUCUGAUGCUAGGUGCAAAAUCUUAUUGAACGAUGCCUUCAGCUAUACAUGAACCAAAAGGAAGUUGUGGAGACACUGCUGAAUCAAGCUAAAAUUGAGCCUGGUUUUACAGAACUUGGUAACAACGACUUCAUAUUUCUUGCUUCCCUUUUUCACCCUUGCUUAUGCAGUUAAUAGCGAUUGAAAUCGUGAGAGAUGUUAUGAGAGGAUUAUUAUAUCAGAACUAAUAGGCACAGUAUUGCUUUCCUGGUUUUUUUUCUCAUAGAAAUUUGAUCCUAAUGCUCAUGCCAGGCUCACAAAUUUCUUAGUUCGAUGUUAUAUUUGCUUUGUCACUGAACUUUCAGACAGUUGAUAAUUCUGGAUUGGUCAUAUUCUACAGUAGAUAUUCCUGUUGUCUUACAGCAAUUUAAUGAAUUUCCUGCACUCUAGUUUGGCAAAAACUUGAAGAAGAGAAUCGUGAAUUCUUCAGGGAGUAUUAUCUGAGAUUAAUGGUGAAGCGUCAGAUAGUUGAAUUCAACAGGUUGCUUGAGCAACAAGUUCGGAUGAUGCAAAUACAGGAAACUGGAGCUACUCCAUUACCCACUUCCAAUGGAUCGCUAGUCCAACAAAGUGAGUGUGCUUUGCUAUUAUCUUACUUUCUUUGCCCUUUUUUCCCUUUUAUUCUUUUGUUUUACUGUAGGAGUUUGCCUUUUUCCAUUUUUCUUCUUUUAUUACACUUCUUAUGGUUUUCACCUGGAAAUGUCUCGUGUAUAUAAUUUAUUCUAAGUUUUAUUAUAUUAGGCGUAACCUUGCUUCACUUGACCAAUAGUUUUUGACAUUCAAUCUUUGAACAGUGCACCAGAAUCCAACAUAUUCGGUAUCUUCACUGAAGCAGAAUAAUGUGCAGCAUCCUUUUGGUAACAGCAUGCCUAACAAUGCAUAUCUCAACGGUGCUAUGUCAUUGCAUUCGAGAAUGCAUCCCACAGUUGACAUGUCUGCACAUCCAAGUAGGAUCGAAGCACCACCGUCUAUACUACCAACCCAAAGCUCGAACAUAGGGUUGAAUGGUAGGACAAUAAAAUCUGAAGCUGGAUAUUCAGGAAAUUCCUCUUAUAUGUUUGGUGGUGUUGAUAGCAAUGUAGUGGAACCACGCCAAACAAUAGGCGAUGUAUCGGUGGCACCUUUCUCUGGCAUGGAGUCCAAUGCUCAAGCCAUGAAUGAACCACUCCUGGAACCAGAUACUUCCUCUUUUGGAUUUCUUGGUCAGAUCCCUCGGAAUUUCAGCCUAUCAGAUCUAACAGCCGACUUUUCGCAGAGUUCAGGUCUGUGGUGUUUUCUUGCUGUUUUAUAUGGAAGCUGGAAAUUUUAUGUUCAGCUUAUAAACAUUAGAGAGUGUAUAACUUGUUUGAUGAUGUAUUCAGCUUAGAACUUCAACUGUUUGUAAUUAUAUAUUUUAAACACUGCUUGAUACCAUCAGAUAUACUGGAAAGCUAUGCCAGAUCUCCUUUUCUAGCUACAGAAACCGACAACUUCAUGGAUAUUCGUCAUAGAGAACACCAAGGUGCGAAUCGUUUUUACAUACCAAAUCUUACAGUUCGAUUGCUAGAAAGAUUUACUGACUUCAUCCAUCUUCUUUUACAUACUUAGAAGACAAUAAAAGGUCAUUGGAUACCAUAUCAGAAGGCUUGAGUUAUGAGGACUUUGGAAGUGACUCAUGAAAUCAUAUUCUCUGUUUGAUUAGAUUAAGGUACUCUUUUUUAAACUCUAUUUGAUCAUGCUUAUUCCAUCAGUCAUUUCCAAAUUUUCUGUUUUAGUUCACAACUCAUGAAAUUUAAUGAACAAAACAGUAGUAGGAUUUUAACCUCUUUUCUUAGUUUUAUUUACACAUCUGCUGAUGCUUAAUUUGUGUUCAUUUUAUGCAGGUCUUUAUUUUAUUUUGGAGGAAAGGGGGGUUUGACUAAUAAUGUUUGGGAAGUUUCAAACUGAAAAUGCAUCAGAUUUGGGGUUUUCUUAUAAAAAAAAAAGCAAAUGGAAGAAAAGCACAAGCUUCUGAUUAUACUGACAUAAAAAUGUGUAGUGGUAAAAGCUUUGAGUCGACUUCAGAAAUGUAUGUAAAGUCAUGAUUUUCUUUUUAUCAAGUUUGGUUUUGGCCUCCAUUAAUGAUCUUUUGGUAGGAUUUGUUAGCUGUCUUGGUUCGUUUUUUUUUUUCUUAAAUCUUUGGUCAAAAUUAAGUGUAACAAUAUUUAGAUGACGUUUUCGUUUGUUUUGUUUAGCUUAUGAUUUGAAUUAAUCAAAUAGUUUGGUGCCUUUUGAUCUCAAAUUUCAACUAUUUUAAUAUACAGAUUCCUUUUGCUUUGAUUUGCUUUUGUAGUUUCCAAGGGUACGUUUCUGUCAUAUAAAGAUUUCUAUUUCAUAUUCGUGUUAUCACGUAACUUAAAAUUAAAUCAGACGUGCAAAACUUACAAUUUAGAUGAUAUCAAUAACACUAAAAGAGAACAAUCUUAACGCCUCUACUCUUUCAAAUUCUAUAGGAAAAUAUAGGAAAAAAGUUUAAAAUCUAUCAAUAUCUAUACUUAAAAGUUUCUCAAAUUUUCCUAUCAAAUUAGCAAUUGUGUUGAAAAUUAAUGAAGUUCAUAACUAUUUCACAUAUAAAUUUAUUACAAGUAUUCAAUAUAAUUACUAUGCUAAAAUGUUAUAGAACUUCCAUUAACUUCUAAUAUUUCUAACAUGGUAAGAGCUAAGUUGACAAUGUUGAUUUUUUUUCUUUUGGUUUCAUAAGUUGGACAGUACGGGUGGGAAUAGCUAGUACUAGUAAUACACAACAGGACGUUUUUGCUUCACUAAACAUUUGAGAAUAUAUAUACAUAUAUAUAUAUAAUAAAAGUAUAACAUCAACCUCACUUCAUAUUUCACAUAAUCCACAAGUUUUGAUUUCAUUCAUUGCUUCUCAAUUCCUUGUAACUGCACAACCUGAAACAUUAUUCAACCAUGCAUAUUACCUUAUUAUAUUACAAAUAAGAUUAGCUUCAAACUUAAAAUACCAACUUAAGAUAAUAUUUAAUAUAUGAUACAACCUUGUAACUGAAGGCAUAAAUGAUAUAUCACUUAAGCUACACUCAAGACUAAGUUGACUAACUAGGCAUAAUUGGACAGAUUAAAGAGGAACCUUACUUAAAUUAAGUCGUGAAAUCGAUGUAAUUUAAGCUAUAUGAUGUUUUAAAAGAAAAUAAAUUCAUUAAAUUUGUUGCAUGGUCAGAAUAUUGUCGUAUAACAGGAAGCGAAUAAUAACCACUAGAGGCAGAAAUCAACUUACAAAAGACAACAUUAAGUUCACGAAGAUAUGCCUCUUCUACGUGAGCUUCUUCUCUUAACUCGCAAAUUGGAGGUCCCUACAAAGUGGCCAGAAAUGUAUCAAUUGAAACUCUUGAUUCUUGAAAUCUUAUAAAAAAAACAAUAAUAAAAUAAUCAAUUUUUUGGGCGCAUGAUACCUUCAUCAUUCUCAACUUGGGAUGAUUGGAUUUCAGUUUUACAAGUUUCCGACUCUGUCAGCUCACUGGAAGCUCCAGUAUCUUCCGACUCAACUAACUUAGGUUCUGAAUUGUCAUUUAUAGACUCACCAUCUUCAGAUGAUUCAGUGUUUUCAUCUGCAAGAAUGAUGUUUAAAUGUCAAAGUUCCUACCAAUGAUGGUAUUAGACUACUUAGAAAUUAGAACAUACAAGAACAAUAGAAAUGAGUUGGUGGCUUAAACCAACCUUCAGUGAUUUCGGACUCUGGAGAAUCUUCAUUUUUCACUGCCACAAAAGUAGUUUCAGUAUUAUCAAUUCUCUGUUGAUGAAUCUUGGCAUUUCUAGCAGUAACUUCCUGCUCCUUCCUUUCCGCAUGAGCCUUGUUAAGUUUUUCUUCGAAUUCUUCGACGCACAACUUGAGUUCUGGUUUAGCAAAUUUCUUACUCUGAAAUAAAAAAUGAAGACAUGAGAACUUUCCAAUUCUAAGGUUAGUGGGGUGUGCGAGUUCUAGCGAAUAAGCUUGUACCUUGUUUAUGAUGCUUUUGAAAUGCUCCAUUACCGAGUCCUCCGAAACAACAUGUUCGUAUGUCUUGAAUGAAUCUAUCAACUUUUUCAUUCCCUUUUCGGUGAAGCCGAGCUGAGUAAGGCAAUAUGAAAUAUAUUCCCACUGUCUAACAUCUGCAAAUGGAUAAUUGUCAUAAGCUUCAAAACACCAUGAUGCGGUUAAUUUGAAAACUGGAUAUUUGAUACACAGCUUAGUGCAUUGAAACCAAUAUAUAUAUAUUUUUUUGGUUCAGCUUAGUGCAUUGCAACCCUUUCCUCACUCUUUAUCUUUCUUUUGCUUGCAAGAUUGCUAUUUUCCAGCAAGCUUUUCAUAUAUCUUGAGUGAUCUCUCUUCAAUUCCUAACUUCUACUCAGAGUGAGCUUGAAAUGACUUAUGAAAGUAUUGACUUUCUAUAUGAAAUAUAUUUUCCAACGAUUGCUCCAUUUACCAAUGGAACAUUUUAAAUAAAUAAUGCAUUAUAAAACUAUAAAGUGAAAUCUUCAACAAUAAUUCUCCUUUGUCAUAAGUGAAUAGUAUGUGACUGACAAAAAACUCAUCCCACUAUUACUAGACUUGAGUGCCUAAACAAAUUAAAAAUUACGUCAACAAUAAUAAAGUAUUGGGUAUUAAUAAUAAAUGCAUAUUAGAAGUCAUACCAAGAGAGCAUGUAGGCAAGUACAAAAAUCAAAACUUUCUAGUUUUAUAGCGGGAAAUUAUAAAUUGGAAAACAUGCAUGCAGAGAGAAGAGUUGAAAAUUAAUACCUGAAACUCCACUAAACCUAUUGCAUAGCUUUUCGACAAGUGACUCCAUUUGUUUAUCCUACAAAAACAUAAUAAGUAGUAAGUUUUAGAAAUAUAUUAGUUAGAUUCCCUCAAUUAAAUUUUCAUACCCUCUUGAUGGAGCCAAUUAAGAAUUGCAUAAUGUUACAAAAUGACUCUCUCUGUAGAUUUUGAUUACAAAGCUUUCCUAAUAUAUCUGGUAGUAGAUUGUAUAUUGGAUUUGCUCCUGUAGAAAAGGGAAUUAGAAUAAGAAAUUCAUAUGAGCAAAAUCCAGUUCAUUUAGUGAAAAAAAUGUGAGCAAUACCUUUCUUAGACAACUCGUGAAAGAACAGUUUGGCCAGAUUUGAUAUUCUCUCAUCCUCAUCUUCUAAACGUAAAGUCAUUUCAUUUAUAUAACCUUUUACCUAAGCAUAAAUAUCAAAUCAGUAUCUUUCGAAUAUGAUAAAAACAAGUUAAGGUAAACUAACAAUAUUGCAUCAAUCAAACCUUCAUCAUAUCGUUUAAAAUGAGAUGAGAUAGCACCAAUACAGCAUUCUUCCUAACAGAAUUCGAAGGAUCCUUUAACCUUACAUACAUAUUCUCAGUCCAUGGCUCCAAGAGAUUAGGGAAACGAACAGCCAAAUCUCCUAAAGCAAUAGUACAAUUGGAACGAACAAUAUCUGAUGGUGCAGUUUCUACAACGGUGAAAAGAAGUUGGAGAUUUGCUUGGCUGAAAGUUCAUUUACUUGAGAGUUAGGAAAGCUUUACAUUGAUUAUUACACAUAUAUAGAGAGAGUGGGGUCUCACCAAAAAUCUGCAUCAAUGAUCAUUAAACGACAUAGAGCAAGCAUUGCAGAUGCUUGUAGAUCUGGAAACUGCAGAUGGAAAUAAUAGACAAUAUGAACAAUUCAAAAUUAAAUUUUCAUCUUACCGUAAAUAAUAGAAACUAAAAAGAACAUUGGUUUUAAAGUCUGAAAAUAUGUAUACAGUGCACGAAACUACUAUGCCCACUAACAUGUCACAAAGAACUUUCCACACAAAACAAAUGAACCAAAAUCUCUGUGGUUUUGCAAUUGCCAAAAGAAUAAACUUAAUGUAAGAGUUCACAAGUAAAAACACCACAACCAAAGAGAAACAGAUGAAGAUUCCAACAAUAUGGUUGAUCCUGGACCGUGUCUCAGUCCAGUGUGGCUGAAAACACCAGCUAAGCUAGCAACAAAAAAAUCAAUAAUAAACUCUUCAUCAAAAGUAUAGCUGUAUAGAUAUAAAACAGAUCACAAACAUUCACCUUAUGCAACAAGCUAAAAUUUCUGCAAAGCUUGGAAAGAAACGGUGCACAGUGUCCUAUUAAGUUCUUCCCUCUUGAAUUACCAAAAACAAUUUCUUUUUCUGCCUUCUCUGAAAGAGAAUCAACAAUUGCAUCUUCAGAAGCAGCAAGGCCUAGCUCAGCAUUGAUGCCAUCUUCCUGCAAGAAUUUAAAUGUCAAAUUUUAUAUUACAAAAAAAAUGUAACAAAACAAUAGAUAGACAACUGUAUCCUGGUCCCAUAACUGAUUCUUAUACAAAAGGAGAACUCACCUUCUCGCCAUUAGCUACUGUUCCACCAUUACCGUGUCCAGUCUGACCAUCAACAACCGUUUUUUCCUUCGCUUUUUGUUUCUGGAUUUUUCGGGUGCACAAUUCGAUAUAUACUAAUUGGUUCAUGGCUACAUGACUCGCGAUAAAUAAAUAUCUACUAAGUUUAUCUAUGUGGACAGUAGUUAAUAUGUCCCCAUUUCCACUUUCAAUGUCAGCUUGCAGUUCAUCAUCCUUGUUACCAUUAAAAACAGAAGUAAGAGAAUUUUUAACCAAAUUUGCUGCUAAGAUUUCAGGGGAUGGAUGAAUUGAAUAUACAGCUGCUAUGGCUUUAUCAGCAGCAGCAUACCAUAUCUUCUCUGGAAGCCAAGAACUAGUAAUCAAGCUUUCCAGCUUAUCGAACACCCGGCUACCAUUACCAGCCAACAACCUUUUCUUGUCAUUUUCAGACAGUCUCUGGAGGGCAAUGCACGCUGUUCUGGCAAGUAAAGGGUCCACCUUAGACCAUCGACCAAACCCAAUGUCGAUAAUGUCCUGUAUAUGAGAGCCAAGAAUACCAGCAGAUGAUUUUGAUGCCAUGCAAAGAACAGACAAUGCUCCCCGGCUUUGCUCUGCUGUUGUUCCACCAACAUUAAAGCAAAAAAAAUCCCAUAAAGCUGAUAUCUGGAGAAAAGGGGGGACAAAAACAAAAUACACUUAUUAAAAUUCUUCUACAUUCCAUUGUAGAAACAGGCACACCAUCAAUAAUGGUGGGGAGAUCAAUGCGCCGUUAACGAGUAUGGCUCGGUAAAAUCGCAACAGUUAACAAUUAACACACAAGCUGUUCAGAUGCCAUCAUACAAGAACCGAAUUUAUAACUUGUACCUCAAUACAGGAAUGCCGAUCUAAUUAGUAAUAUCUGAUAACUCCAAGUAAUUGAAGACACAUUUAUCCAUAUUUUUUAAAUUGAUGUGGUAGUACAUGACCCACAUGCCAGUCUAAAGUUAUACGUCUGUUUCCACGUCCCUUCAGUCAAUACAAUGAAUAUCAUAGAAAUGAAUUCAUUCGCUAGUAAUUUUACUUCUAGAAUCCGAGCCCGUACCCAACUCAUUCAGAUGCCACUCAGGCCGUAGAAAAUAAUACGAAAUGAAUUUUUGUCGACUAAGUUCCUUAAACCUUACAACCUCUUUGCUAUUUUUUUAAACAUUAUGUCCUAAAAUUAACUGGCCUAUUACUCUCGAUGAGGACCUAUGAAAGUCCUUUUCGUCCCUAAACGACUAGAGAACUAUUCGCUUUAAAUUUUUCACUGUCAUAAGACACAAUUGUCAGGCUAAACUUUCCAGAAGUUGUUAACUUGCUAAGAAACGAUAUGAAACAGAGAUAUAAAGCGAGGCAUACCGUGCUACUAGAUAUAUCACCUUUCGACACCAAGGCAUCAAUCAUAAACUCCAGAGCGGCAAGAUCUCCAAUGUUUGAAUCAAUGGCAAGAUGUAGAAGAUUUUUGGCAGUUUCAAUUUGGUUUUUUGUUAUAUAUAUUGUUAUGAAGGCAUUCUCAACAGCUUCAUAUAUAGAUUUAUCUUGAGAAAAUGCCUACAAAAUAAAGAGAGAUAAAAAAAACAAAAAUUUAAUCUACAAAAUGGAAAAACAAAAAUUGACAACUUUAAGCCCUGAAAAAAGUUAAAGCAUACCAAUGGCAACAUUUUACGGAGGCAAGCCUCUGAGCCAUCUAUUUGGAAUUGUCUGCACCUCAUCAACAAAAGAAUUGUAUUCUCAACGUCAGUGGCAGAAGAAGAAGCCAUUAACUGAACUAGUAUUGGCAUUGCUUCUGAUAUACAUGUUGAAAACCUCAAACCAGCCUCCAGAGAUGCAACUAAAGCCCUGAUCUGCUCCGUGUUUCCAACAUCCAAAGUCAAAUUGUCCUUCUGAACAACCUCCUCUUCCAUUUGAGGAGGAUAACUAUCAGUUAAACUAUCCUGCCGGUUCCCUCCCUCACCUUUUAUAUGGCCGUUAUCAACCUCACCAUCACCAUUAAAGAUAUCGCCAUCAAAUGGCGAGCCACCAUCCACAUUUUCGGAGGACUUAUUAGGUUCAAGCUCGUCUAAUUUUUUCUUAUACUGCUCUAGAGUUGCUUCAAAUGAAACUACUCGCAGCUGUGGGCCAAAUGGAUUGUGCUGCAACAUACUGAUGAGCAAUUGCAAUGCAGAUUUUCGGACAAUUGCACUCUUAUCCUCCAGCCUUCCAGCUGCAACUGCUGCCACUUCAUUCCACAAACCGAUAGAAACAGAAUGUUCUUCACAUAGUUCAGCCCAAACCUGAAGAACUCGACUCCUAGUGUAAGCUGAAACAUCCCGGCAACGUUCAAGCAAGAUUUCUAGCAUUGCCUGCUUGCUCCGAAGACGAACUGAUUUACAACUCUGUUCACCUUCAAUGUCGCAAAAUGCUUUAACAGUCAGCUUACCAAGAACCCCCACCAGAGCAUUUCUUAUUUUAUAGGAUUCACCACCAAAAUGUGGAAUUAGAAGUCCAAUGUUGGUCGAGAACAACUUUGGGAGCCUGUCAGCAAGCUCUACUAGGAAUCGCCCUAUGUUUUCAGCCCCAGCUGUAUCUUUAACAUAUUCUUUCGGGUUAGUCCUUCCAACAUCUCUAAUAAGAGAGAUUGCAAGGAUUCCAUCGGAAUAUUUCUUCUCUGCCCCGGCAACAGCAUCAGCCAUAUGGGUCACAACGUAAUCAUACUUAUGAAUAAGGUGCAUAAUUGAGGCACAUGAUUGGGUAGUAAAGUGAUAUUUUGUUGAACAAGCACCAAUUAUACGACACAGAGCAUCCUUUGUGUCAACGUCCUUCAAAAGGACUGAAUUCUCGAACAUUGAGAACACGUUUCUAUAGAAAACCCAAGUUAAAAAUGUUCAAAUUACAAGUAAAUAAACAUGGGAGUUGUUUUCACCAAGCUAAGGAGUAGAACGUACUUUGUAACAAAAGACAGAUAAUUCUCAUCUGGGUCUGAUGAACCAAAGAGCAACGAGAUAUUGAUCUCCAGUGAAUUAGCAAUCAAGUUUAAUAUACGGCCCCUCUGCAUUUCCCAAUCCCACGAACUUUUGGGCAUUUUCUUCCGAGUACUAGCAGUCACCUACGGUCAAAAUUGAGAAAAAAAGGAUGAAAUUCGAAUAAAGCUAACAUAACCAAAAAAUCUAUCAAACCAUUUCGAAAGCAAAUAAUAACCAGCAAAAAGGAAUUAGAAGAAAACCUUUGAAUUGUUACUACUACUACCAUUGGCUUCCUCACUGUUGACGAUAUUGAGGAGGAAAAACGUAUAGAUUUUAAAAGCAUUACGAUGGGACGCAAUCUGAUCAAGCACCGGAGCGUCGCCAUCAUUGUUUGGGGAAGCACGAGCAAGCGAAUCAAUGUUGGGAAGAAGAACACUGAAAUUGGAGCGAAGACUCUCAACAAUAUUCAACUUACAAGAGGGAGAGAGGUGUUUGUAGUCUCGAAUCAAAGAGUAAACACGGUCGAAAGUAUCCUGCUCUUCAACGCAGAAGAGGUCCUUAUCGGAAAGAUCAAAGGAAAUGCCUAAAGAAAUUCAAGGAAAUGAAGAAUGAAGAUAAGAAAUUAAGGGUGGUGAUAUGGUAUGAUAUGUGUUCCGAAAUGGAAGAACAAAAAGUAGUGAAAAGAGUGGAAGAGGACGAACCUUUGACGAAUUCUUCGAGUUGAGAUGGAGGAAGAGAGGCGAUUUCAGUGGGAUUCUGAACGGAGAGACGGUUGUCUUCGUAGUCUUGUUCGAGAGAACGAAGAGUUUGGGGGAAAACGAAGAGGGGAGCCAUUGGAGAGAGAAGAAGAAGCUCCAGAAGAGCUAAAAGAAGAAUGUUGAGUAUCCAAAUUCAAAUCGUAAGGGCUUUUCAAGGAGCGGGAAGGCAUUUUCCGGUCGGGUCGGGUUGUGAUCGCUUUAUUUCUUACUUUAAUAAAUACAAAUGUUUUUAAAUUCUAAAAUAAUAAGAAUAUAUAUUAAAAUUUAACUUUUUUUUUUUAUGUUUUUUUAUGUCCAAAUAAAUUAAUUAAACAAUAAAAAAAUGUAAUGAUAUGUCAAACUUUUUAUUUUAAAAAAUUGAUAAAUAGUUAUAUAGAUUAAUGGAUAAGAAAUUGAUUCAUUUUAAAAGUGGAUGAUUCCCAAUUUCCAACCAUGAAAAGAAAAUAUACUUUGAUAAUAAGUAAAUAGAAUUGUAAAUGAUAAAAUUUCGAGAAAUAUUUAUAAAAUAUAGUAAAAUUUUAACUUCUAUCCAUUUUUAUCAAUACCACCAACAAAAAUUGAUAGAAGACAUUGAAUUUUAUUACGUUUCAUAAAUAUUUUGAUUCGUUUGAUGUAAGCUAAAAAAAUUUUCCAUUUCAUAAAUAGUUUGAUUCGUUUCGCUAUAUUUGUGAGUUUGAGCUUUUCAAAUGGAAACAGAGUUGAAUUUUAUAUAAUGAGUUUUGAAAAGUGUAACAAAUAAAUAAACUUUCAAUUUUGCUUUUAAUAAACUAUUAAUCUUUUACUGGAAUCAUGACCUACAUUUUUUAAAAUGACACAAAAUUGAAAAUAUUAUUGUUUUGAUAAAUACAAAAUUAACUUUAUAUCUUAUAGAUAUCUAAAAAUACUGAAAACUUUUUUACACACAAAAUUGAAACAUCUCUCUCUAAAUAUAUACAACCUUGGUAUAGGGGUAAGUUUUUUAAUCAAAGAAGGGAUUUUCUACGAGGAUCAACUUUUCCGUGGUAAAAAUAUGUAGUUUACAGAAAUGAAAACAUAACGGAAAAAUUCAAAGGUCCAAUGCAGACCAGAGAGUUAGGAAUUGAUGAAAUUGAAGAAGCCUCCGAUCAGCCAAUGUGAAAAGCGCCAACGUCGCCAGUUCUGGUGGAGCAGGUGACUUCGUGGGCAAAGGCCAAACAAGAAGAAAUACAGCCGCUAAGAGUCCAACUCAUACUUAACAACUUCCAACCAUAGUCAAAAUCCGAAAAACAUGAAGCUGUUUAAAACGGGAGGAGUGACUCUGAUUAGCGAAGCUCAUGCUAGAUGGCAUGCUUCAUUGGCGCGGCAGUGAGUAGCGAGAUUGACUGCUCAAACUUGGACAGAAGGACAACACAACAUGGCUCCGCACUCAACCACAGACCUGAUUUUGUCAACCACAAACGUUCUGAUUCUGUUGACCACAUUGAGCAUAACGAGAUGGAUCCAUGAAGUUCUUCGGUUCUGGAGUUCUGCCGUUUACAGAUUAAAAAUUAGUAUAUGUUUUAGCCAUUUAGAAGGCUUUUAUAUAACUUCUAUUAGCUACAGGUUUAUUAGCCCAAGCUCAACCCACGCCCCGGCUCUAACUUCUCAUUGUUUAUUUCUAAUAGGAAUCUACAUGAUCUCUUCCUGUAAUACAUGUUUGUUUCUUCCGCAUGAGAGCAUAUGAUUUAUGAAUGUAUACUUUAAGGAUAUGAAAAACAAUAGAUAUAUGUUCUAAAAAUCAAAAGCAAAAGUCAUAUGAAUAAUCAACGUACGGGAUAUAUUCCAAUUAUCAAAGCACAAAAGUAUGGCUUUGUUGAAAUAACUUGAAAUAAAAAGUUAGAAAACACAAAAAGAAGAAAAAUGGAUAAAUUCAUCCUUUCUUUUAAAUAACAUAGUUUAUAGACUAAAGAAGACAGACCUGUAACGAAGGACAGAGAUAUAGCUUAGUUGUUGAUGGUGGAAGCAAUCUCAUCCGUACAAGUUGUAUGCUUCCCUAUUUGCCAUUUGCCCGUGAAUAUGGCUGGCAAGAGAGAUGAAGUGGAUAUUAAUAACAGGAAAUUUGAUGUUAUAAGGAAGCAAUAAUACAAAGUUAUAAACAUACCAAAUGACAAAUCAAAUGUGAUUUUAACAUAUUUUUAUGACUCUAAAUCUAAAGAUUAACUGUGAACUGCCUGCUUCCAAAUACUACAUGAUCUUUCACAAACAAAUAAUAGAACAUACAGCAGACUCAAUGAAAAGAGCUUGGACUGGCAAACGAGAUUUUCCAUUUCAGAAGCAAAUUUUAUGUUUGUUUUACACAUUUCUCCACUUUUUUCUCUUGAUUUCUCGGUUUAAAUAUAAGGAUAUAAGGAUAUAAGAAGUAAGAACCCACUACAAAAAAUCUCUAGAACCAUGAAAAUUACAAAUUCAAGGAACUUGUCACUCGAAAAUAUAUUUAACUAACCACUAAGUAACCAAAUAUAAACAAGUAAACGUAGAAUAAAUUAUAAAUAGCCAAGUUUCUAAAUCUAAAAUAUACCUAAAACAUUUCAGAUCUUAAAUAUAUUUAAGACAAUAAAAUAGAAAAUAACACAAAAAACUAUCUUUUACUUCUGUAAUAAUUAUAAAAGAAUACUUGACCUCAAAAUUAGCAGGUCAUGGAGAGAUUCGAUCAACUCCAGAAUAAAAUGAAAUCACUAUGGCCUCAAUUUACUAAGCUCAGACCUCAGAAUUCACAAGUCAAACUAUGAUAUUCAUCAGAAAAGGCAACUAGGAAGCAAAUUGAGUGAAAUUGCUAUUAUUGAAACAAUCAAGUAGGCGUAGUCUAUGAAUAAUGUGUGUUGGAUAAUUCUUGUAUCAUGGACAAACGAAUUGAACCAACCUCUGGGUGUAGCUUAGAAACUUAUAAAAAGAACUCUAUUUGUGAAGGUCUCAGAAACCACAAGCCAUCCAUUUCUGCUAGUUCUCACUGCAAAGCUGAGAAAGGACAAAAAAAGGGCGGGUGUAACAGGUGCAUCCCAGUUUUGAAAGCCAACUGGAAGGCCAAGAAUAUGUACAUUACACUUACGGUGAUGUUAAUAUUCUGUCAAAAACUUGUGAAACACAUAAUCGAAUGGGCACCAUGAUCCAACAGAGUUCCCUUCCUGUAGUGCCACUGUCAACACCUUGUCUCAUCGACACAUAGAAAAUGUUUCAUGAUCAUCCUCAUCAAAAGGAAUUAGUAAGCCGAUCAUAAAGCAAAUAAAUAAUUCUCUCGUAUAUUCUUCCCCAGUUUAAUUGCAACACAUUUAGCAUCACGGAAGAAUAUAAGGCUGGCCAUGCAAAUUUGCUACCAGUUCCAGGCUCAUGCCAUCACUAAAUUGAAAUCUAUUGUUAAGUCUUCAUACAAUGUAUGACCAAUCUUCUUCAUUUUCGUAUGUAGAUCAUGAAGUAAAAGAUAAAUAUUUUCAAAUUCGCGAUGAGAAUUGUCACCCACUACGAACACAUGCACUGUGUUUCCAACUUCUAUCCAACUGCAACCAGGCUGCUUCUUCAAUCCUUUGUCCUUCAUUUUCAUCCUUACUCCGGCAGCUUCUCUCCAUUUUCCAGUUGAAGCAUAUAUGUUAGAUAACACCAAAUAGGUUCCCGCAUUCUCUGGCUCAGUUUCUAAAAGUUUUUCAGCCGUUAACUUACCUAGAUCUAUAUGCCCAUGAACAUUACAUCCGGCAAGAAGAGCUGCCCAAACAGAUGCCGAAGGCUUGACCUCAAGCCCCUUAAUGAAAUCAAAUGCCUCUUGAAGCCGUCCAGCUCGACCAAAAAGAUCAACCAGACAUGUAAAAUGAUCUUCUCUUAGUUUUAUAGACCUAUCUCUUACGAGGUUUUCAAAUAAUUUCAACCCCUCAUCCACAAGACCAGCAUGACUACAAGCAGAAAGCAAUGCAAUAUAGGUGACAUUAUCAGGACGAAAACCCAAUGCCUGCAUUUCAUCAAAUAAACUAAUUGCUUUGUGGCCAUGGCCAUGAUGAGCAUAGGCAGCAAUCAUACCAUUCCAAGAAACCACAUCCCUGUGGCCUAUUGAUCCAUCAUCAAAUAUUUUGCGAGCCAGUUCUAACUCCCCACAUUUUGAAUACAUGUUUAUUAAAGCUGACACCACAUCUGCAACUUCUUGGUAAACCGUCUUGCUUAUUAUCUGGUGAAUUUGCUGUCCCUCACAAAGAGCAGCUAAUUUACUACAAGCACCCAACACACUGACAAAAGUUCCUUCAUUUGGUUUUACGUUGUUUGCUGCUUGCAUUUCUGAAAAGAUCUUCAAUGCUUCUUCACUUCGCCCAUCUUGAACGUGUCCAGAAAUCACUGCCGUCCAAGUGACAACAUUUUUGUUGGACAUUUUAUAGAAAAAAUCCACUGCCCUUUCUAGUUUACCGUUUUGAAUGAACCCAGUAAUCAUAGUGUUCCAUGAAGACAGUUCCCUCUCUGGCAUUUGCUCAAACAGUUUGAAUGCCUCGUCAAGUCGCAUAUUCUGAGCAUACCCAAUAAUCAUUGUAUUCCAGGAAACCACAUUUCGCACGGGCAUUUUAUCAAACAGUAAUCGAGCAUCAUCGAUUCUACCAUUUUUCGACAAACCAGCCACCAUGGUGGUCCAAGAAAUCACAUCUCUCUCUGGCAUCCGAUUAAAAAGCUCCUGGGCUUCAUCUACCCUCCUACGUUGCAUGAACGCUGUAAUAACAGUAUUCCAAGACACCACAUUCCUCUCAGGCAUUUUUUCAAACAAAUCCAAAGCCUGAUCUAUCCAACCUUUUCGUGCAUACCCUUCAAUCAUAGUGUUCCACGAAAUGACAUUCUUAACAGGCAUGGCAUCAAACAAUCUUCUAGCCUCCUCAAUCCUGUUCCAUCUUACAUACCCACUAACCAAUGCUGUCCAAGUAACAACAUUCUUUAUAGCAUCAUUUCUAUCAAAUAACGUCUUGGCUUCCUCAAUCAUUCCACAUUUAAUAUACCCAGUAAUCACAGCAGUCCAUGAGACCACAUCUCGAUCAGGCAUUUCUUCAAACACCUGACGUGCUUCUCCAAUUUUUCCUUCUUUACCAAGCUGUGUGAUCAACCAGUUACUACGAGCAACAUUCGAAUUGGCACUGAAAUCUCUAACUGGUGAUGAGAUUUUGGGAACAACCUGACAGGUAGAGAACUGUGAUGAUAAGAUGGAGUUAUGCAAAUUGCACAAGAGGAACGCAUAUCUACCGAAGCUAGAAAGAAGAGUUGUGGUUUUAUGUUUACCACAAAUUUCUCCAACAGAUAUCUGAUACAGUAAAGACAUUCGUAUCCACUAACUGGGUACCUCCGCCGCGCCGGAGAAAAAGAUCGAAGAAAAAGGGAGCGGCUGUUUUUGUCGUGAUUAUGUGGAAGGGACAAUUUUUUUUCCAUUAAUUUUGGUAAUAUUACAUCUUUCUCAAAAAUAUCAAUUUUGACCUCAACGCCAAUGGUUGAUUUUUCUUAUAUCUUAUGAGUGUUAAAAUUUGCUAUUUAAAAAAAAAAAUCAAAAUCAUUUUACUGCUUACUUUCCCAUGUGAGUCUAAUUUAAUAUUGGCAUUUCUAAGUAACAUUUUUCCAUUUGUUUUUCUUUUCUUUUUUUUAAUUUAAUACAUCUUUUAACAAAUUUAUUAUCAUCCAAAUUUAUUAUUAUGUCAUCAACAAUAGGCCACAUAAACUAUUAUAUAUGUUGUGACUGUUUUGAUUUUGUGUUGAUCGAUUUUAGAAAAUGUCAAAUAGUCACAAAUUAAAAGUUAAUAGACACUCUAGUUUGGGUUAAAAAAUAAAUAAAAAUAUUGUUAAAAACGGUUCCUUCCUUGAAAAACAACCAACAAAAGAAUCAAUAUGAUAUAAAAUAGGAAUUAAAAAACAAAGAUCAAGUAAAAAGUAAAAUUUCAUUAUCACAAAUAAUGAGCAUUGUUUAACUUACAUCGUGUUUACAAAGUUAUGCCAUCAAUCACAAAAUCCAAUGUUCGAUUCACCCACCCCACAUACUAUCAGACAAAAGAAUUCAUAAAUCUCUACUAUCUUAAGCAAGUAUACAAAUAUAAACUUGCAAGGCAGGGAAGUUAUAGCUCAUUAGCUCUAUCGUUGCUCCAUAUCUAGUCUAUUAGAAAAAAGUUGUUCACUAAAAGAUACUGAGUGUCUCAUCAUACAAUUGAACAAGUCUUCAAUCUAUAUUACCUUGAAUUCAAAGUACUUUCAAAGUUUCUCUCACACAUCAACAACUUUAAAUUGUUGGUCACAUUGCGACAGCCUCACAAUCUAAUUUCGUUAGUAGGGGCGCUUGACAUCCAUUCACUAGCUAGAUUAAGGUGAAUAGUCUUCAUAGUUACAGGCAAGUCUUCAACCUCAAGUUAUCUAAGCCCCCAAGCCAAGCCACCAUCUCUGAGAAGUUUCAUAGUUAUAAAAGCCCAAUCUAGAGAAUAAAAAUAAGAAAAUGGCAUUGAAAUUAUAUAACAAGAUAUAAAAGGGAAAAAUUACAAUACAAAGCACUUCUAGAGGGGCCUCUAAAAAAAACUACACUUCAUACGCUAUUUUUAGCAAUAAACUAAUAUGUUCGUCCCAUGGUCAGUCCCAGGUAGUAAUGGAAGCACCGCUGCUCCAUAAGACAGAUGGAAUAUGAGACCACCCAAAAUGGAGGAGAUCCUUAAAAAGGAAAACCAUCAACAUUGUUAGGCAUUUUUAUAUGAAGUUUACGCGGCUCUAACUCGCUCUAUUUACAAUCACCUUUCACUAACCAAUUCCUAAUGAUGACAAACAUGCGCUUCUGAUAUCUUGAAUAUUUCUCAAACAACUUCCCAACUAGUAGUCUUAACAGAUCUAUACAAGCAGAUAAGAGUCAGCCAUCCUUUUCUAGUUUUACAAUGGAAAUUAAUCGUCUAAUCUCCAAUUGGACUUUCAGAAAACUAAAAAGUAUAUUGACUGGCUCCUACUUAGAGAGACCCUAUUGAAGAAUAGAUCCCAAACAAACGUUCUUUCCAGCUAAUUUUCAAUUAUCAUAAGACAGUAUGAAAGAUUAGUAUAUCAGAUACAGUUAAGAUGUCAAUCAAUAUUCAACCCAUAGUUGUAAAAUCUUGACAAGGAGGAUAAUAUUCAAUUGAAAUGAACCAAUAAAAUAAAGGAGAUAACUGAUAAUGGAUUGCAUAGUGAAAGAGUAGAAUAGUACGAAAAUGUAUAACGCCCUAAAGUGCUUCAGAAUAACUGGGGGAUGCUCCCAUCUCAUAGAAGAAAAAAGAAAACAAAAUUAGCACAUGGAGUUCAAUGACCAUUAAGUUGAUAUAGCAGGCAUCUGGACCAAAUUAAGUUCAUGUUUGAAAGUGAUUUUGAAGUGGCUAAAACCAUUUUUGUAGUGUUCAAAAUCACUCCAAAACAUUCAUUUCAUUACUCAAAAUCAAUUCAAUAUUUAACUUUACACGUUUAGAGACAAUUUUCAUAGUAUUCAAAUUGAUUUUGAAGAAAUAAAAGCAUUUUUCGAGUGAUUUUCACUUCUCAACAUGACACAGAUCCAUAUUUUCACCAUUCCAACAACCCUUCUAUUUGAUGGAAAUGACAUAUUUUGGAUGCCCAAUGAUCAAAUGCUAAGCAUUCGUUUGUACAAGAAGCAUAAAAUUGCUGCCACAAAAACUUGGCAUAUUAGCUCUUCAAACUUGAGAAUGUCAGUUGAAUCAAUGAAGAGGAAACCGAGUAAUAGUUCGCAUUUUAGGUAGCUAUAAACAUGAAUAACCACUCAAAUUGCAACCUCUUCAAUUUCUUGAAAAAGCAAAAGACUCGGCAGAUCAAUUGUUGCAAAAUGGCAUUCCAAACCACAGUUCAAAUGAUUGAGAGAGAAAAGAUGACCCGACCGACUCUUGAAACCCUAUCAAUAUCACAAGAACUGGAAAGAGCAUAAUUUGCAGAAAUCCAUGAUUGGAAAAUCUCAAGGUUGCUCUUCCGUGGACAUGAAUUAGGUAAAAAACACAAUUACUAGACAAAAACAAACAUUCAAACUUCAGAAAUGAAAACAAAACGGAAAAAUUCAAGGCCACAAUACAAACCAGAGAGUUAAGAAUUGAUGAAAAUCGAAGAAAACCCGGUCAGCCAAUGUGAAAAGCGCCAAUAUCGCCAGUUCUGAUGGAGCUGGCGACUUCGUCGGCAAAGGCCAAACAAGAAGAAAUACAGCCGCUAAAGGCACCCCAAACCAUAUCGGCGAUCCAGAACGCCAAAUGCAAUGGCAAUGCCAUGGCCUAAACUGUGUGUCGUUGGAGGAAAGAAGGUGGUUGGGAAGUUUCAGAGGAAAUCCAUUGAAGGAAUUGAGAGAUUAGGAUUAGAGGACGCCAUUGGAGAAAAGAAGCAGAAGAGAAUUUGGGUAAAGGUAAAAAGGCUGGAAGCUAAAGAUUGAAGAAAUGUUGACUCAUAGCGCCUAAAUAAAGCCGAUUUUACAACAAUUUCUUUUUCCGGAAAAUUAGUUUUUUAGUCCUUUUAAUGUAUAAAUAAAUAAAUAAGCCUAUAUUAAAGGAGGGCAAAAAAGUCCAACUUUAUAAUUAACAACUUCCAUCCCACUAUAAUCAUAAUCCAAAAAUGAACAUGGAGCUGUUUAAGGCAUUGAGUAGGGAGAUUGCUCAAACAUGCACAACAGUGGAACGAGAUGGCUUCCUAUUCUCGACAUAAAUGUUUUGACUUAACCCCUUCUUAAAUCUUUGUAAGAUCAGUUGAUAUAUCAUUUACGCGAUCAUCUAACUAUCCAUAAUAAGUGAAGUUUUGGAGGGGCUAGUCACUCGAGUAAACUUGAGUUUGCUUUGAUUUUGAAUUGAGCAAGUGUAGAUUUCAAUACUGAAUGCUGACAAUGAAUCAUCUAUUCAAGACCUCUUUUUUUAAGGAUGAGAUUUUAGGUAUAUUCCCGUAGUUGUUGGGUUAUUUAAUCACAAGCGCAACUAUAUGAAACAAAGUCUAUUUGGUCUUUAGGUUUCAAAAUGUUUGAUUUCAAUUUAAUUUCUAAAUUUCAACGUGGUAAACUGAGAGUAAGUUCCUAAAAUGACUUGUAAAACCUAUAUUAUGAACAUCAAAUAAUUCAAUUGUACUAUGUCACCGAUGCAAUUGAAAUAUAAACUAGAAAUCAAGCUCACUUUCUAUUUUGAUAUGUUUUCAAAUAUAUUAGUCUAGGUAAUUGAUUUGUAUGAAAGUCAAUCCAACAUUGAAACCUAAAUAAAUUAAGCCUUGGUAACUCUUUCAAUUUUUUAAAAAUAUGACCCAUGUCUAAGGUCAACUAUUGUAUGUUUGUCUAACCAUAUUUCAGUAUUAAAGUAUAGAACAUGUAAACCAUCUAUUUGGAUACAUAUUAAUUAUUCACACACUUACAUUAAAAAAAAUGCAAGAUGGAUUUUCAAAGAUUUCGACUUUCCAUAAAAAAUCUUACAUGCAAUAAAUAAAGGGAUAAUUAUAGUAGGUAACAAUUUUAAAAAUAAAUAAUUAAAUAUAUAACAAUAUUUUUAAAAAACUGUAAAUAUAACAAAGUUUAUAGACUAAUAUUUUCAAUGAGAUAUAUUAGUGCAUAGUCAUUUAUCAAGUCGAUGGACUUCUAUGAGUUUGACACUUGGUGACAACCACAAUAAUACAAUUCUUAGGCAACUCACAAACUAAGGCGAGAGAGCAAGAGCAAGAGGGAAACGAGGAAAGGAAAAGCAAUCAAUAAAUAAGUUUAGUAAAAACAGUUAAAUUUUAUUCUUCCAGAAAAUUUGAAGUCAUCCCUGCCAAAAAACACAUAAACAAAGUUCAUGAACUGUUUUACAUUUUACAUUUUUGACACAAAUGGGGCAGUCAAAGACAAGGAAAUGAAUAGAACGGAAGAAAGCUAAAGAAACAUGAAAGGAGUGAAAGUGCUCAUUGCUCAAGAAGUGAUCAAGAUCCACACUCAACUCAACUCUCACUUGUCAUUGUUUGUUUCCAAUAGGAAUUUACAUGAUUUCUUUUCCUGUAAUACAUGUUUGUUCCCUCCGCAUGAGAGACGUAUGAAUGAAUACUUCAGCAAUAUAAAAAACAUUGAAACAUGUUCUAAAAAUCAAAAGCAAAAAUCAUAUGAAUGAAGAACGAUAGUGUUUAUUUCAAUCAUCAAAGCACAAAAGUAUAUGCUGUAAACUAUACUUCGAUUGCUUCUUCGGUAUAUGGAUUUGUUUCGUUGAAAUAACUUGAAAUCAAAAGUUAAAAAGCACAAAAGGAAGAAAAAUUGGAUAGAUUGUUCUAGUUUCCAAAGCACAACCAUUAGCUUCUUCAAAUCGAUAUUUUGAUUGCUACCCGCCACGCCUUUUUCUAAAUAACAUAAUUAUAGAUUAAAGAAGACUGACCUGUAAAAGAGGGAAGAAAUCUAUCUUAGUUGUUUGAUGGUGGAAGUAAUCUCAUCCAUACAAGUUGCUUGCUUCCCUAUUUACCAUUUGCCUGUGAAUAUGGCUGACAAUGAGAGAUGGAGUGGAUAUUAAUAACAGGAAAUUUGCUGUUAUAAGGAAGCGACAAUGUUAUAAACAUACCAAAUGAUAAAUCAAAUGUGAUUUUAACAAAUUUCUAUGACUCUAAAGAUUAAUUUUGAACCGUCUGCUUGCAAGUGUUAUAUGAUCUUAUAUAAACAAAGAAUAAAACAUACAGCAGACCCAAUGAAGAGAGCUUGGACUACCAAAACGAAAAUUUCCAUCUCAAAAGAAAAUUUUACGUUUUUUUACACACUUCUCCACUUUUUUCUCUUGAUUUCCUGGUUUAAAUAUAAGGAUGUAAGAAGUAAGAAACCAUUACACAAAAUCUCUAGAACAAAGAAAAUUACAAAUUCAAGGAACUUGUCACUCGAAAAUGUAUUUAACUAACCACUGAGUAACCAAAAAUAAACAAGUAAACGUAGAAUAAAUUAUAAAUAACCUACUUUUCUAAAUCAUAUCUUAAAUAUAUUUAAGACAAUAAAGUACAAUUUUAACAAAAAAAAUUAUCUUUUACUUUUGUAAUAACUAUAAAAGAAUACCUGACCUCAAAAUUAGCAGGCCAAGGAGAGAUUCGAUCAACUUCAGAAUAAAAGAAAAUCACCAUGGUCUCACUAUGGCUCUAAACCCUAGGUUCAGACCUCAAAAUUCACAAGUCAAAUUAUGAUAUUCAUCAGAAAACGCAACUAGGAAGCAUAUUGAGUGAAAAUGCUAUUAUUGAAACAAUCAAGUAAGCGUAGUCUAUGAAUUAUGUGUGUUGGAUAAUUCUUGUAUCAUGGAGAUAGGAAUUGAACCAUCCAUUUCUACUAGUUCUCACUGCGAAGCUGAGAAAGGACAAAAAAAUGGCUGGUUUAUCUUUCUUGCUUUGAUUUAAUUUUCGUAACAGGUGCAUCCAGGUUUUGAAAGCCAACUGGAAGGCCAAGAAUAUGGACAUUACACUGUUACUGUGAUGUUAAUAUUCUGUAAAAAUCUUGUGAAACACAUAACCGAAUGAGCGCCCUGAUCCAACAGAGUUCUGUACCCUACCUGUGGUGUCAAUGUCAACACAUCUCAUCGACACAUGGAAACUGUUACAUGAUCAUCCAAGUAAGAAGGAAUUAGGUAGCCGACCAUAAAGCAAAUAAAUAUUCUCUUAUAUUCUUCCACAAUUUAAUUGCAACGCAUUUAGCAUCAUUGAAGAAGAUAAGGCUGGCCAUGCAAAUUUCCCGACAGUUCCAGGCUCAUGCCAUCAUAAAUUGAAAUCCAUUGUUAAAUCCUCAUGCAAUGUAUGACCAAUCUUCUUCAUUUUCGUAUGUAGAUCGUGAAGUAAAAGGUAAAUAUUUUCAAAUUCGCAAUGAGAAUUGUCAUCCACUACGAAUGCAUGCACUGUAUUUCCAACGUCUAUCCAACUGCAACCAGGCUGCUUCUUCAAUCCUUUGUCCUUGGUUUUCUUUCUUACUCUGGCAGCUUCUCUCCAUUUUCCAGUUGAAGCAUAUGUGUUAGAUAGCAGCAAAAAGGUUCCUGCAUUCUCUGGCUCUGUUUCUAAGAGUUCUUCAGCCGUUUUUAUGCCCAUGAACAUAUCUGGCAAGAAGAGCUGCCCAAACAGGUGCCGAAGGCUUGACCUCAAGCCCCUUGAGGAAAUCAAAUUGCAUCAACGCUGAGCUUCAUCCGAUUAAAAAGCUGAGCUUCAUUCUCUGGCAUCCGAUUAAAAAGCUCCUGAGCUUCGUCUACUCUCCUAUGUUGCAUCAACGCUGUAAUAAUAAUAUUCCAAGACACCACAUUCCUCUCAGGCAUUUUUUCAAACAAUCAUAGUGUUCCACGACACGACAUUCUUAACAGGCAUGGCAUCAAACAAUCUGCUAACCUCCUCAAUCCUGUUCAAUCUUACAUACCCACUAACCCAUGCUGUCCAAGUAACAACAUUCUUUAUAGCAUCAUUUCUAUCAAAUAACGUCUUGGCUUCCUCAAUCAUUCCACUUUCAAUAUACCCAGAAAUCACAGCAGUUCAUGAGACCACAUCUCGAUCAGGCAUUUCCUCAAAAACCUUACGUGCUUCUCCAAUUUUUCCUUCUUUACCAAGCUUUUUAAUCAACCAGUUACUACGAGCAAGAUUUGAAAUGGUACUGAAAUCUCUAACUGGUGAUGGGAUUUUGGAAACAACCCGAUAGGUGGAAAACUGUGAUGAUGAGAUGGAGUUAUGCAAAUUGCACAACACCAACGCAUAUCUACCAAAACUAGAAAGAAGGGUUGUAAUUGUAUGUUUAGUAUAAAUUUCUCUAACUGAUAUCUGAUAUAGUAAAGACAUUUGUAUCCACUUACUGGGUAUCUCCGCCGCCUAGGGCUCGCCGGAGAAGAAGAUUGAAGAAAAAGGGAAGGGCUAUUAGUAUCGUUUCUCAAUUAAUCGCCGGCUGAAUUAAAGAAAAACAAAUAAACUAUUUACAAAAUAGUGAAAUUUUGCUCUAUUUUUUAAAAAAUAGUUUUAAUAUUGGACUAUUUUUUAAGAUAAAAUUUGUCCCGUCGCGGAAAAUUACAAUAAUUUUAUGAGAAAUCAAUUCCUAUCAGUGAUAGAAGAUUAUCAUUUAUAUAAUCUAAAAUUUUGCUAUAGUUUGUAAAUAUUUUAAUUUAUUUUACUAAUUUUAAAAGUGUCUCAUUUUAUUUAAAUGGAAAAUUGUUAAAAAUAUUUAAACAUAACAAAAUUUUAUUAUCUAGCGAUGAUAAACACUAAUAAACAUCUAUUAUUGUCUAUCAAUCUUCAACUAUAGAUUAUACUAGUCUAUUUCAUAUAAACAAUAACAUCUUGUUAUAUUUAUAAAUGUUUUUGUUCAUUUUCUUGAAAAAAAAAAAUAUCGUAAAUGACAAAAGUAUUGAAAAUAUAACAAAAUUUUAGGUUCUAUAAAUUAUAUACAACAAUAAGCUUCUAUCAGUGUCUAUCAAUAUCAUUAAUAGAUAUUGAUAGAGUAAUAGACCCCCAAUAGAUAAAUAAUGAUAUCUAUCGAUGUUUAAUAGUGAUAAAUUUGAAAUUUUGCUAUAUUUUAUAAUUUUUUUAUUUAUUUGGUAAUAUUUAAAAAUAUAUGCGCUUGUUUCUUUCUUCUUUUUUUUUUUCAUAUUUGAGAACACCCACUUUUGUUAUCCCCUUUUGUAAUGGGAUAGUUAUAAAUUUAGCAAUUAUAUUUAAAAUAAUUAGGUAUAUAACAACAUUUUAAAAUAUUUACAAAUAUAGCAAAAUUUGUCAAAUUCUAUCAAUAAUAAAAGUAUAGAUUAUGUUUUAAAUAUUGAUUUGUCAAUAAAAGACCAUAUGAAUCUAUCAGUUAAUUCUAUCAAAAAAAGUUUAAUUUUAUGGCAUUCAAGAAAAGUAAUCUUCUAGCAUCCAAGAAAAGUUUAAUAUUCCAAGUUUUCAUUCUGAAUAAUCUUUCAAGUCUUCAAUCUUUUAGAAGUUGUUGAUCUUUCAAAAGUUGUUGAUAUCGAGGUUGAUACGAAUUUGCACGUAUCAACCUUGCUUGUAGAAGUUUGAAUAUUCGAUACUUCAUAGCUUCAAUUAUUCCUUCAACCAAAGACAUUCUCAAAUGAGUGGCAAAAGUCUCUAUUUAUAGAGAAAUUUCGUGAGCUUUUGGGUGGGCUUUGACCCAUUUGCUUGAUGGGUUUGGGCUUGUGUCCAUUUGCCUAUUGGGCUUAGGCCAUCCGAUUGUUGAGCUUGGACUUGAGCUUGACUCCAUUUAUUUUAUUGGGUUUGGGCUCAUCUGCUUGUUGAGUUUGAAUUUGGUCGGAUUGAGUAAAUUUAAUUAUUCAAACUCAAACAAAAAUAUAAUUAUCGCAAUAUUUGCCAUGAUGUCGCAGAAUUUAUUUGUCUAAAAUUUCUUGCUCAACAGUUGCUAUAUCCUAAAUUAUUAUUUCUAAAAAGACAAUCAAUUAUAUUUAUCAUUUUUAUAUUAAAAAACCUUAAAAGAAGAAUAAUAUUUGUGAAAAAAAAAAAACUAAAGAUCAAUUGCUCAUAAAUCUAAAGCUUGAAAAAAUCUCCAAUAACAAUAAUAAAAAAAAAAAAAAAAAGUAAGCUUAUAAGAUUGAAAGCCCUUAGCAACACAUUUCUUGAGUCCUAAAUGGGACAACAAAGCAAUACAAUUAUACAAACCUUCCAUAAAUACCCAAUUCCCAUUGGAUGGUAAAAUUUGGUAAAGCAUGCAUUUCAAAUAUUUAAUGAGCAAAAUGUCAUCUACAAAUAAAUGGUCUCACCCUUCAUACUCAUUAUAAUCAAAAGACAUUACCACAUGAUCCAAAUUAGUCUGUGGUGGUUGCCCUACCCAUUUAUUCUUAAAGGUCACUUUAUAUUUUAUAUCAAAAUCGAUCGGUGUUUAAAUAAUCGACUACUCAAACAGUCGAGACUACAUUCAACCUAAAUAUAUGUUAUAGAUAGAUUUAAGUAUUUUAAGUUAAUAAAAAAAUUUACUUAAAAUAAAUAAAUACCCCCACAACCCAACUUAUUAUAUUUUGGUCGUUUGGUUGAGAAUAAUCUAUAUACUCAUAUCCUUAUCAAAAUUGUUUAUAAUUAAUAAAUACACUUGUUUUUUGUGUUGAGUAUCAUUAGAUAAGUUAAAUAAUGGAUUUAGUCCCUGGAACUUCUAAAAUUAUAAGUUGAAGUUUCAAUUUUCUAAUUUAAAAAAAAAAACACACACCCACACACAUUGAACACAAAACUUAAAACUUCUAGUUUAUUAAACAUAUAGUAUAAUUACAAGUAAUAAAUUUGAAAUAUUUUUUUUAAAAAAAAGAAUACAUAAAACUAAUUGAAAAUUUUAAGAUUUAUUAGAUAUAUUUUCAAUUUGAUUGAGGAGAUAUAGAUGAAUUCAAUGUUAUAAACAUAUAAUAUGAUUACAUACAAAAUUCAAUUUUCAAGUAGUGUCAACAUAAUAUCAAACUUAUAAUAACAUAUAUUUUGAAUCUAAAUAUUGUUUUAUUUUCUACUUCAUAUUAUCAUCUCUAAUUAAGAUAUCAAUCAAAAGAAAGUUUUUAAAAAACCAUGUUUUUUCUUCUAAGUGGACCAAUUGACAGAGGUGACAUCCUUGAAUUUGAUAUAUAUAUAUAUAUAUAUAUAUUAAUUCAAAUGGAAAUUAUUGAUUGAAGUAGUUGAGAGAAAGUAGAGUUUGUUUAAUCUAAAAAGUUAUUUAAUAGACUCCAUAAGCAAUUAACAAUUCUUGAAAUUUAGUGGUUUUUAGGCCACUAAAGAUUUAAAAAAUCUUUAGACCAAACAAAAAGGAAGAUCUAGUAUCUCAAUAAUAGGUCUAUUAGAUUAAAAUUGACAAUUCAUAAACUUUUUGGAUACAAAAGAGUAGUUUUAAAGUCGUUAUUAAAUCAUUCUUAAGAUCUUUUUUUACACUUUUUACAUAAUUUUAAAUGUUUCGAACUAAAUAAAUGCAAACAUCGAGGUUCAAAAUAAUCAACUAGCAAUUUAGUGCCAAAACUUUUUAUAGUUCAAAUAGCAUACAAAAACAGUAACGAUCCGUUUAAAUCCUCCAACCAAUAAUACCCUAGAUAGUAAACCAUAUACUUUCAAAUGUUUAAAGAAUUUAGAGAGGCUAAAAGGUUUCAAAAAGAAGAAAAUUAAUAGCAAAACCCACUCAGUUCAUAUUAUUUUCAAUCUCAUUUUCGUUUUGUCAUCAAUUAUUAGUACUUUCUAACACACUUUUUUAAAAAAAUUAAUCUCGAUUACGUUUUAGUUCUCCAAACAACUUUCAACUCAUGUUAAUGUUUGAAUAAAUGGUUAUUAUCUGUGAAUAGAUGCAUCAUGAGUGAAUUCAUUAUUUCAUAAAAAGUAUUAAUAACUAAAUUAUAGAAAGAACAUGACUUUUCGUAGACUUAUUCGGUUAAGAGAAUAUAUAUCAAUCAUCUUUUGCCUUCUAAAAGGAUUUUCUCACCAUUUUCACAAUCUUGACGUUCGAUAGCUGAUCCACAAGACUUUGUUUAUUAAUUUUCUAUACGAGGUGUUACCCUUAAAAGAAUGAUGAUCUGUUUUAUCAUAGGAGACAAUUACUCUCGAUACUCAAACGCUACGAUGAAUAAAUUUGUCUUAAAAAGAUGAUGUGAAUUUGUUUGACUCAAAUCUAGUGAUGAUAAUUUUCAUAACAAUUUGAUAAUCUUUAUAACAGAUAAAUCAUUUAAAAUGUAAAGACGAAAGUGGUAUUUGUACGAACACUCUAUUGUAAUGUUUAUUCUUUUUUUGUUGUUAUUAUUAUUGUGAAAAUGACAAAAGUUACAUAAAAUGGCAGAUUCUUAGUAAGAAUUGGAUAGUGAAAGGCAUUAAUUUUGAAAAUGACAUGUGAAUUAUACAUUAAUAGUUUGGGCCAAGAGCGGGUGGUGAGACAGCGAUGAAUUUAAAUACCUUCAACUAUAUAUAGGAAUAUAAUUCAUUUUGGUGAAGACUUUGUAAUAGUUCAACUUUCUCACAUCUCACCUCACAUUUUCAUCCAUCCUCCAUACUACAAAAACAUUCACUUUCCUAUUCUUUAAAUUCAUGUUACCAAACUCUUUCUCUUUUACAUGAUAUCCUUUUAACAAAUAUUUGGUCUAUUUUCAUUUACAUUUUCAACUUAUCAUUCCAAUACAAAUUUUAUAUAAAACCGUUUUAAUCAAAAUUUAAAAAUUAAUAUAAAGUAAUUCGAAACUUAAAUCUUGCUUGACGUGUAUUUAUAAGUUUCUAUUCAUUUUGAUAGUUGGACUCUUCAAAUAUUUUAUUUCAAUUUUAAGGACGUUGUUUCUUUGUUUUUCCUUUUGAAAACAUGGAUGAGUUUGGUAACCAAUUAUUUUUUUUUAAAUUGAUUUUUGGUGAUUUUUAAUUGUGAGAAUUGGAAAAAUGGUCGGAAAUAGUUUUUCUAUUUUGUUUUGUGGACAAAUUAGAAUUAGAAAAUUGGGGUUUUUUUUAAGAUUAAUAAUAAAAAAUAAAUUUAUUACGUUUAAUUUUAUUUAUAUCGACCGAAAAUAUUUUGCCUACUUUACUAUUUUUGACAAAUCUCUUUAUUUUUAUGUUAACAAAUACACCUUUCAAAAUCUUGUUUUAAUUAUUUUUUAUUUUCAAAAUUAUUUAAUAAUACGAUCGAGUAAUUCAUAAUGCUCACCUAACGUUACCAACCUCUAAGAUUUCUAUGCUCAUUCAUAUUCUUAAAAUAAUAAAAAAAAAAAACAAAUUUUUUAUGACAUAAACAAAAUAAUGCUUAGAGUGAAAAUGAAAAUACCGAUUUGACAAAAAGAAAAGGAAAACUCACAAUAUUUCUCUCUAUAUAUAUAUAGAAACUAUAAAGGUGUUAGAUUCAAAGUUUUAAAUAGUAAGAUAAGAGAUAUAGGUAAGUAUUAGCAUAAUAAUGUUUGAGUUAGUAAAUAAACACUCUAGUUAUUAUCAUAUCAAAUAAAUACAAAGAUUAGAUAGAUUGGUUUGUCUCAAGUGAGUCCAAAAUGAAAUUUGUAGAAAGUCAAAUUUUACCAUUUUAUUUUAUUUGCUUUGUGGGCAUUGAUCAUUAAUAAAAAUAAUCCAUUUGAUGCAUUGGGAUUUGGUAUGUUUUGGAUUUUCAAAAUUAAAUAUCAAAAUAUGUGAAUGUAACUGAAUUUCGUCUAAUAUAUGCCAAAAAUACACGCAGCCAAUUUUUAAUUAUUUGAGAAUGUAGAUUAUUAUUAUUUAUUUAUUCUCUUUAUGGUUGAUUUAAGAAUUUUUAAAAGAAAAUAAUCAAUUUUAUAAAGAAAAGAGUAUAUUACCAAAAUAUUUAUACUUAAAAGAAAAAAUGAUUAGUUUUAUUCUAUAAACCAUAAAUAGUUUGUCAAAAUUUUAUAAUUUUUGAAAAAAUCUCAUUUAGUUAUCAAUUUACACCAUAAAUUAAUAAAUAUAUCAAUUUAAUUUCUUGAUUUUAACACAUGCAUUAUAUUUAUUUAAAUUAUUUAUUAUAUUUUAUUUAGAUAAGUUUAUGAAUUAUAUCAAUUUAAAAUUUAAAAUUAAUAUUUUUUUACUUUUUAAAAAAGAGUGAUUCGUGAAAAUAAAGUUAUUAAAUUUAGAAUCACAAGAAAUGUUUAUUUUGAAUUUGAGCACAACUUUUCAUACUAAAAAACACAAAAAAUGGAAAGUAACUUUUAAAAAAUAAUAAUUUAAAAUAUGUUUUGUAGUGAUGAAAGUAUAAAACCUUUUUAGAUUUUCUCAAUCCAUUUUUGUUGAAAAGGAAAGAAUAUAUAAAAUAUACUUUCGUAAUAUAUCAAUUCUUUCUUAUUUAGUUUAGAAGAAUUGGAGUAUAUGCACGGAUAUUUGGUAACGGUAUAUUAGUCUUUUGCCUUUUUAUUUGUAGAUUUUUAUAAAAUAAAAAAAUCAAUGGUUACUUCUACAAAAUCAUAAGGAUUUUUUUUUUAAUUUUUGCCAUUCAUAAUAAAUAAAAUUUUUACUAUCUUUGUAAUUAUUUUAUUGUAUCACCAAUCAAUGUAAAAAAUUGAGACACGUAGCGAAAUUUAAUUAUUUAUAAGUUAGAAAUAUGAAUACUAAUUGAGAAGAAAAGAAUCAGAUUUAAAAUUAUGCAUAAAAAAAUCUGUGUAAAAGUAAAUUUAAUUACCUAUCAAACCUAGUUUUUAACAAUUAUAUUAUUUAAAUUAAUUUCCCUUAAAUUUAUGGUGAAACUAUAAAACCAAAAGUAUUUAAAAAAAAAAGAUUCUACUGGGUAUUUGAAAAUUUCGGUAAAAAGUUAGAUAAAAAUUGGAUGAAAUUAAUGUUUAUAAGCUUGAUUUUUAUAAAGAAAAAAUCUAAAUCUAAAUAAUUACCAACACAUGCUUUAACAAUUUAAUUAAAAUCAUUUUUUUAAAGAAAAUUUAUUGUAAAUGAUAUAUAUAUGUAUUUUAUAAAUAGUUUUAAUAUUUUGCUAUUUUUAAAAUAUUUAAAAUAUUCAAAAUUUAAAUCUAUAUAAAAGUAAAAAUAAGUAAGUGUAUUUUUUUGAGCGAAUUUUGUAAUUUGCCAAAAUAAACCAAGUAGGAGAAUCAUUUAUCCAAACUCCAAAGUGUAAAGAUGCUAUUUUUGCAAAGACCUUUUCUUGAAAAAACAAAUAAAAAAAAAAAAAAAAAGAAAAACAUUUCCAAGUCCCAACCGCGUCUCUUCUGGUCAUUUUCCGUGACUAAGAGAAGAGAGAGAUUUGAUAUCUUCUUCUUCUCCAUCAUCUUCUUCUUCUUCGCCCAAUUCAGCAUUUCCUCACUGCUCUCAUUUCCCUUUAACCGCCAUUUUUUCUUCUCUACCAGAGCAUGAACUUUGAACGACCAGAACUAUUAGAACAAGAAGAAGAAGAAGAAAAAGAAAAAGAAAAAGACAAAGCUUUUCAGUUUACAGAGUGAUUGAUAACCAACGAAACGAAACGAAACCCAGUUCUUCAAUUCUUUAUCUAUGGGCUGUUCAGCUUCCAGACCCAUCACUUUCCAUUCCACUAACCCAGAAUCUUCUUCUUCUUCCUCUCCUCCCGUUCCCAGAGCUUUCUCUCUUCCCACCCCUCUCAUUCACCAUCCCCCCAUCUCAGACGGCGACACCCACCAUCUUGUUACUCUAACUUCAACCACUUACGGUUCUCUCCUUCUUAUCGACCGUCCCAAGUCCAAUCCCUUGAGAUUCUACGGCGACCAAAACGCUGACCGCUCUCUUUCGCCCCACACGGAUGAUUCCGACCACGCAUUGUCGCCGGAUUCCGUUAUCAAUACAUGGGAACUCAUGGACGGCCUUGAUGACGCCUUUGAUUUGAGUUCCGACGCUGUUCCUACCCCUGAACUCUCGAUUGAGAAAACCCCUUUCAAGCCCGUUGGAUCGGUGAAUUUCUUGGAGAAAUCGGUGGAUUCUGUUGCGCCGUCUUCCUUAGUUAAGCCGCUUUGGCAACAUUUGUCUGAAGAAGCUCUGCUUGCGAAAUUGGACCCUAAUGUUGUAUUCAGUUACCGACGAGCUCUUUCUUCCCGGCAGUUAGGCUCCAAUGGGUACCGAAAAAACGUCAAAUCAGUCGGUUCGAGUCCGGUUUGUUCUUCAUUCUCCAAUAAUUGGCUGCGUCUUCCCGGCGGAGAAGGCAAAGUAGUAAUCUACUUUACGAGCUUGAGAGGAAUUCGAAAAACCUACGAGGAUUGUUGUUCGAUUCGUACAAUCUUCAGAGGUUUUAGAGUUCCAGUGGAUGAACGGGACAUUUCCAUGGAUUCAUCUUACAGAAAAGAGUUGCAGAGUGCAAUCGGAGGGAAGACAGUGAGUUUGCCGCAAGUGUUCAUAAGGGGAAAGUACAUAGGUGGUGCUGAAGAAAUCAAACAGCUAAACGAGUAUGGCGAAUUGGGGAAGCUUUUGGUGGGAUUUCCAGUUUGGGAUGUGAAAAGCGAGUGUGAAAGAUGUGGGGAAGCAAGGUUUCUGCCAUGCCCUAAUUGCUAUGGCAGCCGGAAGGUGUUUAAAGAAGACGAAGGAGAGUUGAGAAGAUGCCCUGAUUGCAAUGAAAAUGGCUUGAUAAAGUGCCCAGAUUGCUGCUUCUGAAUCUGAAUGCAAAUAUUUUAGGUAUUUACUCGAUUACUUAUUCCUACAAUGUUGAAAAUCGUAUUGCUUCUUCAUUGCUUGCUGCUUGCUCUGUAAUUGUAGGAUUUAUUUGUUCAUUUUCCAUGAACAGUGUACAAUCAUUAUCAAGGGAAAAAAACAGAAAAAAAAAAAAAAAAAGAACAAGAAGAUGAUGUUCUCAUAUGUUCUUCAACAUAUAUUGAGUUAUGUAGUAUAGACUUUGACAUCAUUCUGUGUUGGGAUGGUGUCCUAAACAUGUUAUAUGCAUUCUCAAUGUUGUUUGGUUAUUAAAGAUGUUCAUAUCGUAUAGGUUGUACAACUGUGUUCUUGAGUUCUAAAAGAUGUUCAUAUCUUACGAUAUGAUAUAUAGGUUGUACAACCGUGUUCUUGAGUUCUAAAAGAUGUUCAUAUCUUGAAACUGUUUUCUCAAAUAGUAUGAACUACUGAUGUUUGACAUGUUUCUAUGUUUAUCUUGGGUCCCUCGUUAGGUUUCUAUGUUUAUCUUUGAAUGUCGGUGACUAAGACUUCUGUAAUUAUUUGUUAGGCCUUAUUCUUCUUGAUUUGAGUUUUUUCUCUAAUGGGUUCCCUUUAUAGGUUUCAACUUUUUGGAUGCCCUUCUAUUCUUGCAUUCCUUUUCUAAAUGAAAGUUUAACUUUUCAUAAAAGAAAACUGUUGAUUUUGACAUACCCUUUUUUGACUUGCCAUUUUAUUAGCACUUAUAUGAAGAAUAUUCUAAUAUGUCACAUGUUUAAGGACUAGAAAGCAAAAUGGGGGGAAUUUAAAUGAAUAUCUUAGAUAGGUGGCUACCAUAAUUGUUUAAUCCAUGACUUGCUUCUGGUUUAUGAUGACUUAUCUUUUGACAAACUAUUUUCAUAGUUCUCUUAACACUUAAAAAAGGUUAGCUUCUCUCUCUAAGUACAUUUCCAAAGCUUCUCAUCAGGUCUUGUAGUUUGCUUCAUACUUGAAGCGCCUUGUUUUGUAGUUUUUCACAUUUCAAUGUUCUUCUUUUGGCUUUUUAUUCAAAUUUGACAUGUAAUCAUCAUUUGUUGAAAAAGUUGGGUUUCCUUUUGGUCUCCUUUUUAUAUUCAUCUCUUUUGGCUAGGCCUUUCUUCUUCUUCUUCUUUUGUUCUUUUGUUUAUCUUAGUGAAAAGUUGGUUUUUCAUUAGAAUAAAUAAAAAAUGUUGAACAGAGUCAUGUGCUAGACAGUUAAGCAGAUUGUUUCAACACUAAAGAUGACUAAAGCCAAUAAUAAGAAGAAAGCAAGAAGAUAGACAUUCAUUUUAGAAUUGGUUUCUGAAAUAAUAGUCAGUAAUCACAUUGGCAAAGUUGUUUGAGUUCCUAAUGUUUUUGCAUUCUUGGACAUUAAAAGAGCUGGACGUGUGCUAGGAGGUUAUCAAAUUAAUUAAUCUAUGUUGACCGCCUACCAAAAAAUUAAUAUCUUGACACACAAGUAUUGUAGGAUCAAGUAGGUUGUCUUGUUAGAUUAAUCGAUGGGCACGUGAGCUAGUUAAAAAACUCAUGGUUGUCAAAGGAAAAAGGACUUGAAUGCAUAUCCCAGAAAAAUUGCGAAUGUCCUUUAUAGGUUAUGAAACUUAUCCUCAUAGUUUUAUCCAUGACUUCAAGGGUGUUUAAAAAAUUUAGUCUAAGCUUGGGUAGAUUUUUAGGGGCUAUUUUGAGAAUGUUGGAAUGAGGGAGGAAUCAUAACGAAAAUCUGAUCAUGAAGUGUGAAAACGUCAAAGAAAAAUAUUGGCCACUAUGUGAACUUAACGAGUUUGUUUUUUUUUUUUUUUCUUGUGUAGUAUUUGGUUACAUAGUUUGAAGUGUUUUUUAAACUAUAUAGAUAAAACAUUAGUGUGCUCGUCUAAAAGCUACUUGCAUUAUUUCAUGCAUACUUUUAGUUUUUUUUUUUAGUCUUUUUAGCUACCUUUAAACAUUAGUGAACACCUAACAAAAUUAUAGAAAGCACUCACUCACAAAGUCACAGAGUUGUCUUUGGGAGGGUAAGUGAUUCAAAUGAAAGCAUUUGAUUUGAACAUUCCAUAGAUACCACUUUAAUUUUCUUUUGAAAAUGACCUACUUUUAAAAUCGUUAUAAAGGUUUAUGUUUUUACUAAUGGAAAACAACAAAUUCCUAAUGAAAACAUUAUCUACCGAAAUUUGAAAAAUAGUACCACGAGUUGUUCAUUGCAUAAUUGUACGAUAUGCCCAUUGCUCCAUGUCUUAGAGUCCAAUGCAUAUCUUUUCAAUAAGAUCAACCCCACUACUGUUCCCAUUUCUAAAUCCAAAAGUUGAAGUUUAAUUUUAUAUUCUUGAGUUAUAACACUAACAAUGUUUUAUUUCUAUUUUUGAUUUAUUGAUAAAUUUUUAAGACAAGAUUUAUCUCCAAUCGUAAAUGUCGAAGGGUUAAUUUUCCAUCCAACAUAUCUUUUGCUUUUUUUUUUCAUCUAGUGUGGGAGAUUUGGAUCUAUGACUUUGCAGUUAAUUAUACGAACACCAUGCGAGUUGAGCUAGCAUAUUUUAAUAGUAACAAUACCUUCUUCUUUUUUUUUACAGUUUUUUUAAAGAUUGCUUUGGGAUGUUAGUCCAUUAAAAUAAAUAAAUAGAAUCAAAAUAUGCAUUUGAAAUCUUUUUCUUACAUAACAUAAAAUGGCAGGUUGUCAUUAAUUUGAUGCCUUUUAACCAAAUUACACAAAAGGUAUGGAUUUAAACAAGCUCGAGUUUUGGGCUGAUCAGUCAAGGAAAUAAUCUAGUUGUGGUUGAUUUCAAACUUUAUAACCUUGAGCAUCAAUAACUGCCAUGACAUUGUCAAAAUUACACAAUAAGUGCUUGUUAGAAAAAAAAUGCAUUAUAAAUAGUCACACUAUGACCACAUGAGAGGAGAAUAGAAAGUAAUGUCCUAAGAAGAGUUUUAACUUUACGUUCUUUGUGCUUAACUACACUAUACAUUAUGUAUACUAACUUAGGCAUUCAAAAUGUGGUAAGUUUGACUCAACACUUUGUGAGAAACUUUCACACAAGUGAACUCAGAAUAUGAGACUAGACUAGAAGAAUCGAGUUAGCCAAUAAGAUUAGGUGAGGUUCACGUGAGAUAACAUCAAAUGCAUUCGGGCUUCCAUGCAUCAAUAGUUAUCAUAUUUGCUUAAUGAAAAUUUGUCGAGCUUUCAAUGUAAAAAACGAGAUGAACGAAAUGACAUGAAAGGAAAAAGCUAAUUUUUUGAGUUUUUAAAAUUAUUGAAUUGUUAAUACGUGCAUCAAUCAAACUUAGAAUUGUCCAAAUUUAAUGUUAUUAGAAUUUAUAAGGUUACACAAUUUUUUUAUAUAAUUUUUCUUCAAACGGAAACUAAGAAAGUAGUGAAAAUCAAACAGAAAAUAAAAUUUGUAACCACGACAAGUCUAAUUGUAGUCAAAGUACGUCUAACUCAACAGUAAUAGAUAUGCAUUAUCUUACUUUUGAUUCAAUACUGGAUACUCGAUCUCCACAAUUAUUACUAAACUAAAAAAUAUGUCUAGUAAACCCAAACUUUAGGUUGAAAAUGAUAACCAUUGAAGUUAAAAGUUCAAUUCAAUAUAAUUGUUGUCAUAUAAAAUAAAAACAAAUUGCCCAAAUUCUUUUAUUUGGUUUAUGGUAUAUAUGUAUUUUUUUUUUUUUGCUAACAUAACCCCAAAUUUAUAGACACAAAUAGUAAUAAUAAAUUCUUCCAAGAUCGUUUUUAAAAAUAAAAAUUAAAUUUAAGGGCUAAAAGAAAUUAUGCAAAAGUUGAAGGCAUAAUUGAAAAUUUUGAAACGAAUUCCACAGUGAAUUUUACGAACUUUUUCCCAUUUCUAAAGCAACAAAAAAAGGAGGAGAAACUGUAGGCUCUAUUAUCGGAGAGAGGGAGCGAAAAUGGAGGAAGAUGGGUUUGAAGCAGAGCCGAAUCCAGUGGAGUUCGGCACUUGCUUGAGUUCCUACAUCGACGAUGGAACCACUGAGAGCCAUAGAUACUUCCUUUCUCGAAGAACAGUCGUGGAGAUGCUUAAGGACCGAGGUUACACUAUCAACUCCCCCAAUAUCGACUUCUCUCUUCAACAAUUUCGAGAAACUUUUGGCCAAUUCCCCGACGUUGAUCGCCUAAAACUAUCCGCCGCUCAUCACUCCGAUCCCUCCAAAAGAGUAUGUCUCCACCGCUUCUUGCAUUGUUUAUUCCUUCCUGCUUCUUGUUUGUCUUAGUUAGUCAAAUUAGGGUGGGUAAUGCGAGUAAAGAAAGAGUGUCGAUUCAUUCUGUAGAUUUCUUUGGGAUUUAUUGUUGAAAUGAAACGGACUGAAUUGCUUACCUUUCUCUACUAGUUUAUGAUUCAGGGAGGGACGGAUUACUGAGGGAAAUGCUUUACUUAGCCUGGACGAAACGUAGAAAUUAUUUAGAAAUGUCUGAAAGGUUGAUAAUAUAAAUAUAGUACCUUCUUGUAAUAUUUGUUAUUUCAUAACCGGAUGUUGAUUUUGCAGGUUCUUGUAGUGUUCUGUGGAACUGGUGCAGUAAAAGUUAAUGCUAUUCGCAAUAUUGCUGGUCAAAUUGCUAAUAAGGAUAGUUUGCAUGGUCUCAUUUUAAUUGUGCAAAAUCAAAUUACAAACCAAGCCAUGAAAGCAGUUGAGCUCUUCUCGUUUAAGGUUGAAAUAUUCCAGGUUCGUUUCUUGAACUUGUGAUGAAUUUAUUUAGUUUGACAGAAACAUGAGCAGCGUCUUGGUAAAUGCUUGGUCUCAACGAGUCAUUUAUUUGUUGCCAUGCUGUGUUUUUAAUAUUUUCUUCAUACUUAAGUUUUUGGUGUAUUCAACACAAUGGUCAUUGCUGAAGUUGUUUUCUUAGUAUACUAACAAACUGAAGUUGGCAUUGACAUGGGGAGCCCUGGUGAGGGAACAAUUAACAAUAGAGUUUGCCAUGAUAGAGAAGAGAAAUAACUUAAAGAAGUAGAUGUUCGGGUAUUGAGACAAUAGAGUGAACCCGACAAUAACGAAAUGUAGUAAUACGGGAAGGGUUCUAAACCUUUUGUUUUUUUUAUUAAUUUCCCGGAGAGGGUGAUGGGAAGCUUAUCGUGUUUAUUAAUCUUGUCCAAGAACUUUUAGCAAGAAAAUAAUAAUUUUUUUAGAGAAAGAAGCCUUCAAUCAAUAAUUCAUGGGGACUGUCAAUGUAAAAAUAGUCAUUUUUUUGUUGAGGAUCUCAGGGUGGAAAGAUAGGGAGAUCUCACAAUCUUUAAAAGAUAUAUGGUUUCGAGAUGCCCCCAUUUUUCUGUAAUAACUUCCUACAUUCUAGCAAUCCUCGAACAAAUUCAAUCUUGAACUUAGAGAAUAAGAUUUUUUUGUUUCGUUUUUUCGUUUGCUCUUGUAUAUUCUUUCAUAAUGAAAACGUGGUCUUUUUUAGAAAGAUUAUCUUAAAAAGUUCAUAUGUUUAAUUAUAUGUUGCUCAUUUUUUAAAAAUAAUAUUAUUUUAUGGUUUAUCUAAUUUUGGUACAUUUUUCUAUAUUUCCUCAAAUGACUGCACUGUUAUUUUUUCUGGUAUCAGAUUACUGACUUGCUCGUCAACAUCACAAAGCAUGCUUUAAAGCCAAACCAUCAAGUACUGACGGAGGAAGAAAAACAAAAGCUUUUGAAACAAUACAGUAUAGAAGAAAAACAGGUAAGAUAUUGAAUAGUACCGUAAACAAUAUCUUGGCAAAUUAUAUUUCCUUCCGCAUGAUUGCCUGUAGACUAAACUGUUUCUCAUCUUAAACAUGCUCCCCUGAACGACCAACAAUUUCUUCUUUUCAAUAUUUAUGCUAAACGCUGAUAAGAGUCAUAUGUCAAAGGACAUCUUUCAAUAUUUUCGUGGCUGCUACAGCUGGGAUUUUGAAUGAGCAUACAGUAUCUCUAUCUCAUUUGGGACUAUCUUUUUUUUUUGGGGUAAAACUCAUCUCAAGUGUGACAUCAUAUAGGCUUAUUUUGUCCUCCAAUCAUUAAGCUUUAUCAGGGGGCGUUUAGACUUCUGGCUUGGCACCUUAAGCUUGGGUGCAAUAACCUGUGGUCUUGGGAAGUUUGGGUCUAGGAAAAUUGUGCAUGAGAGGGUUUAGGGAGUUUUGUUCUAGGAAAAGUGCAUAUGAGGUGCAGCCUUACAGGUUUAGGAAAACUAUGUGUGGUGCAUGAAUAAUGUACUACUCAAGCCGGUUGGUGCCUCUAAUUAAACCUGAGCUUUGGAACUUCUCUUCAAAUGGGUUUGGGCUUAGAAAGUGAAUCCCUCCCUAAGGCCAACCUAGGUUUUUGUAUAUUAAAUCUAUGGUUUGGCAAAGGGUUUUAGAAGAUUGAGUUUAUAAUAACUGUGUCUGCUGUGUGAGUAGAAAGCUUUGGUUUGAGAAAACUGUGGGAGGUUGAAUAUAGCGAGUUACUGUUCAAGCCUAUUGGUUUUUCCAAUUAAACCUGGGUUUGGCAGCUUCUCUCUGAAUGUGGUGUGACUUCUAGCCAAACAUAUGCACAAAACACCCCCUUAGUGCUAAGGAAUGAAUGAUUGUGAAGAUACGGUUUUUGUGGGCUCAAGUGACUCAGCCCAUCCCAUCAAAAAAGAAAAGGUGACCCAUUACAUGAUACCUUACUUCAGACAAAAAUCAAUAAUUAAUAUUUUGUGUGCUUGGUAGAGGGAAUAUAAUGAUUUUUUACGGUUUACUUUUUAUAAAAAAAUCUAGCUUUCAUUUAGAAAAAAAGGAAGGAAUAAUUGAACUUUAAAGAGCUCUUUCCCUUAGUUACAACUUGAGUAACAGGAGUUACUACGUUAAAGCACAAAAACAGUUGCAUAUCUCUAUUUCGUUUUGACGUCACUUUAGCCUUUUGGAUCAAUUUGUCCAUACAAGAUCACAGGAAGGGGCUAAAUAUUUCUUAGAGUUGUUGAAGGUUCCAGUCGCCCUGUUUGGAAAAUAGAAAUUGUGAAACAAAGCAAUACAACCAUUUCUGCUAUGUGCUAUUGCUUCUUGAAUUCUCAUGGACUCUGUUUCUUAAACUAGUACAAACAGUUGUUCAACCUCAUGUCUUCAUGCCUACUUUUGAUACAAUGCAGCUUCCUCGUAUGUUACGUACGGAUGCUAUAGCUCGAUAUUAUGGGCUGGAGAAAGGGCAGGUUGUGAAAGUGACUUACGAUGGCGAUAUGACUAGGGCACACAUAACUUACCGGUGUGUUUGGUGAUGGACCUAGAGAGGCAGGUUUCACCAAUCAACUUUUGGAUUUCUUCCCCCAUAAAACUCAGAUUAGUUUUUGUCUUAAACAUCUAUGUUCCAGAACUUCUUCUAUUUAAUAGGUUUCGAGUGCAGAUUUUUAUGAUUAUGGGUUUCUUCAAGCAAUCUGUAUCACAAUUACUGCAGCCAUCCUUAACAAGGUACUUGUAACUCCCUCCAGUUGUGUAUGAAAGAAAAGGAAUGAAGCUAGCUGUAGGAGAUGUAUUUAUAUCCUUUUUCAUUCCUUCAUGUGUGAGAAACAAAACAAUUUUCUAAUCCUCACUCUUAACUUGUGAAGUAUUUGUUUUGGAUGGCAAGAGACUAUGAUGCUGAUGCCUGGAAAAGAGGAGAAUCAACCAAAUUUUAAAAAUAAGAAUAGAAGUAUUCUUUUACUAAAGAUAUAAAGUAUUUUAAUGAAUUUACUUAUAUAGAGCCUUUAAUCAGAACAAUAUUUUGUUUCAUAAUAGGUAGCAACUUUUCUAGGGCAAGUUUGCUUAAUAAUCAAUUAACUAAAGUAUUUAUAAAUAUAGCAUAUUCUUACUUUUUAUCAAUGAUAUUUAUAAAUAUUAAGAUAGACCUACACUCUAGUUGAUAAGUUGUAUUUGUAAAUAUUUUUACUAGUUCUUUUAUAAAAAGAAUUUUACUUUUGUUUUUGUUUUUUUGUUGGAAAAGAUAACCAUCAACACCAAUAGUUUGUUUCCUUUACAUUUUUUCUUUUUCUUUUUGUUGAAAAGCUUCAAAAUGGCAUAUCCAAAUUGUGCUUCCUUCUUUUAAUGCCUUUAAUGUGGAUUUGGGUGUGUGGGACAUGUUGGAUGAACUCAAUAUUUAAUGUAAAUUAAAUUUUUUAACUAGAAAAUGAAAGAAUAAAAUAAAAUCUUAAAAUUCUUUUAUCAAUUUUUUUUAUUAUAGGAUUGUUGUCGGUGCAUUUUCUAAAUUUCGAAAUAAAUUUAAAUGUCAAAGUGGUAAUUUAAAUAUUUCAAAAUAGUAAAUUUAAAUGUCGAUAAUAUCUAAUAUAACUAAUUACUUGUCAUAGGUUGUUUUUUUAAAUAUAGCUAUAUGAUAUUACUAAUUACUUGUGAUAUUUACUAUAUUCGUAAUAUGCAAAACAAAAAAUUCUUUUCGAUAUGUUUUUGUUCUAUGCAAAAAUUUGUAAAUCGAUUAUUUUAAUUUGUGAUAUCCGUAAAUUAAUAUCUGUAAAUAUUACUAUAUUCGUAAUAUGCAAAACAAAAAAAUGAAUUUUUAAAAAAUGCUUCAUUUUAAUUUGUCAAACAUUACCAUUUUUUUCAAAAUAAAUUUUUUAGUAAAAUUAAAUAAUUUAUAAUCUAAACCAAACCCACCCAAAAUAUUUCUGUUAGUGAUGAUAGAAACGGAUUAUUUUUUAUUAGUGACAGAAAUGAGAGAAACUAGUAGAAAGAGACUUCAUGUAUGAAUUAAAUGCUGUCAAUUCUUCUAUUUUUAAUUAUUUGUGCAUAGGAAGGGGUUAAUACAUUCUCAAUCCUAUUGAACCAAAAAGACAAAAAAAAUCCACUUUCAAUCAUUUUUUGAACGGUAGCUCGAUCAUCUCACUUGACCUCUCUCUUUACAAAUCAAGAAAAGUCACCACUUGACCUCUCUCUUUACAAAUCAAGAAAAGUCAAAUCAAGAUUCGCUACAUGUGAUAUAUAAACUUUGAUAUAAAGAGAACUCAGCUUUUAUAUCCGAUAGAAAGAUAUCAAUUUUUUUUAUUGAUAGAACAGAUAGAAAUGUAUCAAUUUAUUGAUAGAACAGAUAGAAAGAUAUCAAUUUCUAUAAGGUGAUUUAGGUUUUUAUGGACUUUCUUGGUAUUUCACCAUCUGUUCUGGACUUGGGUUAAUAAUUUGCUAUGGGCUAUAAAAUAUUUUGCCUAAUUAUUCUAUUUUCAAAAAUCCCUUUUUAAAAUAGAAAAAUGAUUUAUAUUCGUAAAUUCUUGUUCAAUGCCUUAUAUUUGAAGUGUUUUAAAUGUUACUUUGUUUGCAACUGAAUCUUUGAAAUUAUCGAGUUGUUUUAAACUUACUUUCAAUAUAGAUAUGAAAUUUAAGUAUAUUUUAUAAAUAUUUAGUAUAUUUGAAUAUUUAUGAAAGAUAAUUAAUGGUUGAUAUAGAGGUUGAACCUUCACACACAUUUAGAGGCUACGCAAGAUGGAUAAUUUAGGAUCCAAUUUAAUAUAUAAUUAAAAUUGUUUCUAAAUAUAUAAUUAAUCUUUUUAAAAAAAUUAUUAAUCCAUUAAAGAUAUAAUUAAAAUGCCUAACAUUUUUUAAAUUGGUCAAAAUUAAUAUUUAAGCAUUUGUUAAAACCGACACUUAAAGUAGUAUUUUAUUGGAAGGCAAAAGUGUUUUAUGAUUUUGAUAAAAAUCUAAAAUUUUGCUUUAUUUUUAUUUUUUAAAAUAUUUGAUCAAUUUGGUCAUUUUCACUAUAAUUAAAGACUUUAUUAAUAUUUAAUUCGAAAAUUACUUGUCGAUCUUAUCAACUUCGUCAUUUUGACGUCACUUUCAGAGAGAUAUUAUCGCGUAGAACUAAGACACCGUAAACCCCAACUCUCCUCGAAUCAAAGCUCCAAGUUCCAACAAUGCCGAUCUCAACAUCAUCCGACCCACUCAUGUAAGUUUCUCUCAAUUACUUCACGAACGCGAGAUAUUUAUUUAUUCGUUCUGAACUCCAUCCCAUUUGAGAGAAGUAGAUCGAAGCAGAGAUGGGUAGCACCCCUAACGAUUUCUCUGUCGUCAUCCUCCCUUCUGAUGGUGGCAUUGAUUCCCGCCCACUUUUGCCUGACAAAGAUAAAGAGUCUGAAGACGCUGAUCAUUGGCACGAUUGUUCUCAAAACCUUUCCUCCGAUGAGGACUUUUCCGAUCUCGAUCUUUUGCAGUUUGUUCGUCUUGAGGGCACCGACAAGACUGGGAAUCGUAUCCUCCGUGUCGUUGGAAAGUACUUCCCUGGUAAAUAAGCUAAUUGAAGAAUUAUGCUCUCAUUCAUAAUUAGUUCUUCUAUACGUUUACGUUACACUCUUUUUGCGUCACUAUUCAGUUUAUAAUUCAGCCUAGUUUUUUGGUCCUGGUCUGGACUGUCUAUCAUUGAUUGAGAUGGAAUUUAAUUUAAUUUUAAUGUGAUCAUAAUUGCUACUUCAUUAUGAAUUCCUUCUUUGUAAACCUUCCAGAUGUUAAUUUUAAUGUUCUUACAAGCUCCAUUAGAGAACUUAAUUUCUAUUUAUCCAAUAAAUCAGCUUCGUCAACUAUUUCUAAUUUUGAGACCAAGUGGAAACUGAUUUGGAAGUUGGAUUAAUUAGACCCAUUAAAGAUUCGUGGCGAAUUUUUAGUUAAUCUCUUCUUAAUAUGUUGUUACUGUUCUUAGCCUCUAUCUUCUGAAUUUAUAGAUGAACAAUUCGUGGCCAUAUCUUCUGUUGACAUCAUCACAAAGUAGAUAGGUCUAAUGGUUGUAGCACAAAACUUCCGUUUAGAAAUAUUGUUUAAUAUUUUCUUGUAUAAGAAUUCAGAUAACUCCAAUUUGUUUUCUAAAUAUGAAAUUUCUUCUAACACAGCUGUGGUUGUAAGUGGGGAGCGGCUGAAGAGAUAUAUCUUCCAUAAAUUCCAGAACGAAUUGUCUGAGGGUCCAUUUUGCAUUGUGUACUUUCAUACUACUGCCCAGAAGGAUGAUAAUUGUCCAGGCCUUACCAUUUUGAGGUGGAUUUAUGAAGAACUUCCAUCUGAUUACAAGGAUAGACUUCAAUUUCUCUACUUUGUACAUCCUGGUCUCCGUUCGAGGCUUGUCUUGGCGACUUUUGGCCGUUUUUUCCUAAGUGGCGGGUGAGUGUGUUCGCUAUGCUGGUUUCCAAAUGUAACUGACAUAUUGAAUUUGUUGACAUUUGAUUAUUUUCCUUAAUUAAUUAAGUUCUAACGUUACUGAACUGUUUAUUUAUAACUUUUCACUUUUAGGUUGAUGGAUAUGAUUCAUCUUCUUAUAAGUGCUUCAGUAAGACAUUAGUUUUCUUCUUUUGGAUUUCAUAAAAUUUGAAAAUUUUACUAUUGCUAUUGCAAUCUAUUAUCAUUUUCUUUUGCUGCAGGAAUUUUCAUAGAUUUUUAGUCAAUAUGUUUACAAUCUCUCUCUCCCUCUCUCUCUCUCUCACAUUAUUGAUGUAUUAUUUGAGGAAUGAAAAGGGAAGAAACAGAAAAUCGUUCUUCUUUGUAGGGAUGUAUGCGACAUUAUAUCUGUGAGAAAUUAUUAGUUUUUGAGAAGUUUUCUUCCCCCCAAUUCUUAAAAGCAGCCUACUAGAAUAUAUAAUCUUUAGUAGUGGGAAGAACCAGUGGUACGACUGAUUAUGGUUGCUUACAUCCUUGAAAUUUUGUGAUAUCCGUUUCCUCUAAUGUAUGUCUUGAGUAAUUGAUGGUCCACAUGUGUUUGACAAGAUUUGUUCUCUUUUGGUAGAUUGUACUGGAAAAUCAAGUAUCUGAGCCGCCUCCAGUAUCUUUCAGAAGAUAUAAAAAAGGGAGAGGUUGAGAUUCCUGACUUUGUGAAAAGUCACGAUGAUGUUCUUGAACACAGACCACUGACAGAUUAUGGCAUUGAACCCGACUCCCUCAAUGUCACGGAGGUACCUUUUUCUGCCAACUCCGUUUGGAGAUAUGAGGAGAGAUGGAUGUCAAGGCAGUACAUGACAUAGUAAGCUUGGUUAAAGAAGUUGUAUUUGAUCUUAGGCAGCUCCAAGGCUUAUGAGCAAUUAACACGAGCUAUAGCUAAACAAUAAAAUAUCUGUACAUUCUGAUUGUGCUUUGUUGUGUAGCUUGAUUGGUAACUUCUUUAGUGUUGCUUGUAAAAACUAAAGGGAAUGUUGUUUAUAAUAAGCUACGUAUGUUUGAUGCUAAUUUAUUUGUAUGGUUGUAGUUGAUAGCUUAAUCAACAUUUUAUGCUAUGCAUCGUUGCACUUGCUUUGAUUAUUGGAGAUUUUAGCUGUGGAGGAUUACUGUGUUGUGUACCUCAUAGGUCUGGUCUUUAUGGUUCUGUUUCUUAUUAAACUUUUCUCGUAUCCUUACUCACUGAAAUGAUCUUGUUUAUGUCAAGAGAAAUUACGGUAUUUAGGGUGAGUUUGAUACGAUUUUUGAAAAGGAAGUACAACCUAGAGGAUCGGUGGAAAAAUAUUUCCUUAUAGCUUAUUACAAGCAUUUUUCAAUCUUUUUUAUAAAACUUUAAGAACUAUGGAAGGUACUCUUAGAACAAGUAUUUCUCUUAUCAAAAGUACCUACUCUGCAUCAUAUGUAAUUCAUCAAGAGAAUUCUCAUUGAGAUGGAGGAAUCUGAGUUUUCCUAUCACGGGCUGCGUUUUUCCACAUGGCAAGGAACAAGAAAAUCCAAAAUCUGGUUUAUGGAUCAUUUUGUAGUAUAACUGAAUUACAACACAACACCCACCACAUAAUCAUUAUAGCCUUUCAAAUUUACUAACAUCUGUCUUGAAUGUGAUAACAGCAUUCUAUGCAAACAGAUCUGUCUUGAGAAUAAGGACCCAGGGCUAUAAGUAUCCGACUAACUUGAAAAUUCCUUGCAUAUCUAUGUUCUUUCACUCUAUUUAUGUAGAUUAUUCAUCCUGUUCUUUGUUAGAGUUAUAUUAUGUUGGUUUUCAAUUAUUUUAGGAGUGAUUUUUUUUUAAACUGAAGGAGGAAGGACCAAGAGACAUAAUUUGAAAACAGAGUUGAAAUGAAGAAGACUGUACAGUUUAGGAGCUAGACAGAUCACCGAGUUCAUUGGAAGAAGAAUAAGCAGAUUUCACAAGCCAAGCAAGGUGAGUUCAAAUAUAACAGUGGCUAAAAACUUCAGGAUUACAAUCUACGUUAUUUAACCUUUUUGGGGUCUGAAGUUGUAUAUAUAUAUUUUUUCCUUAUCUGCCAUGUUGUAUUAGCCUGUUAGGAAGAUAUACCUUUUUGUGGUACUAUAGAAGAAGGAUUUGGUUAGAAUCAAAUCUAAAACUUCCAUUUGCUCAAGAAAACCAUAGGCCAGUACAAGCAGAAGUCUCAAUCUCAUAGAUAAAGUUGUUUUAUACAAUACACUAGAUCAGUGUUGCUGAUAUUGAUGGAACAUAUAUAAACACUAAUUACAAUAGACAACAGGACAAUCAUCCAGGAGAAUCAGCAACAUGCCUCACAAAGCCAACAGCAACACAGGGCAAAAAGGCUGCACCCAAUCCACAAGUUGACAAGGUAAGAUUUUGUUUUUCCUCACAAAGAAAAAAAAAAAAAGAAGAAUAGAAGGCAGUGAAAUGAAAACACCCACCAUCCUUCGAUAAAACUCCUAUCUCCUCGUUUUUUUGUAGUACCCCAUAACUGUUUCUUCUUCCCUGUCCCAACGUUCUCAGUUGGGUACCCUAUAGUUCAAACAGUUAGAAAGAGAGACAGAGAGACAACAAAGUGAAAAUUUUGAUAGGGAGAGGAAGGUGGAAAGAACCUUGUGGGUGAUGGUCUUGUUUUGCUUCUGAUAUGGGCAUCUUUGAAGCUUUGGAAGUAGAGAUUAGUGUCUUCCAUUACGUGUGUGUAUAUAUAUAUAUCGAUUAUCUCUUCAGUAAAAAGUUUGUGGAGUUUCGUAGAAAGGGACAAAGCUCAGGAAUAUGAUUCUGAUAUUGAUUGGCCAACUUAACUAUAACUUGAUUCCUUCCGUUCAAAGACUGGUUUUAGCUUUGCCAAUAGGUGUCACAUUCUAGAAGACAUUACCGUCAUGGAAGUAAGGUAACAGUUUUUGCUUAUAAUACCCUCGAAGGUUUCUAUUAGAAAAAGCCAAUUAAAGAUCAUGUGGAAGAGAAUAAACUGAGGGGAACGGAUGGAUGGUUCCUUGUAAAAUUAGUCGAGAUUGAAUAAACUUUUUUUAAUUUAAACAAGAAAACACAUAACUAUCAUAGGUUGAUUUAGUAGUAAAUGAGAAGACACCGUCUCAAUAAAUGAUUAAGAGAUCACGAGUUCAGUUUAUGACGGACAUCUACUCAGAACUUAAUUUUGUACGUGAUUUAAAACCUUAGACAUUAUAUUUAAGAACCACGCAAACCCAACAUCUCCAAAGCCAAUUUGAUUUCAACCUCUAAGAUAGGGUAGAUUCAUGUUAUUUAGGUGAUCUAAGAAACCAAGGAUCGGACAAAGUUUUGAAACUUUCACAACCAAGAUAUCAAUUCUCACUUAAGUGCAAGUGAUUGAAUUCUGAUUUUUUGGUUCGUAUUAGUUCGAGUUUGGUCAAGUUAAGUUGUGUUCAGAUAUUUACAAUUUAAAGAAAAAAACAGAUACAGUGUAAUUUGAGAAUCAUUCUACAAAUUAGUUGUAUUUAUUUUUGGUUAUUUUAAAGCUUUAUGUGUUUAGGGCUAAGUUUGGGAGAGUGGGGUGAAAGCCCAACUAAAUGAGUCAGAGGUCCAGUGUUUGUCAAUAAAAUUACAAAAUCAGAAGCCAAAACCAUUACUUCUAUUUCUAUAUUCGUCUACGGUACUUGUGAACAAUGCUCCAUAUUAGAGUAGGGAAUGAAUGAAAUGGAUACGUUUUCUCGACGAAGAAACAAAGCCAAGAGGGGGAGAGAUCGACGAAAUCAACAACAAACUUGCCAAAACGUAUAGUAAUGUUUUUCGUUUUUUAUUUUUUAUUUUUUACUUUUAGUUUCUAAAAAAAUUUGUUUUCUUGAAAGAAAACUCUAAAUGAGAGAAAAAAGUUACUUUUGUUUUUAAAUCAUUUACCAGCUAUAUAUUUAAAAAACAAGAAAAAUUCAAAUGAAAACCAAAAUGAUUACCAACUAAUUUAAUUUCUUUUCCAUUUUUUUAAAAAACAAGAAACUUUUUAUCUCAAUUAUAUAUAUGGUUUUUAUUUUUAAUAUUUAAAAACAUAAUUUAAAAAACAGAAAAAACUAAAAUAAAAACCAAAAUGAUUAUUGAAAAGAACCAUUUAUUGAAAUUUCAAGACGAAAGUAAUUGAAAGAAAAAAUAGGAAAUUAAUAAGAAAGGAAAAGGAAACUUUGAGGGACAAUUGUAGUUUAUAAUGGAUAGCAAUAACUAAGUAUAUAAACAUUUUUAAAUAGUUACAAAUAUAGCAUAUUCUAUAUUAAUAUUUGCAACAUAAUUUUGUUAUUGAAUUUGCAAUUAUCCUCGUAUUCAAUGGAAAUGUAUAUUUCGUGGAGAAAAUCAAUGGAAUAACAUAUUUUUCAAAAAUAAUAAUAGUUCUAAUAAACAUUUAAAACAAAUCUCAUAAAUAUUUUGCAAAAGAAAGUUAAAGAAAUUCACCAACAAAUUAUGUGGGUGCGCAAGAACCAAAAUUCUCAAUGACAAUUUCAAUAUUAUGAAUAACUUUGUAAAAGAGGUAUCUACAAAAAGGUUAUCAAUUUUAAGUAAAGUCACCUUAAAAAAAUUAUGGAUUUGCCAUUGUAUACCGUGGAAUUUGUGACUUGUGAGGCCUUCAAUUUUAAAGUCUCUAAUGUUACACACAUAAACAAAAAGCAAUGAUAAUAUAAACUGUCAUUUACCCUAUGUCUGGGUAUAUGGUAAAAGAUGGGACGAUGAAUAUUCAACUUUCAUGAAGAAAACGUUGGUAGAUUGUUGAUUAUUGUAUAGAAUUGUCAAUCUUCGUUUACUUAAUUUUCAACUAUGAAGUUAGAGAUUUGAAAUCCUUAUUGUCUUGCAUAAUAUAUUACUAUUCACUAGUUAAUAGAUUAACGGUAAUGUGUAAACAAAACUCAUAGAAAAUCUAAAUCAAUUAGAUGAAAACUUUAACUCCAAUUGAUGAGUGGAGAUCAACUAAACGGAAGGUCGGAAAAAUAUUAUUGAAGGAGAGAAUGUUAGAUUUAAAUUUGAAAAUCUGCACGUUUGUUAAUACCCUUCUCUCACAAAUCAAACCACCAAAAAUCCAUUAGUCAUAUUGUAGCAAACCCAUCGAAUAAUCACUCCAACAGAAAGAGAAACGAAAGUAGAAUUAACAGCAAACAAUGAUGUUGUUUGGGAUUCCAAGAAAUAAAAAGAAAAAGCAGAGAGAGAGAGAGAGAGAGAGGAUUUAAGAUGAGUAAUAUGUUAAUACAAUAUAAUAAAAAGAACCAAUGGAGGAUUGAAGGUGUUAAAAGUGGAGUUAACAGAGUGUAGUGAUGUAAGUGAAGUGAAGUUACAAUGACAUAGGGAACCAAAAGACAGCAAAAAGAAUAAUGAAAACAAAACAUGAAGUUAAAAAUAAUAAUAAAAGAAAGAAAUUGUAUAUAGAAUUAUUGGAAUAUUGUAUGUGUGUGUUUAAUGAAGAGUCCCAUUACAAUCUAUCUUUUUUACCAAAACACACACACAAAUAAAAAAAAAACUCUGUCUUAGUCAGAAAGAGGUAAUGGGUAGGUCACACCUUCUUUCAAAAUUUACCCAUCUCAGAAUCAGUGCCUUUUCCUAUAUAUAUAUAUAUUUUAUAUAUAUACUCCAUAUUCAUUAAGAAUUUUGAUACUAUAUUAGAUAAAAAUGAUGUUCUAUUGUUCCUCAAAAUGAUAAAACAGUUUCUCUCCAUGUUUAUGGGAUUCUAAUUACUGGCCCAACACAUCAUUAACAAAAACCAGUUAAAGUUUUCAUAACCCAACAACCUAACUCUAGUCUACUACUAAGUAGUAUGAAGUGAGAAUAAUAUAAAUGAAUAACCUUAAGGAAAAGGUUUUGAACCCUAGAAUUAACUGCAACAUUUGGAGAGAGAGAUAUAUAGAGAGAGAAUUAAAGAGGGUUUUUGUUUGUGUAGAGAGAGUUGGGGUUUUUGGAGACAGUAUUCAGAGUUUGUUUCUUUUGAAAUAUUUUAGUUUUGGUUUUGUUGUGUUGUGUUGUGUUGUGGUGUUUGUGUGUAUUUUUGGGGUUGAAAGGUCAGCUCAAAUGUCUUAAUCUGAUUUUACCUCUUUUGAUGCUCACAGCUAUACCAAUUCUUCUCUUUUCAUUGUCUUGUCAAAUCAACUCCCCCAAUCCCCUUCUAUACUCACAUGCUCUUCCCCCUCCCUAAAACCCUUUCCAUUUUUCUUUUCACUUCCACUUCCAAAACACUAUAAUUACACCCCUACUCUUAUAUCAAAUAUAAAUAUACAUUCCAUAUCUUAAACGCUUCAUAUCAAUCUUACCUUUUGAGUCUAUGCGUCUACACUAUACAUCAAUAAGAAGAGCUUAUGAGUGAUAAAGUCUAUAUCAUAGAUGUAUUAUAUUAUAUUUGUAUUUUUUCUAAAAUACUUAUACGUGACUUCACAAGUCUAAGAUUUGAAAUUCGAAUUUCACAAUUGGUAGCUACAAUAAUCUCCUAACAAGACCAUCCUUUCUUGUCUCCAAAGUCUUUUAAGAAUGUGAAAGUUGUUUCUACAAAUCAACAUGCAUUAUAGAAAAAAAUUUCAGCAGGUCACGCAACACAUGAUUGUUCUAAGCUAAACAUACUCAGCUGUGAAGAUUUCAUAUGAUUGAGUAAUUGGAGAAAAAUGUGCACAUUAUUGGUAUGGAUAAUAACUUUCAAUUCUUUUAAGUGUUUGUUUGUUAUAUUUGUAUGUCUUCGUAACUUCUUUCAUUCAUAUGUGAUUUUGAUUUAUUGACAUUUCUUUCUUAAAUUAGGCCAUUACAAUACUUUUGUUUUCAAUUUUUAUAACAUUUUGUAAAAAAACGUGUGGUGGAAAAUUAUACGAGAACAUAAACUUAAAAACAAAAAAUCGAAAUGAAAAUAUAGUUGUAUUUCCUUUUUUUUUUAAAAAAAGAUAGGUGCAUAGAAGAAGAUCUAGAAAUUGAGCCUAAUUUAGACCAUUGUUUUAAAUGUAUUUAAUAUAAUUUGUAUAAACCAUGAAGUUAAUUAGUUGUAUAGUUUCCGUAAUAUUAACUAUCAAAUGUUAUUUAAUUGAUUUGUGGUUUUAGGAUCAACAAUAAUCUUAAUUGGAUGUAUUAAUGAUUUUGCUUAUGUAGUUAGUUAAUAUAUCACAAAUCCCUUAUAAACUUUGUUUUAUUCACAAAAUUAAGAACUAUUCUCUUUUGUUUUAGCUCUCUAACAAAUUAAAAAUUAAAAUAUAUAAUUAAGUAACACAAAUAGACAAACUAAAAAUCAUUUUCUCAUUACCACAUUAAAUACUUAUAUAGUUUAAUAAUUUCAUGACAUAGUUAAUUUUAAUCUAAAUUUUUUUGGAUAAUUUCCAAGCUUAAUUCUAUAGAAAUCUUUCAAUUAUCGUUUUCGGGUUAAAAUUUAUUAUUGAUUCGAUAAACAACAUAAGUUUGUUCAUACAGAAAAAACAUAAAUUGUAUUUAAAUGUAAGAAGUGUCAGACGAGCUAGUUGUCGACAAUGACUUCUAAUUUAUGCAUGAUUUUGUUUGUAUGCAUUGUCUAUAAAUUUUGUAUGGUAUGAUGUUGUUGGCAUGAAUGUGAAGUUGAUGGUGUACAAAUGUGGGGGAAUUACAAGAAUUUUCUUUGUAUUGACUUUUUAUCUUUAUUUCUUUCUACAUAAUGUGUUUGGUUGAAAAGAAAGGUGAAAUAGUACUUUGUUAUUUAAUAAAGCAUUAAAGUUCCAUCAACAGUCAAUACAAAGUCACUUAUACUAGCAAAAUAGGAGAAGAAAAGUAUAUUAAAUGUGGCAAAUUAAACCCCAACUGAAUUUUACUGUGACAUGAAAAUCAAUGCAUCACUUUCAAUUUCAAAUGUGAAAUAUAAUCAAAAGCAAAGGAUAUGAAUUAUGAAUACUUUUAUUAUUAUUAUUAUUAUACUAUAAAUUAAUGAAAGGGUUGUUUGAUUUUAAGAGAGAAUUAAUUAAGUUAAUUGAAGGGACAUCCUUUCCCAAAAAGAUACCCUAAAAAAGCUUUUGAAUCACAUGUUGGAGUGCCAAAAUCUGUUGUAAAGUCCACAGUUCUCUGUCCCAUAAAAUAACACUUUUCUUAUUGAAUAUAUGUAUAUGUAUAUAUAUCCUAAUAAUUAGGUUUAAUUUAACCAUAGAUUGGAUAAUGCAAACAUCUUGUCAAACACUACAGCUUUUCUUUGUCUUCUUAUUAACAAAUAUCUCAUGUUGUUUUCUUUCAGAUCUUCAAUCCAAACCAUUUGUUUCUGUUUUUUUCAAAGGCUACUCAACUCAUAUAGGUUUUUAUUAAAUUAGAGUCUUUGCAUCCAUGGAAUUCGGUUCAAUUGAAUAAUUAUGGUUGUUUAGGGAAACAAAAAAUAGUUAGGAAAGGACUGUUUUGGAAAAAUAUUAGAGAAAUAUGAGUUUUUUUUGGAUUUAUUGGAUUGUAUCUUUCGUUAAAAUAUUAUUUCUCUCUACAAAAAUCUUCACAACCACGACCGUAGAGAAAUAAAUAUAAGAAAACAACUUAAUUUUUCUAAUAUUUCUAAAACAACCCUAAUUAUCCCAUUCAUCCCGAUGAUUAUGAUCAAUGUCAAGGAAUCCCUAAUGUAAUAGUUUUGGUAAUUGUUCAUACAAUUUAGAGCAUAUUUAAUAUAUAUAGAGAGAGUUAUUACAUUGAGUAUAAAUGUAUAUAUAUACUAUAUAAUAAAAUAAAAUAAAUAAUAAUAAAAGGUUUGAACUUGGCCAAGGUUCAACAGAUCGACCUAAAGUACUAUUCUAAGAGUUUAGCUUCAAAUAAAGUUUAAAUCAAACCAAUUGGAUUGAACUUUUGAGUGAUUUGAAUCGUUGUUUUUGGAUCAACCCAUAGUUCUACAAUUUAUUUCAAAAGUUUUGAACAAAUUUUUUGGGUUAUCAUUGUUCCAUUUUUUCAACAGGUUUUGUUCCAGUCUUCAAGUUCAAUUGAAUUUUUUUUUAAAUUUCAUUAUAAGAUGUUAUAACAGAUUUUUAUUUUUAUAGAAGUAAAUAAUUUAGUCAAAUUAGUCCAUUUUUAUUCGACAACAAUUUAGUCUCCAUCUUUAAAUUUAAAAUAACUAAUUUAGUUCUUCAUCCUAAAAAUAUGGUUAAGCUCGUCAAUUUUAAGCGAUGAAAAUAUCAAUAAAAUAUUUAUGUUGAAUUAACAAAUAUUAAAAAAAUUAAUACAUAGACAUUUUAUCCUUUAUAGUUAAUUAAAAUGUCUAAUUAAAGUAUAUUAUAUUUGACACGAUGAGUUAUUAAGAGAGUUGUAAUGUAGUUAAGAUGUUCAAGUAUAUCAAUGAUGAAAGAAAAAAUGAUAAAUUUUUUGUGAUGGAGAGAGAUUGAUUUUAAACAUAGUGUAUGAAUAUAUAUAUAUAAACAAUCAUAAAUUUCUAAAAUAAAAAGAAAAAAUGAUAUUAAACAAUAUGUGUCAUGAUUUGACCCUAGAAUGACCUUUGGACUAGUUGAUGACACAUUUUGUUUCAUAUCUCUACCAACCACUCUUUUUCUAGAACCCUAGUGGAAGUCUAAGCCUCCUCCAAUCUAUCAAAACACAUACACAAAAUAAUGUGAAGUCAAGGUGAAGAAAUCAAUGAGAGUAAUGUGAAAAAGGGAAGAAAACUAUAAUGGAACCUAAGUACAUGGUUGAGAGAGAGACUUAUAGUUUCCACUCAAAUUAGUGCAAAUUGUAUGGCAUUGUGAUGAUGCCAAAAUUUAAGCUCUCUCUAUGAGUGGAAGGUCAAAGGGGAGAAUAUAUAUAAAAGAAAUUUAGUGGAUGUGUUAUUUCUUUGGAUUCUACUUUCAAGUGGUAUCAACCUCACUCUCUAAUGCUUUUGAAAAUCCCAUUUCCCAUAUCUAAUUCUAAUUUCAACCCCAAAUAUAUACCUCAUCAAAACUAUAGAAUAUUUUACCUUUUACAAAUUUCCUUUAAUAAUUUUAGAUUUUAUUUUAACUCUCAAUCCUUGUAUAAUAUUAAAAAUAUGUAUGAUUGAAGAAUCAAAUCUCUAACAUCAAGAUUUAUAUUAUUCAUCAUAUCCCUCUUUAAUUAUGACUUUAUAUGUUGAUGUCAAAAUAUAUGUAUUUAUGUGUUAAAUACAUCUUCUAUGAUAAAUGAUGAAAGAAAUAAAGUUAUAUACAUAUAAGAUAGCCGAUAUGAUUUUACCUUAGUUAAUGAAAAUAACUCGACAAAAAAGACAUUAAUAUCCUAGAUUUUUAAUUUUCUUAAAAGAAAAAGAAAAAGGGAUAUUGGAAAUAAAACUUAACUAGCUAGGAAAAAGAAAAAAGAGUUGAAAAAAAAAGGAGGAAGGGAUGCAUGGGGGUGUGUGUGUAUGUGUGUGUCAAAGGUUGCAUGAUUUGGGGGCAAAAGGCAGCAUUGACUGUAUACAAAUUUUUUGUGAUGGAGAGAGAUUGAUUUUCUUUUUUGUUUGAGGAAAGAGAGAUUGGAAUUUGGUUGAAAUAUAUUUGGUCAAAUCUCACUAGUAUCUACAUGCAUAUGUAUCUCUCACCUUUAGGGCAAUCAUUUUCAAUCCAAAGGUCAAAAUUGAUCAACCUUCCAUUUCCCCCUAAAAUUCUUGAGAAGAUAUUGAGAGCAAUAGAGUCAAAGUUGGAAUAAUCUAUAUUGGUUUUGUGGUUGUAUCUUAUUUUAGAAAAAAAAUACUCUAAUUUUACCCUAGACUGCACAUCUAUUUGUAAUACAGUCAAUUGAGGAAUUGUUCGAUUAUAAUUUGUAAAUAGUACAUUUUUAAUUAAUAUUAGAAUGAGUAUCAACUUAGUUGAAUAUUUUGGAAAUUUUGUUUUAUGUUUGUUUUUUAUUUAACUUUUUUAACCUUGGUACUUAAAUAUAUGUGCAUGUUUUUUUUUUUAAUGUACAAGUACAAGUGGUUAAAAUGAAGUACAUUCAAUAUAUCAAGUUUUCAACCUUCUUUCUAUUUUUAUUCAAAAUAAUAAUUACCAUUGUGAUUCGUCAUGAUUAUGAACACUAUUUUUAUAAUAUAUAUAAGUAAUUUUUGUAGGCACUAAUUAUUAUGGUAGUGACAAACGAAAACCCUCCUACACAAACACAUUGAAUAACAAGAAAAAUCAUCAUCAUCAUAAGAAAAUAUUGAUGUCAAAUCAUAAAAAAAUCUAGUCACAACUUGUUGGAAAGAUGAAAACUUGAUUUUUCUAAAAAAAAAUUAAGUCUUCUUAAUUCCUUUUUCUUUUUUCUUUUUUUACAAUUUGAUUUAGCCCACUUACAUAUAUUUCUUGAUAUUGAUGUAUUUUGAGGUUGAAAACCUAAUUGAAGUGUUUUUCUUUCCAUAAUUUAAUUGAAUUUUUAUAGAAAAUAACUAAUGGAAACUAGGAAAGGAUUUGAAUUGACUCCAACAAUUUUGUUGCACCAUUAGAAAUGGAAAUUUUGAUUAGGUUGACUACAUUUUCCUCCACAAAAUUAAAUUUAUAUGUAAUAUUUGUCAUUGAUAAGAGAGAAAAGAAAAAGAUUUAAGAAAAAAUGUUUGAUGGGAUUCUCAUUCAUUUCCCAUUUGUAGAAUUGUCUUUUCCAUUUCCAUUAACAUUACAUCUAAUUACCAACUCACCCUAAUUUUAGCAUCACAGAGAACAAAUAAUAAUAAUAAUGAUGAUGGAGAGAGAGAAAUAAUAUAUAAAUAGGGAAAAAUAGAGGAACAAAGCAACAAUCAUAAUGGAGACAGAGAUAAAUGGGAGAGACGUAAGAGAAUCAAUAAUCUUUAGUCAAUAGUCAAUAAAAUCUUAUGAUUGUAACCAAUUAACAGACAUCAUCUAGUUGGUAAGAAGCUUAACCUAAUAAAAUAUCAAAAUCUGUCUUCUCCUCUUCUUCUUCUUCUUCUUCUUCUUUUCUUUUAAUAAUAACAAUACCAUUUUUUUUUAUCAAGAACAAACAACACAUAUACUUCUCAAUUGAUUGUGUGUGUGUAUAUAUAUAUGCAACUGUUAAUGUGAUUGAUAGCAUUCAACCCAUUUAUCAACAGUCACACACAUAUGCAUUGGGCUAUACUGCCUAGCUAGCUAACACCCCUCAAAUGUAUAAUUUAUUCCCUAAUCCAUUUGUUUCUAAAUCUUUAAAUUAAUAUUUUCAUGUUUAAGAUUUGUAGUUGUUAUUAGUUAUUUAAUCUUAAUGUUUCAAAAAGUGGCAUAUAUAUAACCCUAUUUUAGCUUUUUAAUGAUUGUUUCCUUAGAUCAACAAAUGACCUUUAAUAUUUAACGAACAAUUUAAAUCAAAUUCAAACUCUAAAGAUCAAACGAUCAUUUGGAACGUUAGUGGAUCAAAUAAAGAAGAGCUAAAAAAAUAUUUUUUUAAUAAGUCUCGCUCUUAGUUUUUUAUAUUUGAAUAUUUUUUGUUGUUUUCAUUUUUAACAAUUUCAUAUUGUUAUUUGGUUCUUAAUUCAACACGCAUUCUAAUACUCUUACGGUUUACAAUAAUCUUGUCAAUUUCUCAAACAUUCCCUAAGUUCUUAUUAAGAUUAAAAAUGAUUAAUCUAAACAUAUAAAUUCAAUUAUAAAGAUAAUUGACAUGCAUAUAUAUAUAUUUUAAAGCUUGAAAGUUAAAAUCUCUUAUCUAUGUUUCCUCUACUAAAAACGUAUUAAUUUUGAGUAUUUUUUUUAAUGAAAAAAUUACAUAUAACUGAAAGAUUAUAGAGAAUCGAAACGGUAACUCGUGAUAGGUAAUUCUACAAACUAAAUUUGCGAAGACUUGGAUGUGUGGUCAUGAUAAGCUAGAUCAUAAACUACAUACACGAUUAGUAAAAAAAAUGUUGGACAAUCAAACCUCCACUUUAAAGAUAUGAGCAUUUCAUUAAAUGAAUCAACUUUUUCAGAGCAGAGGUUUACAAAGUCGCUUAAAUAUGUGUCUUUGUCCAUUAAGCGACUUCAAAGAAUCAAAGACGGAAAGUCUAUUUGGGUUGACUAUAAAAAAAAAUCUUUUUAAAUUACUUUAGUUUAAACUCAUUUUUAAAUAACUAUUUCAAAAGUUAUUUUUGUAGUUGCUAAAAUUUUUAAUUUUUCUUCCAAAUAACUUAUCUUCAAAAAGAAAUAUUUAAAAAGUUAAACCAAACAUAUUAUCUAUUUGAUACCAACGAGUUAUGAAUUCUACCAUGAAACGUUAUUGCCUCAACAUACUCACUAGAGUUCAUUUUCUACUUUAGCUAACUAAAAAAAAGAAGAAAAGAAUAAGGAAAAAACUCAUUUCUUAAGUAGGGAUAGAUAAUAUGGGUGUGUGUUUAGGAAAUUAAAUGUUAUAUUUGUUUAUAACUAUUUUAGGAGAAGUUCUUUUUAACAUGAUCUAGCUAUAGUACUAACAAUUUCAUUUAUAUACAAAUAUAUACACAUUUGAAGUUAACAUACAAAAUAUAUAUAUAUAUAUAUAUAUAUAUGAUAUAUGUAUUAUUUUAAUAGUUUUUAAUAGGUUAAAUAACGUAAAUUUCAAAUAAUAAUAAUAAUAAAAGAUUGAAAGUUACGAAUAGACAAAAUAGUAAAGAAACAUGAUUUAAUUCACCUUUAACAUUAGCACAUUACACAUGCAUAGCAUAUAUAUUAUGGUUCUCUUUGUUUAUAAAUUGUAAUUUAUAAUGUGAUUUGGUUACCAUUUUUUUGUAAAUUAGGUUUUUUCUACAAAAGCUUUGGAGAUAAGGAGAUCAUUGAUCAUAUCCAUUUUCAUUGAGCUAAUUAAUUAAGCUCGUUCUUGAAGUUCAAGAAAAAUAUUAAAAUUUGAAUUUUAUCUAAAAAUAGAGUUUUCUUUUCUUUUUUUUUUCAAUCUAAAAUUGAAAUACUUAGAUAUAUAUAUAUAUAGAGAGAGAUAUUUGAUCCGACAGAAAUUAGAGGAAUGGAAAUUGCAUCCUCCAUUGUUGUGGGGACGAUUCCUGAUUAAGUUUCGUUGAAGUAAUGAUAUAUGUUUGGACAAUUUCAUUAUUAAAUUACAAUCUUGGAGACAUUCAAAAUCAUUACAUUUUUCCAAUAAUAUCAUAUUUAUGGCUAAUAAUCAUCCUCACUCCCUUGAUUGAUUCUUUUUCAAAAAAUUUAAAUCUUUCCAGGAUUGAUUAACUAUGCUUAAUUUAAUGACCAUAUUUAAAUUUAUGUCAUAUUCUAGUUUUAUGUUCUUUUUUAACAAAAAAAGUUAUUAAUAAUAGUUGUUUAGAAUUUAAGUAAUAAAAUUCAGAAAUAGAUCAUAAAUGAAAUAAAAUGGCCAUGUAUAUGCAUGAUUGUUCUUUAUCUUUCUGUUUUGGUAUUAUUUCUUAAUUAAAAACAUUAUAUCACAAAAGAAAAAAAGAACAAAUAGUUUCUUUAGUGCAAUGCUACCAAAUAAGUUACCUCAUUUUUGUAAUAAACAAAUAAAUAUAAACUUAAUUCAAAUCAAAUAGUAUAGAAUGCAUAUUGGGUUUAUGAAUCUCCACUCCAAUAUUUUGCUCCAAACUUUUUACAAUGAAAUGAUUUUUUUAAAAGAGAUGAAAAACAAAUAAACUUUUUAUAAAAAAAAUCUAUGUGGAUGUAUGACAAAUAGAUGCCCUCAACAAUGUCCAUUAUUUGUAUCUUUCUUUGUGGUUGAUUCCAUGACCAUUCAAUAUAGAAAUGUAAAGUAUUAAUGUAUACACCUAAACAAUUAUCCCAUUUAAACCUUAAACUUUAGUCUUUUGAAUGUUCGUGUAAUGAAAUAGAGAGUGUAUAUAUUAAUGUUAUUGGAUGAUUUUUAAAGAUAGAACAUAAUUAAUUAUUUAACUUGAUUGAUAUAUUUGAGUUUAAACAAAUUAUAACGUUCACAUAGCAUUGAUAGAAUGAAAGAGUGUAAAUAUUAGUUUCAAUGAUUAAAAUAUACAACUAUUGGUACAAGUUUUAAUUGAUACAACCAAAUUUGGAGAUAUAAAUUUUAUUUAUUUUGCAAGUGAUAAUUUAAAAGUAAGGAGAUGACUCGAAAAAGAUUAGUUUGGUAUGUGGUUUGAAUUUUGUUUCCUCCUCUGUUUUUAUAUAUAUAUAGAAGAAAAUUUACCAUUUUUGGUUUCCAAUUUUUCAUAAAUAUAUGAGCUAGUUUUUAAAAUAUUUUUGAAACCUUAUUUAAAAAAUUUAAAGAUUAAAAAUAUACAUUUAUUAAGAACUCAAAAAUCGAAUAAAUCUAUUCUUAUAUAUACAAUGACUAAAACUAUAUAUUUUUAAAAACUUACCGAAAACACACAUAUUCUUUAAAUCUUGAGAAUUGAAAAGAUCAUUUUUCUAUAUAUAUAUUAAGAAGAAUGAAAUUUUUAGUAAAUUUGACAAAAUAUUUACGACCUAUAACAAAUUAUAGUCUAUAAAAGACCAUUGUUGAUAGAAAGAAUAAAAAAGGUUUUAAUAUCGAUACGUUCUACAUUAUUUUAAAAAGCAUGUUGACGUGACACACAAUAAAUAGAAAGAAUAUGAAAAGAUUUUAACUCUCACGUUAUAUUUGAAAAUAUUUUGGGACUAUACAAAAAAAAUCAAAUAUCUUUAAUUAUGCUAAAUUGAUAUUUUCGAGUGAAUUUAUUUGUAUUUUGAACGUUUUCUAAAUUGUUACAAAUAUAAAUAUAUACAUCUCAAUCUAAACUAUAUAUAUUAUAACGUAGGUCAAUUUGGAGGUGUUAAAAGAAGUUGAGUGGAUAUUAAUAAUUUCUACAACCAUGAAAGCUUCGGUGUGUGUGUGUCUAUAUAUAUAUAUAUGUGAAAACUUUCAUAUAUUAUGAAAAUGUGUGUAACUUUGGAUAUGAUAUGAAAUGUAAAUAUCCAUAAAACUUUAGUAUGCAGUAUGUCCCAUUAAUUUUUACUUCUUGAGGACCCACCCACUGCUUCAUGAAAUAAAAUACAAAAAAAAUCUGUCUGUGUGCAGUUUUUUACUGUACAACCCACUCCCAUCCCAUGCCAUUUUACUAUGUAGUAUGCCAUUUUCUUUUUAAUCUUUUGGUAAAAGAAAAUUACAUCAUUUCAAUGGGCUCCAAGAGUUACUACCCCUCAUUCUCAUCUGAAUUCUUUUUAAGUCUCUUCAAAAGGCAAGUGUUGGGGAAAUGACAGUCAAUAUCAUGUAUAUGUACUCAAAUUUGAAGACAAAAUCCCCACUCAGUCGUUUAAUCUUUUAUGUCUCUUAUAUUUGGUGCUGGAGAUGUUCAUUUAACUUGAAUUCCAUGGAAAAUGAGAAAGAAAGAAUGAAAAAAAUUUCUUCAUAUUGCUAAACCAGGAGGGAAGCUAGCUUCACCCCUUGUCACAUUUUUUCAUUUAUUACGAUUGUAUCAUUAUUGUCGUGUUAUACUAUUAUACAAAAGUUAUAUUUAAAUUUAAAGUUUUAUUGUUUGGAUGGUUUAAUUUGAUCAAAAUUAUGAAGUUACUUUUGAAACGAAGGUACGAUGAGAACGUCAAUAACAUGUCAAUCUAGUUGAGAUAUUAGAAUAUGUCUUCUCAUCUCAUGUCUCACUCUUAUACAUUUAUUAAAAAAACAAAAAUAUCAAAAUUAUGAAUAUAUUUGAAUUGAUCAACGGUUUUAUAGAUUGGUAUUUGAUAUACGUGAUUAUUUUCUAGUACUAAAACGUUUGGGCUACUUUUUUUAGUUCAAAUUGUCAACAAAGCAUCAAUCAUAUAAAAAAUAGUGAUAGAUUUAACUAAUUAACUCGAAUGUUUUCAAUGUAGUUGUUAUUUAAUUACCAAAAAUCUAGAAUGUAAGUUUUUCCAAAAGCCUUAUUGUGAAAAUUUACAUUUUCUUGAAUGAUAUUGUUACGAUAAUAUUACCGUCAAUUACGUGUUACUAACUUUUUAGAUCACUUGAAAGGUUCUAAAUUUCACCGGUUUUAUUUUUUAAGAUUAUUUUUUUAUUUUUUUAUUUGAUUAAUUGAACAUACUUAAAAAUUUUAAAUAAUCAAAUAUUCAAAUAAAAAAAUCCUUCUUGAUAAGUAUCUUAAAUAAAAUUGACCAUUUUAUCCGUCAAAGAUGAAAAAUGAAAAUGAUUAAAUGGGUGAAUAAAGAAUUCCACAUCUUUUGCAAAUAGUUUUAGAUGUUUUAUAUAUUUUUUUUUCUAAAAAAGAAUAAAAUUUAAACAAGCUUACUUUAGCAAUAUAUGUCUUAUAUCUUCAUCAUAUAUAUUUGGCAUUUGGCCUUCUGUUUUUUAGCUUUUCCAUGAAUCUUAAUUAGACCAUAUAUCAUUCAAAAUUAAAAUUAAGAAUAUAUAAUAACACCCCUAAUUACACAGUGUAGGAUGCCUAAUGUUUGAUACUCAACUUCAAUGCAUUUUUAUAUAAUAUUAUGCACAAUGGUAGAAUUUUUCAGUCCCUUCAAUAGACUUCAUAUUCAGAUUCUUUUCCAACCUAAAAAUAAAAUUUUGAUUUUGUAUUCCAUAAAUUUAUGAAUUCAAUUUUAGUAGGUCAUUAGCUAUUUAAAAUUCAUCAAUCUACUACACACAAAAUUGAAAGUUUAAAUUUCAUUACACAUAUAUAAAAUUCAUCGGUUAAGAAAAAAAAAACAUACAUUUUUUAAAACUACUAAAUAUUUUUAAAGUUCAAGAAUGAUGUAGCUAACACAAAAUUAAAAGCUUAAAACAAAAUUUGUAAUUAAAUUAAAAUUUUAAAUCAUAUUUUUUUGUACUUUAAAGAAAAAGUUCUCAAUUUGUCAUCGUCUAAAAUAACGUUGUCAUUUACUUAAAUAACGAAAAACGAUCAAGUCAACAAUUUCAAUUAUCCCUUAAAUGGCCAAAAGCAAACAUGUGCCUAACUAAGGACUCACUCCAAAUGGCACAAACUCACUUCAAUUAAUCCUUAAAAGCCAAAAGAAAUGUGCCUAACCCAAUUAAACUUACCCUUAAAGGCUAAAAAAGAGUGCCCAUCUCAUCCAAGUUAACUCUUAAAUUUAAGAUUUAUUAGAUAUUGGAGAAAUGAGUUUCAAUAUUUAUUAAAAAUAUUGAGAUAAAAAUUUGGACAAUUAAAAAGCAUCUCCAUGAAAAUAAACAAAAUUUAAAGUAUGAAUUCAAGUAAUUUUUGUAAAUAUACAUUUUUUAUACACACUUUAAUAUUUAAAAUUUUAAAAUAUCUAUUUUAAUUCUUUCACAAAUCUUUAUUAAAGAUAAUUUUUUUUAUACCCAAUACUCAUAUCAUAUCUUAGGGAACCCAUUAUAUAACUAUUUAAAAUACACUGCAAAAACAAAAUUUGAAUAGUUGUCAAACAUUCUAAUUUUUCUUUCUUUCACCCUUAGAUCGAAAGUGAUUCCAAACAUGUUCGAAACUUUAUUUUUUAAAUUACAAAGAAUAAAAAAAAAGAAAUUAAUCGUCCAAAUUUUGAAUACAACCAAACAAACGGUCCAAAAAAAAAAGAGAUGCAAUAAACCUCUAGAGAUUUUCUUCUUUUUUUUCAUAUGUUUUUUGUUUUUUCUAAGAAUUAUUGGCUGAGAAGAAAAAAUUGUUCAAAGAGACAGCCUCAGUCUGAAUACAAAAGUAUGUUUUAUUAUUCUCUGCUUCGAAAGUGCUAUAAAAACUUUUCCAUUGCAUGAGUUUUUACUAUUUUUUAAAAUGAAAAUAUAUGUGCAUCGUUUAUUAAUUAAAUAUUAUUGAAAUGCAUUCUAAACAACACUCAUUUUUAACCCUAUUUGAUCAUGAAGUCAUGCAUAGUUAGACGUAUCACAAAUGGAUCUUUUCUUUCUCCUUUUUAAUAUUUUUUACUGCAAUAAUUGUAAGUAAUUACUGUUGAUACGUUAAGUUUAUGUUUGUUCUUUAUUUAUGUGUAACAAUUUUGCAUGCUAACCUCCAGUUAUAUGAGUUUCUAUGUUUGAUUUAGUUAAAAGGUUUACUGUUUAAGUUCAUUUAAACACAUGUUUCAUUCUUAAAUCUAUUUGUUUGUUUUAAAUUGGGCUCUUAAGAUUUUAAAUUAAAGUUAUUGUUUUCAACAUAACUUUUCAUUGUAAAUUAUUUUAAUGAUUUAUUAUUAUUUUCAUUAUAUAAUCAACAACAAUCUAAACUUGUUUUGAAAAUUGAAAAGUUGUCCCAUUUCAUGUGCUCAACUAUUCGUCUUUGUAUAGAAACUUUUCUUUAAUCUUUUUGAAGACAUCAUCAAAUUCAAAUUCAUUAAGCUGCCAAAGAACUCUACUCACGUUACUUAAUUAAACACUCAAAUUUAAAAAAGAAAUGAUAAUCACAAAUUAGUUUAACAAAAACUAUGCUAUCAUAACAACUCAAGCCUCAUCUUGGAAACAUAUAUACAGUUGAUAAUAUGAUAGUCUAACCAAACAAUACUAUCCAUCAAACCUUCAACUUUGAAGAAUGGAAUAAAGACCUUAUCCAUUGAAACCCAUGUCGGUGUUUAAGAGGUGUAAAGGAAGUAAAGAGAUAUGGUGUGUGUUGUGGGCAGUGGGAGUAAAUAACAGAAAACACAGGGGGGGUAUUGUGGAAGAAGUUGGGUAAUAUAGAAAAGUAAUGUUAGAGGUAGAGAGGGAGAGGAAGUUGGUGUACAAGUAAAAUGCACUAAUUAAAACAGGUGAAGAGAGAGAGAGAGAGAGAGAAUAAAAAGAAAAGAAGAGGGGGGAGAGGGAGAGAGAGUGAAAAGACAAGUCAAAUGUCAAAUCUAUGGUCUUUGAUAUCAUAAGACAGUCAGUGGGAUGUGCUGUCAAUCCAAUGGAUUUCAUUUCAUUUCAUUUCCUCCUUCCUUCCUUACUUCCUUCCUUUCUAUCAAAACAAUACUAAAAAAUAAAAAUUCCUUCAGUUUUGGAGAGGGCAAAAUAACAGUCUUCUUUUUUCACUACUACUAAAGUUUCAAUGUUUUCAUCUGUAUUUUCUUCAUGUUUUUGUGGGUUCGGUCUUGAUGUGAAAACUGAAUUCUCAUAUAAAUCUAAAGAUGAAACACCAAAACAAACUAAGCAAUAAUGUGAAUAUAAUACUUUAUUACAAAUAACACAUAGCUAUAAUUCAUAAAUAUGAAUAUUUAUUGGAUUCUACUUAUAGAAUUAUUAUUUGUUUACUAAUUUAAAUAAUUUUAUGAGUUUUUUUUAUUCUAUAGUUCUUUUCUCAACACAUUUGAUAUUUUUAUAAUUAAAAUUUUUAUAUGACAAUUAAUAAUAAGUGAAGUAGGUAAAUAUAUAUAUAUAUUAAGAAAAAGAGUAAAUCCAAACCUUCUGAAAAUAUAUUUAUUGUAUUUAAAAAACAUUUGCACGUGCCAAAGAAGUUCCCACGUGCACAUUUUCCUCUUUCAAAAUGAAAUUAAAAUCCAUAGGACCCAUCCAACACUCUUCUCCAUGUCCUUUUUUUUUUAAAAAAAAAUUAUUAUUAUUAUUAUUUCCCACUUUAUUUUUUCUUUUUUCUUUUUAGUAAAAGAAAAAAGUUUCACCCAUUAUAUUUGAAUCAAUAAGAUAAAGUAAUGUUCUUUUUUCAAAAUUUGGCUUCACUCAAUUUCAAAACUUAUAUAUAACGAUUCUAUUUUUGUAAAUUCGAAGGAAAACAAUAAUACCAACAAACGUAUAUACACUAAUAUUAAUACCUACAUCGUUUAAAUUUUUUUAAAUUAGUUUCUAAAAAAAUAUAUAAAACAAUUUAGACCAUUUAUUUUUCUUCAAAAUCAUUCAAAUAAGAUUAAUCUUCUCCAAAAUAAAGAGAAAAAGACAAACGGGAUGAAAAUUGCUCGUAUUUAAUCAAAAUUAACUUACAUUAGGGUUUUUUUUUUAUAUUAUUAUUAUACUUUGAAGCAUUAAUAAAUAUUAUCUCUAAACUUUAGGAUCUUACAAUUUUUAUGUUAUGUAAAACAUAAUGUGAUCAUUAUAAAUCCAUUAAUAUCACUAUUGAAACAUAUAUUAUCAUUUCAUACUAUCUUUAACAACUAAUUCCUAAUUCCUACAGACUACCGACUUUAGAUUCCAGCUAUAUAGUAGAAUUGGAAAUCACUUUGUAAUAAAUUUUGUUAUUUUCAAUUUUUUUAAAGAUUGAUUAUUUUAAAAAAGAAAAAAAAUGAUGAUUACCAUUUAAUAUUGUUAAUCUAGCUAGAACAAACAAAAACAUAACAUUCAAAAUCAUAGUAUAAAAUUAUAAAUGGUAAAGAAAAUGUAAUUUUUAAUAGUAGGUUUUUUCUUUUUUUAGGAAAACAGUAAGUCUAUUUUAGUUACUAUUUCUCGAAUACAAUAAUUUAGUAUUUCUUUAUCCUAACACUACACCAAUUAUUAAGCCUAAGGUUGGAUGUUAUCAAAUUAUACUAAUUUGUUUCCUACAUUAGAAUGAAUUUUUUAAAGCUGUAUUUUCAACUAAAAGUUGCAAAUAUUUAAAAAGUAAUUUUUUUUUAAAAAAAAAAACUCAUGAUUGAAAUCAUCAUAUCUUACAGAUUUUAGUCCCAGCCAUUAGUUAUAUUUGCUGCCAUCAUUUAGCAGUAAUUUUUUUUUAAGAAAAAAGAAGUUUGUAGUAUAAGCCAUAUUGAGGUUAAGACAUUUCCAUCAAAGCAAGUCAACCCACUAAUUAUUUCAAUAAUACCCUGAAUAUAUAAUUGGAGAUCAUAGGUUUACAUCAUCACCCAUUUGAAAAUGUUAAAGAGUAAAUAUUUUAUUUCAUUAUGGGGAUUUAUUAAUGAAGAAGGUUAGGGACUGAAAUACAAAGUUACAUAUAGCAGUCUAAACUAAAGAAAAAAGGCAAAGGGGGAAAAGUAUUAAGCCAUAAAAGAAACACUUUAAAAGCAAAAGUAUAGCUAGCCAGAGAAUGGACGACAAAAUUACAAAUUGUGGAAGGGAGGAAUGAGAUAACGAAAAGGAAAGAAAGCAUGUCUAGAGAUGCUCCACCCUUGUUUAGCCAAAACACUGAUUUUGAGAUUUUGUACGACUCUAAUAGGGUUUAGUGUUAAUGAAGAAGAGAUGGUGACAUACAAAUUGUCCACGUAUAUUCAAAAACUUAAGUUGGUAGGUGGAGACGAAUUUGAUUAUAUAUAUAUAUGUGCUCAAUUAUGAAUGAUGAUUCAACUUGUUCUAUAGAAAACAUGUACAGAAUGGUUGAAAAAUGGUAAGAAAUAUAACAUGAUUUUACUUUUUAAAUAGGAUUGACAUCUCUGUUAUAUUUAAUAAGAAAAAAGGAGGAUUCAUUUAAAAACAAAAAACAAAUUGUUUGUUUAUUAAUUAAAUCCGCAAUAUAAUAGGGAUGUACAGCCGCCCAAAAGAGCCAUCCAUUUUCCAAUUCUCUCAUUCUCUCCAAAAACAAAACACAACCACACAAACAACUUCUCUCAAAGAUUCCAACCUUCCCCCUCUCCAGAAAAAGAUAAAAAAGAAAAACCAGAUGAAAUUCAAAACCCUUUUUCUUCUUGAUCUUAACAAGAAGAGAAACUAACGAAUUUCCAGUAGCGCCCGCGCCACUGUCGCGAUGAGCCAUCUCGAAGACUCUCUAAGAUCCCUUUCUUUAGACUAUCUUAAUCUUCUAAUCAACGGUCAAGCCUUUAGCGACGUGACGUUCAGCGUCGAGGGGCGUCUUGUCCACGCGCACCGAUGCAUCUUGGCGGCUAGGAGUUUGUUUUUCAGAAAAUUCUUUUGUGGGACGACGACGGAGGCGGGUGCGUCAUCCGGGUUGAGCCCGGUUGGAUCGCCGUCUCCGUCGACAGGGAGUAGUAGUACACAAGUGAUUCCAGUAAAUUCGGUGGGGUAUGAAGUGUUUUUGUUGUUGUUGCAAUUUUUGUAUAGUGGACAAGUUUCUAUUGUGCCACAGAAACAAGAACCAAGGCCUAAUUGUGGUGAUAGAGCUUGUUGGCAUACACAUUGUACCUCCGCCGUUGAUCUUGCCCUUCAUACUCUCUCCGCCGCUAGAUCCUUUGGCGUUGAACAGCUCGCAUUACUUACUCAGGUCAGCUCUCUCUCUCUCUCUCUCUCUUUUGGGUUUUUGAUUUCUUAUUAUCCCAUGUGGGUAUUUGAAUUUUUUUUAUGUUGAUGAACUUGUGGAAUUUUUUGAAACUUUUUACCUGAAAAACUAUGUUGAUGAAUUUGUGGAGUUUUUUCUAGGUCUCUUUUAAGUAAUAUGUAUAAUUUCUUUGUUUAAGAAAACACUUUCUAAAUUGAGUUUUUUUUUAAGAGGGUCUAUAUAUUAUGGAUUCAUUUAUACUCAUAUUUUUUGAAAAUUCACUUUCCUCAUUUGGGUUUUUGUUGGAAAUGAAAAUUUUUGAUUAGAAGCUACUCAAUCUAAUUUUUUUAAUGAAUUAAGAUUUUUUUUAUAAUAGGAAAGGGGAAAUAUUAUUCUUUUUAUUAUAGCAUUAUGUGUUUUUAUUUUGGUGUUUGGAUUUUUUUCUCUAUUAUUUGAUUUACUUUUUUGUUUAUUUAUGCAGAAGCAAUUGGCAAGUAUGGUGGAGAAAGCUUCCAUUGAAGAUGUAAUGAAGGUUUUAUUAGCUUCAAGAAAACAAGACAUGCAUCAACUUUGGUCCACUUGUUCUCAUCUUGUAGCUAAAUCCGGUCUCCCACCCGAGGUACUUGCCAAACACCUUCCGAUCGAUAUCGUAGCGAAGAUAGAAGAACUUCGCAUAAAGUCUUCUUUAGCGCGUCGUUCUCUAAUGCCUCAUCACCACCACCACCACCAUCACGAUCUUUCGGUUGCUGCCGACCUCGAAGACCAAAAGAUUCGUCGUAUGAGGAGGGCUUUAGACUCCUCCGACGUUGAGCUUGUUAAACUGAUGGUGAUGGGUGAAGGUUUGAAUCUUGAUGAAGCUUUAGCCUUACAUUAUGCUGUUGAGAAUUGUAGCCGUGAAGUUGUUAAGGCUUUGCUUGAGCUCGGUGCCGCUGAUGUUAACUACCCUGCUGGCCCGGCGGGGAAAACCCCACUUCACAUGGCGGCGGAAAUGGUUUCGCCCGACAUGGUUGCUGUGCUACUUGACCACCAUGCUGACCCAAAUGUCCGAACCGUCGAUGGUGUCACACCAUUGGAUAUCUUAAGAACCCUAACUUCAGAUUUUCUCUUCAAAGGUGCGGUCCCGGGAUUAACCCACAUCGAACCAAACAAGCUCAGGCUCUGCCUCGAGCUUGUCCAAUCCGCUGCAUUGGUUCUCUCUCGCGAAGAAGAAAAUGCCAACGCCAACGCCAACGUCAACGUUUCAUCAUCUCCAAUUUACCCACCGAUGAGUGAGGAUCAUAGCAGUAGUAGCAGCAACAACAACAAUAUUGGUAAUCUCAAUCUCGAUUCGAGAUUGGUUUACCUAAAUCUCGGGGCAUCGGGACGAAUGGGAGGUUCUAGAGUGGACGGAGAAGAUGACAACAGACAUGGAUCACAAGGAGGAGGAGGAUGUAUCCCAACAAUGUACCACCAUUCCCAUGACUUUCGAUGAAAAUUAAGCAUAACAUCAAAAUCUCUUAUUAUAUAAAAAUUUCACAAAACAUCAUCAUCUAAAUUAGAAUUCAAAAGGGGGUUAAAAAUGUUGAUUGAAAAAGGUAACCAAGAUCAUCAGCUAGGCUUUCUUGGGAAUCAAAUUAUCAUUGGAUCAAUUAUAUGUUUACAAUAUGUCAGCUUUGUUUAUUUUUUUAAAAUUUAUCUUCAAUUAAUUCAGUUUUUUUACCUCUCUUUUUCUCUAUAUGCCUUGUAUGUUUUUUUCUUUUUUUCUUUUGUAGGGAUCUUGAGUUGAAGUGAUGAAGGUAUGAAGUAAGAGAAGUACUCAAAAAUUGUGAGAAAUCAAAUGAGAUGAGACAAGAGAAAGAAUCUGACAUUAAAUUUCCCUUUAAAAAAUUUCUUUCUGCUUCUUCUGAUUGGAACACAGUCUCUCAGGUCAAUCUUUUCAAACCCUUUUGGUCUUUUUUUUCAUAUACUUCUAAUUCCUAUUAAUUAAUAUAUCUUUUCUACCCUAAAUUCUAUAUAUAUAUACACAAUAAUACGAUAAUAUAAUAUUCAUUUCAAACUUAUCAUAAUGAAAAACUUUUGUGGGUUCUAAUAAUAAUAACAAUAAAUUAAAACUAUAGUCUAAUUAGUUUAUAUCAUUUUGGGCCCUUUGUUAUUUCAUUUUCCCACUUCUUAAUAUUAUUGUGUCCCCCACCUGCCCUCCAUAAUGCAAAUUAGUGAAUGCAAUAACUUUUGGUUUUAUAUGCAAUGGGAUCUCUCUAUUAUAUCCUAACUUCUUCUUCUCAUGUAUCUCAUUAAUAUUUCUAGAAAGAAAUGUAUUUAAUCGUACUUAUUUUUGUACAUAUCAUUUAGACUAUUUGUCACGUAACAAAUUUUUUUUAUAUUUAUAAUUAAAGUAGGAAGAUGUUCCUCUUAUAACUUUUUUUUUAAUCUUAGAUUCAUGAACUGAGAUUAGGAAAGGAAGCUUAGAAGAAGAGAAGAGAAAUGGGAAUGGGGAAAGAAUAAUAUUUCUCCCAAUAUAAACUUUUUACUACUGCCCAUUCCAAGCUAUAUAUUGGUUGAUAUAUCAAAUUUAUCAUGGGUAGCUUUAUUUUUUUCAAUUGAAGGAUUAUUAUAUUUUAAUUUACUUUGGUGUAUAGUUUGAUUUUAGUUUAUUUAGAUUAUUGAUAGACAAGUAUAUCUAAUAUCAAUUAAUUAUUGAUUGAUUAGUAUAUAAUUGAUUCCAACUAGACAUACAAAAAAAUUAGGAAGUUCAUAUUUCAAUUCAAUUAGGUUUAGUUUUACAUUAUUUGAUCAAAUAUUUUCUUUCUAGAAAAACAUUACAUUAUAAAAUUAAAAAUGUCACUUCUUGUCAAAAUUUUGGCACAUAUGUCUAGAUAAGAUAGGGGAUAUUGACUAAAAGGUUUUUGCUUUUCAAACUUUUUGAGAGAUGGAUUUAUUUGAUUUUUGGUUAGUUGAUCAUAUUGAUUAAUUAAACAUCAUCUAUAUAUUGGGUUAUGGAAAAACUCAAUUUGGGUAUGACCUUGACUAAUAAAAAAAUUAAUUUUGUGGUGAAAAGAGAAGAGAAGUUGUGGCUGUCAUGCAUGAGUGCAACAUUGAAUGUGGCCCAAAACAUUGAUUGAAGUUAUUAAAUAUAUCUAAAGAUGGAUUCUCUUCUUCCUCUAAAUACUCUAUUCUGUCCCCUUUUCUUUUCUUUUUUUUUUCUCUUUCCUUAUUUGGGAUUGGUUUGAAUUUCAAAACCCUAACCUACCUCUUUGUUUCUCUUUUUAUUAUUACAUGUUAUGUUAAGGUUUUGUUUGGUUGUUGUUUUAAUUAAUGUAUUGUGUGUGUUCUUUAAGAAUUUAUUGACCCCAAAAAUUACACCAUAUAAUUUGCUGCCAACCCAUGUAAGUUUUUCUACCCUCUUUAGUCCUUUGUAAAUACCAAAAGUACUUUUGGGAGAUUUAAUUGCUUUGGUGAGAGCAUUUAACUAGGGAGGAAAUUAAAAUGAAGAUAGUUUUAAUUUGGUUAUUUAAUGUUUUAGGAUUAUUGUAAUUCAAUCAUGUGGAGUGAGGAUUUGAUAGUUCCUCUAUUCAGUUAUAUAGUCAACUUUGAUUUGCAUGUUUGGUUGUCGAUAAAGUGUUUUGGUUAUUGUAUUUUUCGAAAUGGCUCGAGUGAAAUUAAUGAUUUCAAGAUGUCUCGAUACUUGGAGGAGUUACUUAUGUGUUACUCAAGUUAUGUUUAGGUCAAUUUUGUUUUAUGUUUUUGUUAUAAUAGAUAUGUAAAAUAGACGUUCGUAAGGACCAUUCUAGUCAAUUAUGCAUGUUCAUUGUUACUACUUUGAGUUAUUUGGUAAUUAUACUACUUUUACUAUUUAUCAAAAGCUCGUACGUAUAUCGCUCAAAAGCUUAUGCGCUACCUAUUAGACACUUUUAAAAUGACUAACUAAUGUUGGAUUGCAGGGUUUGUAUACCUUCUGGGUUGUUUGAGAGAAGGAUCAAAAUUGGGUGUUUCUCUCAUCCCUUUAUAAGUUAGUGUUAAAUAAUUUUCACUUUCAAUUCGUACAUUUAUCCAUUAACAUCGUCUUUCCUACCUUCUUUCUUCCUAUUUUCCUAACUUUAAGACUAUGUAAUAACUCUCCACGCACCAUUAAAAUUCACUUGAUCAAUGUAUUCUAACAGCCCCAAAAGACAUUAACUCAUUUCCACUAUGAUUAGUUAGAUAAGUCAUAAGUGGUAAAAUUUCGAAAGACGUGCUUAAAACAAAUGGGCAAGGCAAAAAGAAAAUGGUACACUAAUUGUAUAGUCUUGGAAUGUAAAUAAAAGAGGGAAAAUAUUCUUUUUUUUCUUGUGUUUUAAUUCCAGUUACUAUUUGAUUCUUAGGUUUGUAAUGUAUUUUUGGUAUUACGUUUUAAGUUUUGAGUUGUAUUUCAAAUUAAUUCUUAAAUUUUAACAUGGUUACAAUUUUAUAUUUGGGAGGUUUGAGUUUUAUUUUUUUUAAUUUGAUACGAAAGUUUCAGCUUCUUUUACUUUCAAAGUCAUAUUUAUCCAACUUCAACAAUAUUUGAUAUACAUAUACACUUUUCUUCGAAGUAAGCUCAUAUUAGUUGUACUUUAAGAACAAAAUUAGUCACUCUAAGUAUAACUUAGUGGAAAAAAAAUACUAAUAUCAAUUUUUACAAACCUCAACGGUUUGAUUGUACACACUACAAUUAUUGAAUCGAGACAUCGACAUUUUAAAUUAAGGUCAUUUACGUUGUAUUGUAUGUAUACAAUACAUAAGAAUGGACUAGGAGUUUAGAGACUCGAUCACAUAUAUACAUAUAUUAUAGCUUUAGUGUAUAUUUGUGGUGGAGGAUUAUUAAAUACAAGCAUCCCAUUAUCUCUAUUUGGGCGUGUUGUUGUUGAUUAUUUAUUUAUUUACUUUUUAAAAGGGUGUUGCUGAAGUUAUGAUGCCUCAUUAUUCAUUUAAUUAAACUUAUACAUAGUUGAUUAUUAGAGGGAUUGAAACCUUAUUGAAAACUAACACAUCUACGUACGUCUAAGUUGGGUUUGCUCAUUAUUUUGUGUUUGAUUAGUUUAUAAAAUAUUUGACUAAUAGGAUUCACUGGAUAUAUAAUGCUCGAAAUCUAAUCAAAUAAUGGUUAGUUUUUUUUUUUUUUUUUUCCUUUUUUGUGUUUUAAAGAAAGAGCAGAAUAAAAAGCUUUAACUUCCUUUUGCAUAAUUUUAGCUUUUGUUAGGUGUAUGAAUUUGGGAGAUUAAUUAUUCUUUGUCAUUGCUUUCACAAAGCACUAAAACUUUGGUCUAAAACGGAAGUUGGGACACUGACUUUUUAGAGUGUUAUGGAAUAUAUAAAGAUUUUGAACCAACACAAAUUAGCCAAGUUGAUAGACAACCAUAUGCUAAUGUUGGCAAUGACACUUUUUAAUCAAUUUGGCGGGGCACCAAACUCAAUUCAAAUCAAAUUAUAGCUAAACCACAACAUUAAUCAAUAUAAUUAUAAAAAAAAAUACCACUAUCUUCUUAUCAUAGAUACACAUUGUAGUCCCUUUCGAUGAACUUAUAUUGUGGGUGAUAAAUUGACACUAUCUAGAGGUUUUGAUAUAAUCACUAGUCUUUACCUUCUCUAACUAACUUACUUGUCCAUCAAUAAAUGAGAAUAAAAGGUAAAAUAAGAAACUGAGAUGAAUUUAUACAUUCUUAAAAGUGAUUAACUGAUAGAAUUUAGGACGUUUGGAAUAAUUGAAUUCUAGUCAAGAUGAGCACUAAACAAAUGUAUGCCCUAUCACUCCCACUUGUAUUGGUUUUUCCAUUGAGUCCUUCAAUAGGGUAUGUGGAAGUGGAACCCAUCCAUCCUCGAGUACAAUAAAAAGAUGAUAAAUUCAAACUAUAGACCUUUUGUUUUGCUAAUACGUCAGGUAUGUAUAUGAUACAAAUCUCUCAAGUAACAAAUUAAAUACAUAUAUAUUCUCAAGAAUAAAUAAAUAAAUAAGUAAAAAUAAAGUGGUUCUUAAAAAUGGGUUUAUUAAUCUCUACUUUUCUCAACUACACAUUAGACACUUGAGUAAAUAUUCUAAUUUUUUGACAUAAUUCUAAAUAUAGUAACAAGAAAAGGGCAGUUAUGUCACUAAAACUUUCUUUGGACGAUUCAGGUGUAGCCUUGUUUACUUGGAGGAAGCUCAAAAAUUAGCCAAAACUCCCGUUCAUUCAGCCUUCUCUCGGACACAGUCUUCUUUAUGAAACAUAGCAUAUUGAUCCUCAAGUCCUACAUUCAAAGACCAAUCAUGUUGGUAAUAAUAGGGAUAUCAAAAUGCAAAACUAAACACUACAAUGCAAGUAGAGGGAAUCUCUAUAUUAUUUUCUGGUUCUUUAAAAUAUUAGUUCACGGUUGUUUUAUUUUCAUUAUCGAACAUUGGGUAUUUACAUUGACAAGUAUUUGAACACAUGUUGUGAGUCAAACAUAAAGUUUUCAAAUUUUUGUUUAAUGGUGACACUAUGAUAGAACCUAAAUAUACCAAUAUAAAUGGUAACCAAACUAUAAAAUAAACUAAAGUUUUUUCCAAUCUUGAGAUUAAUCUAAAGCCCUAGUUUACUCACCAAAAUAUUGCCUACCCUCCUCAUUCCCCUACCAUAUUUAUAACCAAGAAUAACAAACUCUCUAGCUAAUUACUAAUUACCUUCAAUACUCGGUCCCUGAUGCCAUCUCUAUCACACUAAUCACAAUGAAAAGAGACCUUGUAUUUCUUAUCAGGAAAGAAACAUAAGUUGAGUUGGCUGGGGAAGAAACAUUUAUACUUUGGGCAAAUUGAAAAAAUGGGAGGGGAAGUUGUUGGGAUUUUCUUCAAGUGUUUCUAUGCGUUUAAGUUAUAAAUGGUGAGAUUUUUUAAAUCCUAUGGUUUCAUCUGAACAGAAGUUUGAGGGAUAACCUGUUGAAGAGAACAUCUGUACAACAACCAAGAACUUAGGUAAUUGCCCAAAACUUCUUUCUACAGAUCAGCACAGAUUCUGGGUUAUUAUCUUUCGUUUGCAGUGUCUGCAUUUCAACAUCCCAUAGAUAUUUGGAAGCAAUUUCUUGUAUUCUUGAUGUUAUUGAAGGUUCGUCUCUGAUGAUUAUGUAUCCCUGUACAUGAAAAUGAUUCAAAGACAAUUUGAAGCAUAAAUUAGAAACAGUAGAAGAUAUGCCAAUAGGCAGAUUACGCUUGCUUCUCCCUUCCUAAAUUUUAGCAUUAUGGGAGGAGAUCUCCGUUACAAAGAACUUUGAUAACAGAAAUGUCAUGCCCAUGAAAUCUUACAAGAACAGAGAAAUGGAUACAUCAUACAGCAUUACGGUGACAUGCUAUUUUCUAAAAAUCUAGACAUACUAAGCAUUGUUCAGGACAUGUUUAUUAGAAUGUGCAUUUCUUAGAUAUACAUUCUUUAGAUAUUCGUUAAAAAUUCCUGUGCUAACCCUUUUAACUUAAGAUAUUUUCAUGCCAGAGAUAAUGUAAAAGAAGUAAAGAUAGCAAUACUUGAAGAGUUUGGAGAAACUAAUGAACUAUUUCUCAUGGUACAAUGACUAAUAUCAAACUUUUCAAAUGCAUAGAACAAACUAACAUUUUUGUUGAAAUUUAAAGCGACAACAUGGAUUAUAUGUGCUAGUAAAAAAUUAUAUAGUUAGACAAAAAGUUUAGUCCAUGAACUUGGAUGUAUUUAAAAGAUCUUUAAAUGUUAAGAAGCUCCAACGAAGGGCAUUUUUGGCCCAAAGAGUAGGAGAUUAGGGGAAGUGGAGUGGACUUCCCUCCUUGUUUGGUCAAAGAAGCUUGUGGACCCCACACACUUAAACAACUCUCCAAUUUUAACAACUACCCAAACUAAACAACUUCACUCCUUACCCAAAUGCCCCCCCCAUAAAUCUCAAAACUUUUAGUUUUAUGUUCCAUAUGUUCCUUAACUUUAUAAAUGUUUAAAUCCUUCAUCUUUCAUUUUUUUAUCUAUUAAGUCAUUGUCAUUGAUUUAUUAAUCAAACAUUUUGUAAACUAUUAAACAAAAUAGAAAAUUGAGGGCCUAUAAAAUGAUUUUAAAGUUCAAAAACUUGUCGACACAAAAUUAAAAGUGUAUAAACCUAUUAAGCUAUUACAUACUCUUUUAAGUUGAGAGAUUUAUAAAACACAACUAAAGGACUAGACUUAAAUUUUUAAUUAGACCUUAGGGGGCGUUAAAGACAAGGACUAUCCUAAGACUAUAAUAACUACCUCUUGCUACAGCUACAGUGAAUACUCUUUUAUACUCCCAAUUUAGCUGAAGUCAACACUAUUUCAAAGGCCCUCAUUUCCUACAAUAUUUACUAUUUGCUAAAGUUUUUACUAUUUUACAUUUUCAUUAAUUUUUAUUAUUUACUAGUCUCCUAUUUCCUUCUCAAACUAAAGUAGUUUACACCUCACACGCAUACUUUUAUAACCCAAACUAAAAUAAUCUACGUACCAAACACAAACUAUUAUAACUAAUCUAUAAUAACCAACUCCUUGUCCCAAACAACCCCCUGCUAAUUUUAUCCUAAUAUUUGUCCAUGUUUGUACUUUCUAUAUUAUGUGUGUAUAAAUAAAUAAAAUAGAUACUUUAGGUCCUUCAUUUGUUUAGUAGGGUCGUAAUUUCUAUAAUUUGACAUGUAUUUAUUAUACUUAAGCGUUCAAUUCGAGUCCAAUCAUUUUUAGACUCCUUUAAUUCAUUCAAUUUUUGUUAAUGAGUGUCAAACUUGUGUCUAUCAUACUUGAGAACUGUUGGACACAAGUACAAUAAGGAGUAGUGUGGAUCUGACGCAGACACAUGCGUAAGCUCAAAUGGAAGUGUCCAUGCUUCAAAGCAAAUCUUAUUUAGUUCACCAAAUGCACAAGGGUCGUGUUGUGAUGUCCUUUUUGUUUCCUGUUAUUGUUUCAGAUUGUUGAGAAAUGUGUGUUUGGUAGUUUUUGUAUUUUGUCAAGGUUGAUUGUUCCUUUUUAUUUCAUAAGAAAUAUCAAGAGUAGAUUCCAAAAAAAGGAACAAGAACAGCCUAUAGGCCGACCACAGGGUCAAUUAUUACAUGACUCUGGUUUCUUGUUUUUAAGAAAUAAUUUUAAAAUAAAAGACACGGCUAGAGAUUUGAUUUCUUCUCUAAUUUUCAUGGUAUAAAAAUUGAAGUUAGAAUUAUUGUCUUAUCAAGUUCAGUCACAUAAUUCAUAAUAAAUCCAAAUUAUUUUGACUAUUUGAAUAUUUAAAAAAAACAAAUAAAGUUUUCUAUUAAUUUAAAGUUCUAAAAAAAAGGAAUUUCCAAACAUAUUUCUAUUUCUAUAAGACCAAAAUGCAUUUUUGUCUUACUUUUAAAAUUUUGGAAAACAAAAACCAAAUAUUGAGAAACAACAAACAAGAGAGGUAAACAGAUUAAUCAAAACUUUUACGAUGCUAAACACAUAGGCAAAAGAAAAUGCAUUAUGCAAGCAAUGGUAGCAACGGUUAUACCAGAAAAACGGAGGUCUCAAGCAUAGCAUCAAUAUCUGCCAAAAGUAAUUUCCCUAGUUUUGUCUCUUCUUGUGGCUAUUACAAGCUUGAAAAUUGAAGGAAUCAAAUUAAUUACCUGAGGUCGUACAAUGCGGUCCAUUUCCAACAUUAUAUCCUCCAGCAAGCAACCCUCUCCACCACUUUUAUACUGAGAAAAUAGACGGUAUGCAUGCAACAAAUCGUAUGUGCGCGGAUAAGUUGAAAAUGGUUCACACCUACAUUAUAAGAGAUAUUAGAAAACCAAACAUUCAUUAAGAAAAACGAAAGAAACCAAACGGGCAGUAAUAAAAACAAAAACAAAUAAACAAACGAACAAAUCUAUGCAUAAGAGACCUAAGACGCUAACCAAAAAAAGCAAGAAAGCUGACCAUGGCUCAUACCUUUCCCGAGACAGCCCCCAAAAGAGUUCUAUUUUUUUUCCCAAAGCAAUAGAAGUGUUUGCAUGCCAAACAGUAUAAUACUUCUAAUAUUUGGAAGAUGUUGGAGAACAAAUAACUUACCAAUCAUGAAAGACACCAACCAGGCCCCGGUCAUAUAUAGCAGAGAGCGUGUUUUUCAUCUUUAUAGGAACUACAUUCAUAACCCAGACUGGAAAAUUGUUCAAUGCCACUGCAAAUCCACCAUAGAGAGCAUUCAUGUCCAUGACAUUUCGAAUAUCAGUUUCACUGACAUUCAUCAGUUUCCAGUACUGGUUAACUUGAUCUUUCCAAUAUAAGGUAUCCAAAUCAAAUUCCUCUUGACUAACACCUGUGAUUGAAGACAACAAUAUCAUCAUAAAACACAGCAAUCAGAUUUUCUAGGUAAGAGAAAAUAGAAACUAAGAAUAAUCGAGGCACUUCUUAGGAAGGAAAACUAACAAAGGUUCACCUCGUACAAUUUGCUAGCUCAAUGGUUUUAACCAAUACCAUUAAUAAAAAAGAUUGAUUUACUCAAGACUGAGAAUAAGAAAUAAUUGGAAGGAAAUCAAUGGGAAUAGAAGCGGUAAUCCUAUGUUUACUUGGAAGUAACUAUAAAUAGACUUAGCAGCCUAUGCGUGCCACUUAUUACAUUAGAAAUAAGAACAAGACAUUACAAUUACCGAAACGUUCCUUCAACACACCAACGAACUAAGAAUAUAUUAAUCAUAAAAAAUACCAAUAGAAUUUUGGGUCGUUUUCAAAUAUAGUAAAAUUAACCAAAAUAUUUACAAAUAUAGUAAAUAUCACAGUCUUUGUCUACAUAUGUCAUGAUAGACACACGCACAAUCUAUUGCAAAUAGUCCUAUCUUGUUAUGUUUGUAAAUAUUUUCAGGAGUGGUAUCAUUUAAAAUUAUUUUCCUAAAAGUUUUAUAUUAGAAGAAUACUUAUUAGUAAUAAAUUUUAAUUUAUUUUAUUGUCCAUAAAUAGUAAUAAAAUAUAUCUCAACACUUAUUUGAUUCAACAAAUAAUAACAAACUAAAAAUAAAUAAUUAACAAAUUAGGUAAAAGUCUGAAAUCAUGGAUAGUAAAGGCUCAAUUGGAGAGAAAAAAAAGGAAAGGAGUGUUGUUAAAUAUUCGUCAUUUUCUGGACAUUCUUUUCAGUCUAAUUUUGAAUUAACAGUUGAGGUUCAAUGAUAAAUAGUCUUGAAAUCCCUUAGAACUUUAAAUAGUGAUAGAUUAAAUAAAUAAAUAAGCUACCAUUCCAAACAGUUUUUUAAAGUGAAGACAACUACAUCAAGUUAUCAAAGUUAUUAUUCAAAAGAAAAACACUCAGGAAAUCCACAAAUAGGCCACCGAGAUAUAAUUUCUGCUUUUGAAUGAGAGCUUGGUGAAUUGAAGAACCAAAAACAACUAGGAGGAUUCCUUUAGAAAGAAAAGGUAUACCUAUUUUCCGUAGAUUCCUUGAAUAUACUGAAAGGCGCUCUGGUCUUGGAGGUAACUUCUGAGCAUAUGACUGAUCAGUUACGUGAAUACAGUUUCUUAAAGGUAUUUUCCAUGAUGGUUGAAAAUCAUCCACAGCAUCACAUAUUUCCACAGCCUUAUUCUCUGCAUUGAUGAUGAGGCAUGCCGGAUUUUCCUGUUUGAUCCAGAUUGCAGUCUGAACCUUUCUGGCAAUGAGCUUCCAGCACAUUGCUGUAGUCAGAUUCACCAGUUUCUCCCAUAUCAUUGGGUAUUCUUUAUCUUUUCUAUAGGCAGGGGGUGCUGAAUAGACAAAAUAUCCAUUUGGUCGCAGAAGCCGAUCAACUUCUUUGAGUAAAAUACCAUCUGCAAGAAUAAAGACAGUGAAAGUUUAAUGACUUUCAAGUAUAAAUCAAAACGGUAAAAUUGACAAGAUUCAGGGUGAAGGCAUAUGAGAGCCUUCAUAAAAAAUUCAGUGUAUCAUGUCACAUUAUCACCCAAAAAGGAAUCUGAACUUAUUCAGCACUGACAAAGUAAACAAGUAGCAACUUUCUUACAGUUGGUAACUAUAAACGUGGACAUGGAUAAUGGCAUUGUGGUCUUCAUUUAUCUUAAUGCUGCUCUAGAGGUUUCAUAAGAUCAUUAGUCCUUUUUCCGUUAUUUAGAAGAUAAACAUAAAUAUUUUCUCUUCUUUUCUUUUUUCCAUCAAGUGACAAAAUUUCUCGUGGAAGAGAUGAAUAAAGAUCAAUGCUCAAAAAUGGCAUACAAACUCUCUAUAGCGCAUAAAGAAAAGUAGCAAGUGAGAAUAACAAAUAAUAAGUAAUGGCUGUUCAUAAAGAGUACUGGAAUACCAUUUUCAUGCCAAUCAACACGACACCUAGAGCAGUGGACCAUCUCAAAGGAACUUGUGGGAUACGGCAGUUGAUUUGUUGCCAAGGCAGAAAUCAUUGCACCAAUACCUCUCUCUAGCGCAAAUUGAAUCUGAUUCUCAUGCCCGUCCUUGGGAGCAAAGGACAUCGUUUGGAUGCCCAAUGAAAGAAGAUAAGCUGAGAAACUAGCAACGCCACAACCAACAUCUAAAACCUGAUAUACUCCAGCAGAGCUCAGAGUGCCUGUAUCAUUUGUAGUCAUGUUUCCUAAUCUGCGUUAGAAUAAAAUUUGAUCAAUAGAACAGUCUGAGAAGAAAAUCUAAUCAGUAAUUCAGAUUGAUCAUAAAUACAAGGAAUCCAUUUUAAUAUUACUUCCCAAAUUGAAAAUCAAAUUAGAACAGCGGAAGGAUGAAUAUGAACCGACUGAUUAAAGGGUAUGAGUAUAUUCACAUCCCAAUAAGGAAACAAAAUAAAGAGGAAAAGGGAAGAUUCAAUAAGAGGCAACAACGCUACCUUUGGAUGUACUCAGGCGCCCCAUGUUUGAAGUGAGUACCACCUCCAGGAAACCACCAUAGUUGGUCCUUCUCAUGGACCCAAUUUUGUCCUCCUUUAACUUCAGCAAGGCGUGUGUGAUUCACAUUACUUCGCCACACAUAAUCCCGACUGGUUGGCCACUUUACUGGGAUCUUGUAGUCUUCUGGUGGAGGUACCAAACAAAACAAGCGGUUAUCAAGUGGAGGGCAGUGCCUCUCGAGCUCUUCUUUUCUUGAAAGAUCCAAUGUAGGAAUCAAUUCUUUUAUGUAAGAAAUGUCGUGGCAAGGAAUAUACUCGGUGUAGUUUAAAGGACAUACAUCCACACCAUUCUCUGGAAUCGAAAGUGGUACCUUCCUGUAAGUGAUUGAAACUUGGUUUGGAAUUGUGGAAUUUCCUGCAGUAUAAGAGAUAAACUUUGAGACAAGGAAUUGAUUGCAACGAUAACUUAAAACCUUUAAAGUUCCUAGAAACACGGAACAAUUUCACAAACCCAGAAGGAACACACAUCAUCUGAAAAAGGGAGUGUGUUAAAGAUGAAGGAUAUACAAAGAACAAGUCAGAUAUUGCUUUGUUAGUUUGACAUUUCUUAGGCCACAUCUUUGACUUGAAAUAAAAUCAACUAAAUUCUAUCAGAGGAAAAAAUCGUCAGAAGACGAAUUUUAAUGUGAAGCUGUAACGUUUCAGAGAGAAGUCAAAUAGUAUAUUUAAGAAAAAAAUAUGUAUUUAUCAUUAAAAUUAAGGAAGACCCAUUUCAUUUACCCACUAGACUAAUUCAAAAUGUUGAAGUGGAUGAAGUUUGAGUUUGAUUCCCCUUCCUCUAAGCAGGAAAAAGUUAGUGGUAACACUAGUCUUAAUCACCGUGUAGAUAAUUAGUUCACUAAGCAUCUCCCUUCCAAGUUACACUUUCCUUUCCCAACUGAUAACGGGUCUUCCUUAAGAAAGUAAAGCAUCACUGCCAGAAACAAAGCAACCACCAGAUAUGCUUAAUUCUCUUAGUCUCUACACUAGUCAAACAAUCAAGGAAAUAAAACAAGCCAUCAACAAACCCAAUCCAGAACGCAGAUAUCCAGCAGAGCACAAGGAAGAAUACAAGAUCCGAAGCAUAAACUCGAGCAUUAAUUGAAUAGAGAUAAAACUUAAAAGCAAAAAAGUUAAUGAAUUUGGAUUCAGUUUUCGAAGAAACAACAUAGAGAGAGGACAGUACCGAGUGAUGAUGAAGAAGUGGAAUUGGAAGGAAGGUGAGAAACGUAAAUAGGAACAUUGUCGCCAAAAAGAGUACCAAAAUAAAAAGAUCCAACCAUAAGUAAGAGAGCGAGCAUUAUCAUCUGCCCUGACUGCAAAGCAAAAAAAUAACCCAAGCCAUAGGAACUGGCCAUUGUCUUCUUUCUUCCCUCCACAGAGCUUGGAUCUCGGAAACGAGCUGGAAAAUUGAAGAAUUCGUCAAGACCCAAAUGACAUUGCCAUUUGAGAGAGAGAUCGGAGUAGGAAUAGCUAUGAAUGUGGAAGUAAUUUGAAGCCUAAAGCUGAGAUUUCAGGAAGAGAAUAUUUUCAGUUUCGAUUCGAAGAUUUCACCGUUCGCUUUCACAAAUCUUCACUUCUUUAAUUUGUAGAGACGACAUACGUAUUCUCCUAAAAUAUUUAUAGUAAAUACUAAAUAAUUUGUUGAGAUACGUUUUUAAUUCUUUUUUUAAUUGUUCUUUUUUACUGUUGUAAAUAUUUUACCAAAUUCAAUAUUUUCUUAAUGAUAUACAAAUAAGGUUUAAAAUAUCAUAUUAUAACCCUCAAAUUUAUACAAAUUUGAUUAAACAUUAAUAAAACAUAUCUUUCAAUAUAUUAUAAAAACAAUUUUACCAUAUUUGAAAAAAAUUAGUCCAUGAUCCAUAAUUUGGAUUCCGACGUUUUUCUAUAACUUGACUUAUUAAAGUAAAAGUGUCUCUACAAACCAACACGAAUCUUUUUAUCAUACUUUGUCAUAACUCACAUAGAAUUAGUCAGAGUUCCUAUAAUCGAACUAUCGUACACCGAUUCAUUAAAAUCUCCCUCUUAAGCUUAGAACAUUAUAUACAUAUAAUAAGAUUCACGAUGUUUAGCAUUUAGAAAUUCAUCAUGAAGUAACAACUAUUUAUCAAAUAUAUUGAUAAGACAAACAACAAUAUCGUUUUAGUAUUAUCAAUAAACAAAAUCAUGAUAUUUUCGAUACCUUAGUAGUGUUUUAAAUACUAGCUUUGACAAUCUUAUCAAUUAAUUUUUUUUUGUGUAAUUUCUAACAAGAACCAACUAAAUAAGUUGCCAAUAUCAUAUCACACAAGUCCCAAUAAGAGAUAAACUUCAUUUUUAUCAUUAUAUUCACAAACAUGUCUUUCAAGAAUAAACAACAAAUUUAAACUCAGACAAAUGUAAUAAUUUAUUUACAAAUCUCCUAAAACAUUCACUUCAAUUUCUAUAAAAUAUAAAAAACAUUCCACAUAAAUUACCAUUUGCACACAACCCUUUGGGCAACUUUCCAAAUCAAAUGAUCCAUGUACAAGUUUUAGAAUGAAUUAUCCAUUAGCUUUUUAUGUUUCAACCUCAUGAAUGUUUAAUUCAUUUAUGUACGGUAUUCAUUCAAUAACUCAACAAUACCACUUUUCAAUCCCUAAACAUAAUUCCAAACAAUGGAUGGUUAAACAUAUAUGCUUUUUAAUUUGAUUUAAAGAGUAUUACUUUUUGUAUUAUGAUCAAUGAUAACUUUAUCUUUUUUUCUCUCUCUUUCGUUCGUAGAUAACAACCUAACAAGCAACGUACACAAACUAGCCAAAAGGAGGGUAAAACUAUUAAGGAUAAAGACAGCCUAAAUGAUUAUAGACUUUCGAACUUCUAGUAUUUAAUGUGCUAUACAGUGGCCCAAUUAAUUCUAAUUAUGAUGACAAUGAAAAAAAACCAAUAAUUCUCACUUUGUUCCUUGACUAAUCUCAUGAGACAACCCGUUUAACCCUACAACAUUUGAGUAUAUAUUAAGAAAAGUUGUAGAAAAUUAAUUAUUUGGUAGGUGGCCUCCAUGAAUUGAACACAUGACUCAAAACAAUCAAAUUCAACCAAAAUAUUUGAGAUUGAUAGGAAAAAACAAACCGAACUCUGAUAGAGCAUAUCAUCAUUCAUUUAAGAACCUUCACGUCAUGAAUAAACUUGAAACAUGCAUUACAAACUUAUCCUAGAUGGGCUUGAAGCACUCAACCAAGACCUCCCGAGUCCGAAUCGAAAGAAGAAGAAGAAGAUGGCAAAGUAACAUAUGUGCUCAACUUUCAACAAGGAACCCGAAGAGAAUGCCAACCAAUCAUGGGAGUGUAUUGUUAAUUGGAAUCAUCUACUUAGCUUUGGCAUAUCGUGUCAAAACUCUACAAUACAUUUACCAAUCAAAACACUAAAUAGGGUUGGAAUUAAUCAAGUAGAUCUUUGAGAAAACAUCACUCACGUAAACACUCUACAAAAUCUAAAAGAGAAAAACAAAAAGAAGAGGAAAGAAGAUAAAAACGAAUGAAAUUGAAAUUAGGAGAGAUGGAUGAGCCAAAGAAAGACUAGUUACUACAUUAUGCUUCUAAACUUGUAAAGAUAAAUAAUACUCCAGCUUGUUUGGGCAGAAGGGACGGCGGUCGGUUUCUCGGGUCGUCUGGAACACCUUUCAGAAACAAAACCAGGUUUUCCCAAUUCGUAGCGUCGUUUCUCAUCGCCGGUUCCGCCAUAUUCAAAUUUCUCUCCAAUUCCGACAGGCAAUUGAUCAAUUACAGGAAAGCUUUCGAAAUUUGAAACUUCCGGCGAUGCCGACUUCUACUGCAGGAAUUGCAGGUUCAGGAGAUUCGUCCAAUACUAUAAUUGGUUCUAGUGCUGAAGAUAAAUCCCUCAAGGAAUCAGCUGCUGCUCAAUCUCAAUAUCGUGCUCAAAAUGAAGUGCAAGAACUUGAAAAGUCUAGCAAACAACUUUAUCCUUGCCAACCGGGAGAAGCUCAGGGUGCUGUGGCAAUACCUGCUGAUCAAGAGACAAACCGAAGUUCCGGGAACGAUCAGAACAUUGUUCCCCAUCAUGGUACGUUUAACAACAUUGCUGUCUCAUCUUCUAGCAACUUCAGGUCGAAUGUUGACGAUGCGAGAGACAUUGACAUUGCUGUUCAGGAUGCCGUGUUAAGGGAACAGGUAUGCACGAAUAUAUUUCAGUUUUUCAAAUUCCUUAAAAAAAAAUCAGCUUAGUUUUGAAUACUAUAAUGUGAUGACGCCUCCAUGUUCUGUUUCACAUUUAAUGGAAGUUUUGGUUAAUCGUCUUUUAAGUUUUUGUUUGCAUUGGUGCUCCCCUUUCAUCGUAUCCGUUCUGAUGGGGACUAAUUUUAUGGUUUUUUAGAGUUCAGAGACUAGAUUUCUAUAUUUUCAAGUUUCUCAAUCUAUACACCCCUAUUAUGAUGAUAAAUGAUAUGGACGGAAUGGUGAGAAAUUUCUUUUGGAAGGGGGAGUCUUUCAGACGGGUAGUCAAUUGACUAAAUAGAGCUGAACUUUUCUGCCUCUUCAAUAUGGGGGUCUUGGGCUGUCUGCAGCAAAGGAACAAGGCCAUGCUCCUUAAAUGGCUUUGGUGCUUCAUCUACGAAGAAACUGCCUCGCAGAGAGUUGUGAUUGCCUACGAAGAAACUCCCCUGUGCAGAGUUGCGAUUGCAAGCAUAUUGGUCUUUGGUGUGGGCUGUCUUGUCUCGAUGAGUGACAAUUAGAUUGAGGGUUGAGAUUGAUAGUGCUUAUUUGUCCGUAUGGAAUUGUAUUUUCAUUAUGAUUGAUACGCGGUAGUAGAGGCUUUAAAGGAAGUAACUGAAACUAUUUCAACGUGCAACCCAUUCCUUGUUGACUAAGAUGAUCUGUGUUGAGCUUGACUUGUAUGGUGAAACAAAGGCUGGGCGUGGUUGUUAAGAAUCUCUAUUGGCACUUGUAGAGGCAGAAUCCUUUUCUUUUGCAUGCAUGGCUAAAGGUUAGUUUAGGUAUGGAAUUCUUAUUAAUUUUUGCAGGAGUCCUUUGCAUGAUCAAAACAUUAGUGCUUUGGAACAGAUUGGGAGAGCUUGCAGGGAUAAUUGCUAUGAAAACAUUAAGGAAUUUAAACCGUAUUGGAACCUCCAUUGAGGUUGAGAACAAUUACUGUGGCUUUAUCCUCGCUGAAAAGUAGCAUAAUGACAUAAUUCGGAAGUUAUUCUAUGGUUAGCGUAGGGGAAUUGUGUGUGUGGUGGGGGAACCCUAAACACUCAUCUUAUAGAUUAAAAAUAUUACUUGCAACUUGUUUUUUUUUAUAGAAUUGACAUGUUGCUGUUUGUGUCCACUGUCCGGUGUCCACGUCUAUGCUUUCUAAUUGGUAGAUUUUGUUGGAGGGAAACAAUGUUUCCAAUACGAAGAGGAAGUUGCACCUAUCUGGGGAUUUUGGUUCUCUUUCAGCUUCCUGAUGGUGCCUCAAGUCUCCCAUACAUUGACAUUGGAGAGAAUUAUAUAUUUAUUUUAUUUCUUCUUGAAAUUUCUUUAGCUCUCCAUUUGUAAUUUUAUUCAUAAGCAAGACACUGUUUCUUAUCUAUGUAACUAAAUUAUUUUAGUUUUCAAACACUUUAAUUAGUUUUUUUUUCCCCUAACAGGAACUUGCUACCCAAAAUAUUAUUCGUAGCCAAAGGUGAUGGUUCUUCAUUUGUUUUUGAGUUAUUACAGUUCAGAUUGAUAAUGAAAACUAAAUAUGUUACCAUCCCCAGAGAUUCCGUGGGUGCAGAUGGACUUCCGGUUGAGCGAUCAGAUAUCUUUUCAGAACGUUAUGACCCGAGUUCUCUUAAAGUAUGUGACUUUCUACCUUUAUACAACUUUUGUUCAUAAAUUUUCUUUAGAAUGUAGAAUAGCCGCAUGCUUACACCCAUCAAUAGAUUUAGUUGUAUGUCAUCACUGCCUCCAUGGUCCCUAUUUAUCUACUUUCAUGAGAAAUAAAUGUCUUAUGUCAAGUUUAUGUAGAUACGAAAAGAGGAACUAGGUUUUGUAUUACAAUUUGAGAACAAUAUUGCACUUUGAUGUUUAUUUUAACAAGCCCAUUUAUAUGAGAACUUGAAGAAAAAAAUUCAUUAGUUAAGGCAGUUAGUUUAACAACUAAAAGGAAACCAAUCCUUAAGUAACUAACCUAACAAAAAGAAAGCGUAAUACACAUAGUAUGUGUAACGUCUGCGUUUAGGAUGGGUACACGUACAUGAAUGACAUGAUAUCGCAUUUGAAUGAGAGUAUGGUUAAAAGUUGUGAAAGUAUGGUUAAGAAUGACUUAAAAGAAUUUAAAGAUAUUAUCUAUACCAACAAGGUGCACCAUCCUUUUGGGUGACUCAAUUAUAGGAACUCAUCCUAGGAAUUUUUCUGGGAAGCAUGUGAGUGAGGACAAAACAUGUUAUAAAGACUCGUGUAAUUGUGUUGGUUUGAUGUAAUAGUCUUCACGCUUGAAAGGAGUUUAAGAUGAGCAAAGAUGAUGUUGCUAGGUCGUAGGGGAUGCAGAAGAAUGUUGGGGCCAUCAUGUGGCGAAUAUGGAUUUCAAAGCUUAGGUUUGCGGCGUUACAGAUGGUAUUAGAGUGGAACCUCUCUUAGUAAAAUGUGGUUUGAGGACGUUAUAGAAAAACUAUUCUAGUGUAGUAUCUAACUACUAGCCUUCUUUUCUGAAUUUAACUUGCCUUCAAGAUUCUUGUCUUCGAAUGAAGCUCAUCUUGGAUCAUGUGGGGAGUUAAAAAAAGAUCAUGUGGGCAUUGGAUACUCUGUCGUAAGAUUGGUUGUAUACUUCUUGAGCAUUUAUCUUAUUGAAAAACUUCUUAAGCAUUAACGCAUGUUAGAAAAUAUUCUUUGUUUUGAAGUGCAACAAACAUGCCUUAACAGAUUAAUAACCUAAAACAUGAGGACUAUUCCCUCCAGCCAAUGACUGUAAAAUUUAACCAGCUAUUAUUGGCUAGUUUACAAAGAAGUCCCACAUCAAUUUCAUGCAUGUUGUCAGUCCUGCCAUUAGAAAAAUUACCAUCAAGUACUGCAACCACUUUCCUAUUCCUAGACUAUCGGAUUUGUUAGAAUAACUAUUUGGAUCCACAAUCUUUUUAAUGAUAAAUCCUUUGCCUCAGCCUGCUAGAGGUGUGAUUUGUUCAACUUUUGGCUGGUCCCUUGCAUUAUCUGAAGAUCCUUUCGUUCUGAUUGCCCUGAUACUUGUCGCCAUUGUCGGUUACCCAUUCAAGGAGGGAGAACAAGAUCAUUUAUCUCAACUUUUCUAGAGCCUUUUAUGGUCUCUGUGGAGGAAUAAACAUAAUUCUUAAGUCUUUAAGGACAAUGACUGAUGGUUCAGCAACGCUUUUGAUUCUCCAUCCUUUUUCAGCUCCCACAUGGUGUAAAUUAGUACCCACCUUUUCUGAUACAAUCUCUUCUCUUGUAGCUCAAAAACUUUUUUUAACUUUUCUUUAGGGUAGGAUCCCUCCCCUUUUUUAUAAUCUCAUCUCAUAAAUACAAUGUUGCUUAUCCAAAGAUAAAAAGGGAGUUACUAUAAUUAUCAUUAUAAAAGAGGAGGUAACUCGGGGAAAGAUGAACCAAAAACGCACAGCCAAAAAUGUGAUGAGAAGGGAUUAUUUAAAUCCUCCCUAAUACCUUACAUCAGAAUCGUUCCUAAUUACCCAUUGUGAGACCAUGGACAUCUGCUUUGCUCUCUUGUUUUUGUUUAUAUUGCAUGACACUGUUAUACAGACAAAGGCUUAUUAUUUGUUAUCAUGUUUUGUAGCUUUAAUUUUUUUUUCUUUAUGCCUUUUAUCUCAGGAGCAUCUUUUGAAGAUUACUUCUGAACAUCGUGCAGAAAUGGCUAUAAAAAGGGGAAAGUUGAAUCUUCCAGAAGAAGGUCGGUACUUUGUGAUAUGGCUUCCUCUUCCUAUUGAUGUUUUUCUCUUCACUUGAUCUUCUUGUGGUGCAAUAGUAGAUGCUUAAGUACUCUAAGGUGAAGAUAUCAAUUGUUGGAUGAAAAGGGUUUAUAGUACAAUUACACAUUGUUAGAGAUAUGUAUGGAAGUGCUUAGGGCUAUGCAAGGAAGAAAUUUCCUUUUAGAGUAUUUGGGUCAACUUAUAAGUAUAAACUAUUCUCAUGGGACAGAUUGUUGGAUGCUACAUCAUGCAGUUUUUGAGGAACACUAGGAUUUUUUUCUCUAAUUGUAGAUAGGUGGCCACUUUGGGACUUGAACCCUUGCCUCAAAGUCCCCAAGUUCUUCAUGAGGCCCUUUACCUCUUUGUAACUCUCAUUAUUGGACCAAGUCGGGUCGAUCUGAGUGAGAAAGGUAAGGCCCAAGAUUGGUUGAACCUCCAAAAUCCUAUUUGAGGGCCUUGCUUAUGCUGACUUAUUCCAUCAAAAUUUGUAUGGGGUUUGGGUUGACCCAUUGGAUGAUUAACUUUUAAAAAUUACUGUGUUGGAAUUUUCUUAAACAAAAUUGUACUGUAACCAUAGGUUAGGUUUCAUUGUACUUAACUAGGGUUCAUCCCUUUAGUGGUACCUCCUUUUUGUUGGCUUAUUUUUUCUAAUGCUCUUGUAUUCUUUCAUCAUUUCUCAAUGAAAAUUAAUGAAAAUUUGGUUCUUUAUAUGAGAAAAAACAAAUUAUAUUAAAACUUGUGAUUUAUAUUUUGUUAUAGAAGAUGCCGACAAUUCUGUGCAUGAGAACAAGUGAAGAAAGGAUUGGUUCUUAUCCUCCUUAUUUUUCCUCGUGCACCUCAAGGAAACAAGUCCCUCGAACACCUCAAGGAAAAAGGCAACAAAAAGGCCAUAUUUGAGUGGAGCCAGGUGCAAUGAAUAGAUAAAUAAAUAAAUAAAAUAUUUAGGUUGCAUGGCUUUGUUGGGCCUAGAUGGUGGGUUAUAACGUUAUAAGCAUAUUUGUUAAAUAAAAUAAGAAAAAGAAACAGAACACCCUAUUAUUUUAAUCAGGGGCCUUGGACUAAGCUAAACAGUCAAAGGUGCAUAGGGCUAGUGCCCAACUGAAAAAUCGCUUGCCCCACUUUCUUUUUCAAUCAUGGGAGAGAGUUUCUUGGUAGGUCAACUUCUUGUAGAUCUUUUAUAAUAGGGAAAGUGAGCACAAUUCAAUUGACAUUAAAAUUUGGUAUCAACCUGAAUGUCAAAGGUCUGAAUCCCCCACCUUCUUGUUGAGCUUUCGACCUUCUGUAACAAUUUGCUCAAGUGUAACAUGGAAUGUUUUUAGGACAGAUGGAUACUGUUGGAAAAUGAUCACAAUGUUGUGUGCUUGAAUUCUUCCUCUUAGGUUUCAACUUCUCUCUUUCAAAAAAUUUCCAUUAUACUGUUUAUUGCAAAUUGGGAUUUCACUUGUUUUUCUUCUUUUUUUUUUUCCUCUUUUGUGUUUGUGGCUUGCAACUCUUAUUCUUGUUUUGUGCAACUUCCUUGUAAUUAUAAUUAUACUUUAACUACUAUAAACGCCAAGUGGGUACCAUUUUUUCUUUUUUUAACUCGGCUUUUUAAUGUAAUUUCAAUACUGUUAAACAAAUUGUCCUCUAUAUCUAGAACAAAAUAUUUUAUGGCCUUUUACAAUUAAAUUUUUUGUAGCACAGAGACCACUUUGAAAGAAUUAAUAAAAUCAGCAGAUAUGUGCCUACUUCUCUAGAUUGUUAUUCUAUAUUGGAGAUUCCAACAAACUCAAACAUAUAAUCUUCCUUUUCCCUUUCAAGGAGAAUGACAUCUUGUUGUCAUGUCAGGGAACUUGGAAAUUGGAAAUGGAUACGGAGUACCUGGUGGAUGUGCUUUCUAUGGUGCUUCAAAGCCUGGAAUUGUUGCCAAUGGUUUAAAACUUAAACCUUUUUCCUUUUGCUUGAUUUUGAUGUUGAUUUCCAGUUGGUUCAUUUGUCCUGCUUUCAGGAAAUAAUGUGACUGGCCAGAAAAUCCAGGGACAGAUCAAGGAAGCAGAACAAAGUUCUGCUUCCAAGGCAUUGCCCGAGUACCUCAAGCAGAAGCUAAGAGCUAGGGGUAUUCUUAAAGAAGAUGCAGAACACAGCAAUUCUGUAAGGGCUGAUGUGCGUAACUUCCUAAAACAUGUCUUGGCAGGACGCCUUAGUUUUAUUAUUUAGCCACAGACCUAUUUGAUCCAUUUAAACCAAUAUUUACUCUUUUCUCGCUGAUGGGGAAACACUUCAAUUUUUUCUCUUUUCUUAUCUUUAAAAAGCAGAUUUACAAAGAAAAGCUUGUGCACCUAAAUUUUGUUCAGAUUUAUAAAUAUCCUUUUGUUUCAAUUUUGAGAUUUCUAGAAUUUGUGUACUUCUGAUAGCAAUCAUAGUUCCAUGGUUCUGCUGAUAUUCUUUAUUCAAUUGCUUCUCUCUUAAAUUACAGACAAAUUCUGACGCUGUUUCAAACACAAAGUUGCAAGGAGAAAAGCUGCCUCAUGGAUGGGUGUGUACUGUUUGCAAUUCCUUUACCAAUUGUGUGCAGUGCUCUCUUUCUCUAUCAAGCUUGUUAGAAUUGCCUAUUGCAACUUGGGAAGGUUAUUUUGUUUGAUAGCUGAGCUGAUUAGGUGGCCUUAGUUUACAUUAUUUUUUAAAUAUUUCCAAUAAGUAGGAAUUUAACAUGCUUAACUAUUUAUUCUGUGGGGUAAUAAAAAAGUAUAUUAAAUCUACUUAGUUAUAAUAUAUCAUACAUUUAUAUAUUACUAGUGUGGUGUUUACUAAAACAGUUAAGUUUGUGAAGUGAACGAGUUUUGUCAGAAUAAUUACGGAAGGUCAUUUUCCUAAGUGUGAGUGAGUAGACCUAGUAUCCACUUUGCGGGAACUUUAUUAUGGAGUUGAAGCGGCCCUUACUGUGUUAGGGACUUGGGGAUUUUAUUUUUGUAAUUCUUUUGAGUCAUUUAAGGUUGUUGGCAACCUCUGGAUUUUGGGUAGCAAAAACAUUAUCAACUCUGGAUGUGAGUAUUGUACUUUCUUUUCAAACAUAAUUUCUAUUUGAUUCUAAGGUUUCCAAAACUAAUACUUUUGGUUCUUAAGAUUUGAAUUUGGUUGUUAUUUGAUUUUUGAGGUUAUAAAAUUGACAUGUCUAGUUUUUUAUAUCUAAAUUUGAUUUCUAGUUAAUCCCUGAAGUUUGAAAUUGGUUUUUAAUACCCAAGUAUAAAAAAUAAUUCCAGCAAUGUCUAGUUAGCAUAUUGUAACUGAACUGAUGUAUUCUGUUAUAUCAACUAGCAGACAAUUAUAUUUAGGGACCAUUUAGGAACCUAUUUCAAACCUUAGGAACCAAUUAUAUCAAAUUUAAACAUAGGAAUUAAAUAUGUUGCUUUUGAAAUCUCAAGGACCAAUUACAAACCAAAUUCAAAUAUCAAGGAUCAAAAGUUCUAGCUUUAAAAACCCAUUGACCAAACAGAAACUUAGUAUCCAGGGACCAAAAGUAAGUUUUUCUCCCUCAAAAAAAAAAAAAAAAAAGAACGAUUCUAAGAAGUUUCAAUAAAAUAUGAAGAUGUGUUGUGAUGUUUCUUGUUUUUGGAAGUUUGUCCUUAGGCCUCCAUUUUAUAAACUUGUAUGCUUCUCUGCAUAGGUGGAGGCUAAAGACCCUCACAGUGGUGUUUCAUAUUAUUAUAAUGAAAGUAGUGGAAAGAGUCAAUGGGAAAGGCCCUCCGAACUUUCUUCUAAUACGCAACUUUCAUCAGCUGUAUCCCUUCCAGAAGAUUGGAUGGAGGCAAUCGAUCAAACAUCAGGUCGGUAAGAGAUUUAAUGAUUUAUGAUGCUGAUAUACCUUCUUCCAUGCAUAAUUUGGAGGAGAAAAGAUAAGAAAUCUGGAGGAAUUACAGCACGAUAAUCCUUGUUGUUUCAGUUUUACCAUACUUUUUCUCAAUGCAUUUAUACAUUUCUGGUUUCCCCUGUCCUGCAUCCCUACCUUUUCUACGAGUCAUUGAUGUGGAGACUGUAGAGUCUAGAGGUUGAAGGCUAGAGUAAUUGGCUUGAAUUGCGUGGAAACUUUUGUAUUUGGCAUCUCAUGAACCUUCUUUAUAAAUUUUGCAAGCCUUGAAAAUGGAAUUAUCCGUUGAGGGACGCUUAUGUCGUGCCUUUAUUAUGUUGUUCUAGUUGUAAUUGGUGGUUUUCCCAACUUCAAUGGAGAAGUGUUCAGAAAAAAGUUGCUGAAUAACAUAAUUUGCAGUUUUGCUCCCAUUGACAAAUUUUCAUACGACCGCAGGCGUAAAAUACUACUACAAUAUGAGAACCCAUGUAACCCAGUGGGAGCGGCCUGUUGCAUCUCAUCAGACAACUUUGACACACUCGAAUGAUAAGUUUCCUGGGCCUUGGAACGACCAAACUUUGGAGCAAAGUAAAUGCAUCACAUGUGGAAGUGGAAUGACCCUCGUGCAGGGUUCAAGAUACUGCAACAGUUGUACAAGGUAAAUGAGAUAGUCUAUAUAUCUAUGCUAAGAAAAUGAAGGUCUUUUCAUUAAGAGACUGGAAAGUACAAGAGAGGAUGCAUACGAGUGAACAAACUUGAUUAAAAGAGAUAUUGCAAUACGUACGGAAAUUUGAGUCCCCCACUCUCCCCUCCCACUAGACUACUCUAAUCUAGUUGGAGGAGUUACAUUUUUGUUAGGCAAAUCGGUUUGCCAUUUUUAUGAUGAAGCCUCUGCAUUAUGUUGUAAGGCAGUUGUUAGUAUUCAGCAAAACCUGAAGCUGGGUUUUUCUUCUAAAGUCAUAUAACCUGCCUCUGUAAGGAUGCCUUGGUGAGCAUUAGUAAGCAUAAAGUUUUGUAGAUUCUUCUGCCUUCAAAUGAGGCUGCAGUAACAUAUCUAAUUUCUAGAAAAAUGUGGGCUCUUCUUCCUUGAUCGGAUUUCCUUCAAGUUUCAGAGUUGCUGUCCAAACAACUUGAUUUCUGAUUUGUGGGAAUAUUUGAGCCAUUCUUGGAAAAAUUACAUUGAGGAGACAUUUGAAGGAUAACGAGAUUAUGCAUUUUUAGUGACCUAAUUUUACUCUUGGAAGAGGUUCAUUUAGCCCGUGGGAUGAUAAAAGAAGUACUGCUGCUUGGUCAUAUGGAGUCCACAAUCAAAUCCCUAAUUAGUAAGCUGUUUGGAAAUCCCAAUGUCCUCUUCCUUGUUUAAAGCUUGUCGUAAAUCCAAAUUUUCAAAGAAAAUCAGCUUCUUUUGUGAUUUUUUAAUGGUCGGACAUCAGAGAAAGCUUGCUUUCAUUGUAUGAUCCCCCUGGCUUGCCCCUUUGUGGUUUCUGGACUUAGAAGACCAGAAGCACUUUUCAUUGUGGGUUUAUUGUUAAAAGGUGGGGGGAAAGCCUCUAUUUUAUUUUCAAUUUUAUCAUUAAAUAUUUUCCAUCUCUCUACUAAAUGCUAUACUACUCGUCAGCCUCUUUUAGAUUCUGACUAAGAGCCCACAGAUACAUCUUACUCAUCCAUCAAGAACAUCCUCCUCCCCUCACCUCACAUUUCCUCUCAUACAUGAUACUUGUUUAUUAGACACAAUUUACUGCUCAACAAGAUGGGCACCCACUAACUGUUUUCUUACUGCAAUUUUAUCUGGAUAAAUUCUCACACUUCGUUCUUCAUUGCAUUGGUUUUGUGUCUAAAUUGACUAGUGGGGUUUCUACAAGUUCAACCAAUGGGAUUUGGCAGGAUCAACCGUCUGAGCAAAAUAAAUGCAUGGGAUGUGGUGGCUGGGGACUAGGCCUUGUGCAAGCUUGGGGUUACUGUAUUCAUUGCACACGGUAUGUUGAUCACUCUUAUUAUUCAGCACUAUCAUGUAGCAUAUCAUUGUAUUUGGUAUGAUUGUUUGUGACUAUGUAUGAACUGAUGUGUGGAUGAAGGUAGUUAGGGUUAGAAGUUCAUUAGCUAGACUGCUUGAGUGAUGCAAUUAUUUUAAUUUAAAAUCCUAGUUGUUUCUAUGACACGUUUACAGUUUUUCAGCCAUUACUCUCGAUAAAUUCAUACAAAUAUUUUUUUUUCCUCAUGGAUUAUGUAUUCGCUUUUGUUUUACCCUCUUUUUAUUAUUAUUAAUAUUAUUUUUUAUUUAUUUAUUCACAACGACUUUCAGAAUUCUCGGUCUCCCCCAGUGCCAGUACUUGCCAACCAACAACAUUAGUAAUCAGCAGAAGAUAGAGAACGUCAAGCAUAGCGCUGAUCCCUCCAUUAAAAAAUCUGUGACAGAUAGGUAAAGAAACAGUCCUCUGACUUCGGACUUAGUUAAGUCGAGAAAUAGGGGAGGAUUAAGUUAUGAAGCUAAUGAGUAUCGGUUGUCAGGUCCAAAUGGAAACCUCCAAUAGGGAAAGGUGGAAAGCGAGAAAGUAGGAAGCGUUCCUACAGUGAGGAUGAUGAAUUAGAUCCAAUGGAUCCUAGCUCUUAUUCAGAUGCUCCUCGUGGUGGCUGGUAUGUCUUCAAAAAUUAGCUCUCUAGGUUGAAUACUAGUUGAUUAUUUAGGCCUCAUUUGACAAAGGUUUUAGUUUUAGUUUUUUGUGCCUAUUUUCUUCCAUUUGUUUAUAAUAGUUUUCAUCUUUCGUAAGAAAUUAUUUAAAUUGCUAUUCAAUUAAGCAAUUGAAAUCAUCGUAAGGAAAUAUCUAAAUUAGCUCUCUGGGUUUAAUUGCUAUUCAAGUUUUUUUAAUAACUAUAUUUUUAAAAUUUCAAGACUUGGCUUGGAUGUUGAAAUCAUCCUUAAAUAAUAGAUAACAAAACAAAGAAAUUCAUAGGAUAGUAGCUGCUUUUAUAAACUUAACAACUAAAAGUCGAAGGGUUAUCAAAUGGGUCUUAGAAAAUCUGUCCAAGAAGUAGAAUGAUAUUAAUUGUUUGUUUUGAUUACUUUUCAGGGUUGUGGGUCUAAAAGGUGUGCAGCCUCGGGCAGCAGAUACUACUGCUACAGUAAGUAGUAACUAAUCAUUUUAGAUUUUUAGCUGUUUGCUGUUGCAACCGUCUCACCUUAUAAUGGGCAAUUAUCAUUUCAUGUAUAGACAUGUUAUGUAGUUUCACAUAUACAAUUUAAAACAUUUCCUUCACAAUGGGCCUUGGUUUUAGUCUGUUUGAUGUAAUGUGCUGACUCUAGCGUCUGCAGUGAACUCUUGACACUGAUUAGAACAGGGGCUGUUCUCUUGUUCCUUAAUCCAAUCCUCAUUGUGUUGGAUCUCAUUUAAAAUAUUUUUUUUCUUAUUAAAUCGAAAUAACUUCUAAUUGGAUAAUAUAUACUUCCUCUCAUCGAUGGUGAAUGGCAGGGUCCUCUCUUUCAACAGCGGCCAUAUCCAUCACCUGGAGCUGUUCUGAGGAAGAAUGCUGAAAUUGCUUCACAGACCAAGAAGGGAAGCUCUCACUAUGCACCCAUUUCCAAGAGGGGAGAUGGAAGCGAUGGCCUUGGUGAUGCUGAUUGAUCUCUUCUAAUUUAUUCUGCUCCGACGAUACAGUGACCACUAUUUAUGUAGUGUAGAAGUACACUUUUCACUGGAGAUGCGACAUAUAUCUUUGACCGUAUAGCCUUACCUGAAGUUAUGGAUCAAAUGCACAUCUCACUUUCUGAAGGAGAGGAACGUGGCUGUACGAUGGUACGUUUCUUGUAUAUAUACUAAUUACUAUACUUCUAUAUGGAAAACUUGAGUCGUGGACAAAACGGUCAAUGAGGCAGAUUUUUAACCUUCACAUAUGUACCAGAAGAUUUGAAUUACUAGACAGGAGUAGAAAAUUCAAACUUAUUGUAUUUUGUUAAAAUGUUACAAUAAUUUAACUUAACGUCGACUAUACGAGACAAGCUUAGAAGUUUAUUAAUCCUACAAUUAUGCAAACUCUAAGUUUACCUUUCAUACUACUUCGAUAACUUUUGAUUUUAUAUUUCAUUUUUACUUUUGUACAUUAUAAUUUCACAAGUUAAACACUGUUAUUCAAACUUGAGGUUAUCGAUUCUGAAUUUUAUAAUUUAGAUGAAUUAAGUUGGUAAUAUGAAAAGAGAUCUCGGUGUUACACCGCCUUGUUGGGUUGCUUUUGGAUGGUUCCCUGGGAGUUCAGCCAAAGUGAGAUGGCAUUAGUUGUUUGUUGCUGAUGGAGAAUCAAUAUUUCAAAUAGAAAUAAGGAGUACAGUAUUUCUUUCUUUACUAUAUGAUAAUGGCAUGUGAUUACAUUGGUCUCAUCUGUUUGUUUACUUUCCAUAUUAGCUUAUUAUUGGGACCAGCUGUCUUACUAUAGAUUGAUCAUCAAUGUGAUGAUGUGUAUGUUGGUUACCUAUCUUUUCAAAUCCUCAAGUCAAUAUAGUAAAAUGACUUAUUACAUUACAUGAAUUGGAUUAUCAAUUUUAGCUGAUUACAUACCUCCUUAACACCAAUGAAGAUACUUAAACUAGAGAUUUCUAUGGGCCACGAUGGAAGACUUCCACAUUCUCGACCCCAUCAUAUUUCAAUCUUCAUCCUAUGAAUUGUUUUUCAAUAAUUUUGAGGAAAGUGAAGAUCUUUGCGAGGAAAUUAAACAUAUCAUCUUAUUUCUUUCUUUCUUUUACUUUCAAUCGAAAUAUAUAGUUUUUUUUUUUAAUUCUUUAAAUUGAGCAUUUUUAAUAUUAUUUCUAUUCAAAUAAUGCAAUAUAAACUUUUCUAAUAAAAACAAUAAUUAAAAUGUUAAAUUUCCAUAAUGUCAAAAAAGUUGAAUGCUGAAUUAUUACUACUUUACAGUUUUUCAACUUAAAUAUUACAAAAUUAUUGUUUUAGAGGUAAGUACGUUAUAAUUAUCCUAGAAAAUAUCUAUAUAAUUAAACAAAGGCAAAAACAUACAAUUAUCCUAGAAAAAAAAUAUAUAAACAAGGAAAAGGCAAAAUAAUUUGUUGUAAUUCAUAUCUCUUCCAUGAAAGGAAGAUAGAAGAAGUUGGUCGAUUAAAAAAAAAAAAGAAGAAGAAGAAGAAGAAAAGAAGAAAGAAAGAAGGGAACAAAUGUAAAAUAAGGUGAAUUUGAAUGAUAAUAAAAAAAUAAAAGAAGUUCAAAGAUAAGUAAAAAAUAAAAAUAAAAAAUUAAACUAUUAGUAAAAUAUAGACAACAAAAUAAGUUAUGUGAAAAUAAUAUCUAUUUAAACUGAAUUUUAAAAAACAAAAAUAGUAUUUGAGUGUAAAAAAGAUCAAAAUUUGAGUGAGAAAUGAGUAAAAAGUGAAAAUGAUAGCAUUAGAAAAAGAAGAAGAAGAAAUAAACAUAAAAAAUAGAAAAGUGAAAACAAAAAUGAUAUAGAAAACAUCCCAAAAACUUUUUGUAAUGGAAAAACGUGUCCUUCAAAUACCAAAGUGUUGGAUUUAUUGAAAGUCCAGCUUCGUGCUUCUUCUCUACACUCAAAAGGAUAGAGAAAACCCAAAAAAAAAAGAAAGAAAACUUUGGGAAUAAAUUCCAUUUUCUUCACUCUCCAUCUCCAUCUUCAUCAUCCCCCAUCUUUAGGGUUCCCUUCCCAUCUUCUUCCUUCUCUUUACCAUCACUUCACAUUCACAAAGGUGCGUUUUUUUUUUUUUCCCAUUUCAAUUUCUUGCUUUCUGUACUUCUCUAUUCCCUCUGUUUCUCCAUUCUUCACUGUGUUCCAUUGCCCGCUUUCCACUUUUUAUCUGAUGGGGCUCAUUCUGUUUUACAUUUUAAUUUAAUUGUUCUCAAGGUGUAGCCAAUGCUUGCAAAUUUAAGUUGAAUUUCCUGUUAAUUUCUGAUUUUGAUUCUCUUUUUUUUCUUUCUUUCUUUUGACUUGAUGUUGUUUCAACUAACUUCAUUGACUUAUUUAUUCGUUUGUUGAAGUGGGAAAAUUGAUUCCUGAAGUUGGUUUCACUUUUAUGGUUUGAUAGUGCUAUUUUUCAUACUUGAACAGUGUCACUGGAUCUAGGAUCGAUAUGUGUCUCAUAUGGUACAAACCCAUUUCUAUGCUAUUGUUGGAGUAUUGAUAUGAUUAAAUUUAACAUAAUCCAUUAGCUCUAGUGUUUGGAUUGAUGGAUGUCAUUUUUUCCUCAAUUAAUUCUGAUUUCUAUGUUGGAUCUAGUGAAGCAGUGUUGAAGUAUUGGUAUAAUUAAAUUUACUAUAACCCAUUAACUUAAGCUUUUGGAUUUAUUAGUGAUUUAAAAAUUAAGAUCUAAAAUGAUAAUGAUUCAUAUUGCUACUUUGGUGAUUAUCUUAGAGAAGUAUGCUUUGCUUAAGUUCUUGGACUGAUACUCCUUGGAAUUACCGAAUGGAAAAUCAGACAUUUUCUAGAGCUUGAUUUUAUUACGAACUAUUACUCCAAUGUUCCAAAGCAUUUUUGAGGUGAAGUUGUUCUUACACUAGCCUAUCCAACCAAUAGGAUGCUCUCUCGCACAUUGAACUUCCAAAUGCUUCUUCAAGCCCCAGAAAAUGUACUCUUACUGAUAUAUAUUCCUAGAUAUGUGGAUGUGCAUCAUCCAUUACAUAUUCAUGAUCGAAAUAGAAGCAAUUUGGGUUUGAAAUGUUUAAACUGCAGCUCUUUUGAAACCAUCAUUGGCGGCCUAGUGGUAAAUAAAAAUCUUGGGUUUGAUGAAUGACUUAAGAGGUUAAUUGAUCUAAUCUAGAAUCUGUUAUUUCAGAGCAGAGUUCUCAAACUUUUGCAUCUUGUGAUAAAUGAAACAUGCAUAUGAUGUGAAAGUACUUAUUUUGUGCUGAUUAAUUAAAUCCAGAAGUAAAAGGACAAAAGUCACCCAAGUGUUUUCUUUGUCAGCUGAGUACAUAACUCAGGCUUGAGAUUAUUAAACUUGAAAGUGACAAGAUUUAUAUGUAGCAAGCUAACAAUUCAAUACGUAAAGAAUGAGGUAUUUCACGGUUGAGACUUGCAGGGAAGAGAAGAAGGAUGUCGACUGCAAACACCCAUUGGUGUUACAGAUGCGAACAGCCAGUUCGACUUCGUGGGCGAGACAUGACUUGCCUUAGCUGUAAUGGAGGAUUUGUUCAAGAACUGGAUGAAAUGAUGGAAAGAAGUCCCCUUGAUUUAUUUGGAGCCAGUGGUAAUGAAUACCAAAACCGCAGGCUAGGACUCUUGGAGCUUUUCUCAAACUUUAUGAGGCAACGAUUGGUAGACAGAAAUGAUAUCAGGGGAAGGUUGGACUCAAUUCCAGAUCAUGGUCCAGGAUUUGGUCCUUGGUUGAUCUUUGGUGGCCAAAUUCCUGUUAGAUUGUCUGGACAUGGUGGAUUUGAAGCGUUUUUUAAUGGGGUACCUGGCAUUGGUGUGAGUAGGAGCAAUGGUGGUGAUUAUUUUAUUGGUCCUGGACUUGAAGAAUUGUUUGAGCAGCUUUCAGCAAACGAUCGACGAGGGCCACCACCGGCAUCAAGAUCUUCGAUUGAUGCAAUGCCUGUUGUUAAAAUUACACAAAGACACAUUCGUUCCAAUUCACACUGUCCUGUCUGCCAAGAUAAAUUUGAAUUAGGAUCUGAGGCUAGGCAAAUGCCAUGUGACCAUAUGUAUCAUUCAGAUUGUAUUGUUCCAUGGCUAGUCCAGCACAACUCCUGCCCUGUUUGCCGCCAAGAACUGCCUGCACAAGGGUCGGGUAGUAGCCAUAGCUCAUCUGGAAGCAACAAUUCUAGUCGAAACAGCCGAGAUAGGGAGAAUGGUAGAACGACUCAAGGAAGGAGGAAUCCAUUUACAAGUCUUUGGCCAUUCCGAGCAUCAAGCUCGAACUCUAACCAUAGUGCUACCACUGGAAGCAACUCACCAGCUCUACACGAGACUAACCAACACGAAACAGGGUACUACGGAUGGCCUUUCGACUAGCAUCAACACUGCGUUCCUAAACUUGUUUGCAGCAUUCAGUUUUUGUGAUUGUUAUUUAAGAUGAUGAAAAUAGUUCAAGCCCUGCAGUCCACUCUCUUGUAUAAUAAAUUGAUAAUAAUGGACUUCCUGUGUGAUGUAGACGACAUUUUUCUAUUCCUUAUCGAUGCUGCUGGAAUUUGUAUAUGCUUCAUGUAUAUUAGCAUGGCGUUUCUUUCUAGAGUUGCAGGUGGUCGGGAAAUCUGUCUGUUCAAGUGAGGAUUGCUGAAUCUUCUUCAACUGAAAGUUAAAACGUCCAAAUCAAGCUAUUCUAGUAUCUACUCAAAUUGACCAAUGUUUUCCUUAUGCAUCAUCAUUCAUACUAAAACUGUACAUGUUUUUCUAAAAGUAGAGGACAACAUAUUUUAGCAUUUAAGAAAUCUUUCAAGAUGGAUUGAGGAAAAAAGAAAAAAAAGGAAUGAGAUCUGAGAGUUACAGAUGCAAGAAAAAAAAGAUAAAAACGUGAUCCAAUAUUUGAGAUCAUGUGAGUUCUUAUACUUGAACAGUUUGGUUCUUGUACUUUGGAAAGUUACCAGGGUUCAAGGUUCAGCUUUUCAAAAAGUAUACAACAGUUCUUUAGAAUCUUUUUCUUUUGCCACGUACUAUUCCAAACAUAAUAAAAACGAGUUGCGAAUGGACAUGUAGUCCUCUCAAACUUAAAUUUAAAUUUAUUUAAAAAUUUAGAUCUUUGUUGUAUUUUGUUAUAUUAAAAAGGAAAAAAAGAGUGUUUUACAUAUAAAAAAUUAAAAGGCAAGCAUGGGCAAAUAUAACAAGUUUUGGUGUGAAAGUGUUGGAACUUUUAUCUCCUUAGUUUCAAGUUUGAAUUCUAGUAUGUUACAUUUCGAGUUUGGUUUUCAUUUAUUUUGCUUUUGAAGAUUUUAAAAUUAAUUAUAAUAGUAUUAGAAAAUUAGUGGAAAAAUAAUAAGUUGAGAGUGUAAAUCUUUUAAAACUUAAGCGUUGAAAGCAAACAAAAAAAAAGAGUAACUUUUUAAAAUGAAUAUAGAGAAAAUGAAGUAUAAAAAAUGUAUACAAAUUUAAAUUACAAAUUUGAUUAAUUUGAUUGCGAGACAGUUUUAACAUAUUUUAGUUAUAAAAGGUAACGAUUGUGUACUGCCAAUAGGAAUAAGGAGAGGGUGAGUUAGUUAAAAUAAUGAUUAUUGUUAUUGUUAUAACUUACAAGAAGAAAGAUAUUGAGAAUUCUUUACCAAUGAGCGAGAAUUGGAGUAAAAUUUCAUAUGAUUCUAGAAAACAAAGUUCAUAAACAAUUGCACAAACUGUGAAUACUGUCUUCUUUUUCAUUUAAGUUGGAUACAGAUCGCAGUUUUGGUGCCUCUUGAAAAAAGAACGAACAAAGCUUACUACAAACAACUUCAAAUCAGAACCAAUUUCAAAUGCAAAUCUUUUUGUAAGAAAAAAAAAUGCUCAAAAGAGGGAACUACAGCUACUAAAUAUGUCGGCUACUCGGUUAUUGGAGAACAAACAGACAUACUCUUCUUUCUGGAUAUCUGGAAUAAGGGAAUGAUAAAUGUUGCUUCAAUCUUCAUAAAACUCGGCCACUGAUUCAGUUGGCACUGGCGAGUUGAGUUCGGAGGAGCUUUGCGGCAGCAACCAUGUUCUUGAGAGCAGGAUUCACCUCGGCGUACUUGCGAGUUUUGAGACCACAGUCUGGAUUGACCCACAAGAUGUUGGUUUCGAGCACUGCAAGCAUCUUGUUGAUUCUGUCUGCGAUCUCUUCUGUUGAUGGUAUUCUAGGGGAGUGAAUGUCGUACACACCGGGGCCAAUUCCAGCACCAUACUUGACUCCCUCACGGAAAACUGACAAGAGCUUCUCGUCGGAGCGAGAGUUCUCAAUGGUGAUCACAUCAGCAUCCAUAUCGAUGAUGGAUUGGAUGAUGUCGUUGAAGUUAGAGUAGCACAUGUGAGUGUGAAUCUGUCAUGUAAUCAUUAGGUGAGUUUAACAUAUUAUGAACUUGUUGAAGGGGUAAUGAAAAUCCCAAUUGGUUAGUGAUGUAAACCUGAGUUGUGUCUUGGACACCACAGUUUGUGAUACGGAAAGAGUGAACAGACCAAUCCAAGUAGAAAGCAUGCUCAGACUUCCUUAGAGGUAAUCCUUCUCUUAAAGCAGCCUCAUCAAUUUGGAUGACAUUAAUGCCAGCCUUCUCGAGAUCCUCAACCUCGUCCUUGAUGGCCAAAGCGAUCUGAUAGCAUGUUUCGAAUCUAGAAGAUGAUAAUGUACACGAGAAGGAUUAGCCAUAAAGUCUGGUAUAAACUAUAAAGGGGAAAGAAAACAACUACAGUAGUUUCUUUCAGCUUGGAAACAUUAUCUUUCUUCUAUUACCUUGGCUGGUCGACUCUAACAAAAGACCAGUUGAGAAUGGUGACGGGGCCAGUGAGCAUUCCCUUCAUUGGGCGGGCUGUCAUGCUCUGAGCCAUGGUAGACCAGAAGACGGUCAUGGCUUUUGGGCGGCUCACGUCACCGUAGAUGAUUGGAGGCUUCACGCAACGAGAUCCGUAUGAUUGCACCCAACCAUUGACGGUGAAUGCAAAACCAGACAAUUGCUCCCCAAAGUAUUCAACCAUAUCGUUUCUCUGCAGUGAGGAUGAAAUUCAUAUUAGAAGAGCCAAAAUGAGGAGAAGGUACUACAACCUCCCUCGACAAAAACAGUGCUCUUGAUUUUCUGCUAAAUAGGCUCCAAAUAACUCACCUCGGGCUCUCCAUGAACCAGGACAUCAAUGUCGAGCUCUUCCUGGAGCUUGACAACCUUGCUAAUUUCUUCCUUGAUUGCCUUCACAUAUUCCUCCUCAGAGAUCCUAAAGAAUGGUAAAAAAAGAUGCAAACAUUAGAAACAGGGUUAAAGUAUUUAUGAACUUCAAGGAAAGCUGGUAUCAAUUUUUACUCACUUGUUAGCUUUGUAUUCACGACGAACCCUCCUGAGUUCAACAGUUUGAGGGAAAGAACCAAUGGUGGUGGUUGGAAGGAUUGGGAGAUUAAGCUUCUUCUGUUGAGCAUCGAGCCUUGCACUAACGUUUGUUGCACGGCGGUGAUCAGAGCCCUUCAAAGCAGCAGCCUGCACAAUCAAAAAGCAAUUAAUCAGUUAAUGAAAUCCCUGCAAACAGAUAGUUAAACACCUUAAAGAUAAGAAAUGAUUGUACGGACCGCUUUCUGAACAGCCUCAUUGGUCACCCUUGGGGAUGACUUCCUUGAAGCAUGAGCUUGAGCGUUAGAAGCAAAGAAUGCCUGAAAAGAAAAUUCCAAUAAGCUUAUGAGUUUGUGCCCAUCAAUUUCAAAAGGGUUAGUACCAAGGGAAGAACGUUCAAGAAAUAAUCUAAGUUACAACACAAAAGGUUAGAAAUCAAGGCCUAAAAACAUAGAAUACACCUUCAAUAGACAAAUGUCAUCCGAGUCAAGAAUAUACCUCAUCCUUUUGACCAGCCAAGGCCUUAGCCAAUGCAUUAACUUCAACAAUCUUUUGAGCAGCAAAAGCGAGCCAUGAUUUGAUUUCAUUGUCCAACUUGGUUUCAUUGACAAGGUCAACAGCAGUGUGAAGAAGUGAGCAGGAGGUGGAGACAACAAGAUGAUCUACAUAGUUUUUUUGGAUGAAGAAGGAAUGAGUAAAUAUGAACUCUCAAAUAAUAAUAAUUAAAUCAAGCAUCAUGAACCAACAUAGUAAUACAAAUGUAAGCAAAAGAAUAUCACCUUUACCCACAAGGGCAGUCAAUUCCUCCAAUGUGCUAACUGAAGCAGCAAGAUCAUUGGCCCAAAUGUUCCUUCCAUCAACUAGUCCAGCAAAAAGGUAUUUUCCCUUGGGGAAAUCACCCUUAAUCAAUUCAAGUGUCUUAGUUCCACGAACCAAAUCAAAUCCAUAGCCAGUGACACCCUUCAAAGAAGUAAGGGUCUUGUAUGCCUCAGCAGGGACAUCAGCGAAGUAUGUCUCAAUAAGAACAUUCAAGCCAGAGAGAGAUGAUUCUAGUUCAGCAUAUGCAUCGGAGAAGGCUUUCAAUUUGUGAGAAUCAAGGUCCAACACCAAUGUAGGCUCAUCAAACUGGAUCCAAGAAGCGCCAGCUGCUUUAAGAUCAGCAAUAACCUCCCUGAAAAGUUGGGCACCAUAUUAAUAUGUGAGAAAGAGAAUCAUUAUAGAAACACUAUGGAAAAUCUUGAUAGAGUGACGAAUUUUACUUGUAGACAGGAAGGAUCUUGUCAAGAAGGGAGAGGAGAGAGAAUGUCUUGUCAACACCCUUUGCAGGUUUGGAGAGCAACAAGUAUGACACGGGACCAACGAGAACUGGAACAGUGUCUACUCCAAGCUGCAUAAUCAAAAAAAUAUUUUUUACCUCAAUUCUUUGGUACUUGUAUACCCAAAUCAGAUUUCAUAGUCCUAAAAGGUAUACGCUCGUCUAAGUCAUUGAAGCAUGUCAACACAUUCAUAAUACAAUGCAAUCUGUUUUUUGCAAAUAUUAUACCGAAAUUCCACUCCAUGUGACACGGAUCUAUGGCCUAUUUCCAAUAACUUUAAUUAGGGACAGUGUUAAAUAUAGCAAUCAGACCCAAACUAUUAACAUAUAUAACACAAAGCAAAAUAAUUUAUCAAUACAACCAAAUUUAAAUCUAGCUCUCAGAAAUAGGAAGUCUAUUGGCGAUAUAGUUUAUUGAUAGAUUUUGCCAUACUUACAAUUCUUUAAAAAUGUUAUUAUAUACUUAACUAUUAACCCUAAAACUGCUACUCAAUGCAAUUAUCCCUUUAAAAUAAUUAAAUUCUCAAUUCUCAAUCAAAACUUCUGUUUCAAUUUUCCAAUGUAUUAUAUAUCUUAUUUUAUGAACAACCAACGCAAAUACCAGAUUCAACAACUUACAGCUUUGGCUUCUUUGUAUUCGUCCACUGCCUUAUGGGAAGCAUAAGAGAACUUCACCUCUGGUCCCAACUCAGGAACAAUGAAGUGGCUGCAUCAUUGAAUUGGCAACAUUAAUUAUACUGAUCUCAUUACACUGUCAUUGCAUACUAACAAAAGUAAAAGGCUAAGUGGGUUACUUACUAGUUUGUGUCAAACCACUUGGUCAUUUCCAUAGCUGGUACAGAUGCAUUUCCUCUAGCCAUGGAGAAGUAGGUAUCAAACCCAAUCUCACCACCAGUCCAGUUAUAUCUAGGAGGAACAGCCCCAAGCAAUGCAGUGGUGUCAAGCACCUGAUCAUAGCAUGAAAAAGUGUUGCUGGGAAUGUAUUUGAUCCCUGCAUCAGACAUCUGUUUCCAGAUGGACGACCUCAGAUCUGCAGCCACCUUCUUCAAAUCCUCUGCUGUGCUCUUCCCAUCCCAAAAUGAUUCAAGAGCAAACUUGAGCUCCCUCUUGGGACCCAUACGAGGAUAUCCAACGAUGUGAGAUGCCAUUGUUCUGCUCAAGAGAUCGCGGACGUAACGAAAUUCAAUUAGAUCCUCUCAACACUACUCUUAUCUCAAAUCCCAAAUCCAAUAGUCAACAAGUAACGGAAACAGCUAACACCAUGUUAAAUUAAAAACGCAAUACGAAAUUCAAGCCAGUGAAGAAGACUUAAGAACAAAGGGUUUGUAACACAUGCAGCAAAGAUCCAAUGAGUAAAGUUCACAUAAGCUAACAAUUCAGACCCAGAUAGAUCUAAUACUUAAAAUAGAAAACAACCCAUUAAAAUACAUCAGAUCUAGGAACACAAGUCUUCCAAGAAAACAAAAAUCCCACCAGAUCUACACGACAAUACUGUAAACACAAAAAACAGAGGAAGGAAGUAAAAUUCCGAACAAUCCUUAAGCAGCAGCAAUUAGAAGAUGAAAUCCAAAAUGGGUUCAGGGCAAAGUAUAAAAAAGAGUUCAUAACACAGUGGAUCUGAAUCCCAAAUUACAGGAAUGCCAGCAUACAUUGACAAAAAAAAAAAAAAAGAAAAAAAAAGUGAAAUUUAGAGAAACAGAGGAAUGGGAAAGCAUGGAAAAAACGGGUAAGGGAAAAGAGAGAAAACGGAGGUAACCUUGAGGAAGUGGAACACCGACAGAGGCUCCCCAAGGAGAAAAGAAAGAAAUGCGAGAGAGAUAAGAGAUAGGGAAAGAGACGAUGAUACUGGGGGAGCCACAAAUAAGAGAGAAGGCGCGAGUUGGAAGAAAUGGGAAUGAAGUUUAUUUAUAGAGAUCAGAGAUGAUGAGGUGGCAGAAGCAGAUCUGGGAUAUCGGAAAGUCACAGCCGGAGAUUGGAUGGUAGCCGGUGACAGACAACCAAAUGUGUAUUUCAUUUUGGUUUAAUUAUUUAUUUUGUUCUAGUGGUACACCGAUCAAUUCUCAUUUCCUAUACUCUAAAUUACUAUACAAUAUUUGACUUUCAACACCAAAUGUAAAUGAACACUUUUUUAAAAUUUGAUGAAUUUGUUCAUAACUCACAAUUAAACCAACAUAUAAUCAGCAAAAACUUUAGACUUAACCAUUACCUACUAAACUAUAAAUGUUAAUUAAAGAAAUGAAAGUAUUGAAAUAUGAGUUUUAAUCCUUCAAUGAUUUAUUAGACAAUAUAUAUAUAUAAUGUGUAAUAAAAAUGAAAAGAAAAAAAGAAAAGAGAGAGAAAGUUUUGAGUAGGAGAAGAUGGAAUGAGACGCGUGAAGUUGGGGGCGUGGGAGAGAGGGAUUUAAGGGAAAAGGCGUAAUGUGGAAGUGAGGAAGUAGUGAGGGAGUGAGGGAGUGAGUGGCCACCACCAUUUCUUUUUCUUUAUUUUGCGUCCGAGACAAAUGCUGUGCUUCUCCCUAAACUUUCACCUCACCAAUCUCAUUCUAAUUCAAAUUAACUCAAACAUUAUUCAUCUUUUAAAUUGAAAUGCUAAUCCAUUCAACUUUUAACAAAUCCUCAUUCAACAUUCAUUUUCAAUCAUCUUUCGACAGAGAAGAAAAAUAUAACAUAUUUAGAAUGGGAUGAAUCAAGAUUAAUCUUGAUCUAAUUUGUGUUUUGAUUUUUUUUUUAUUAUUAUUAUUAUUAUUGUCACUAUUAACGUUAAUAUUUUAUAGAAAAACUGCACAUUUUUAAUUAAUUGAUUGAAAAUCGACAACAAAAGUUAAACGAAAGUUUUUCUUACCUUAGAGGUAAAAAUGUAAUAUUUUAAAUGUUUGGGACCAAAUGGCAUACUCUACACUCAAUAUUAGAGAUGAGCAUAUGGUGGAGGAGUGGGGCUGAGGUGAGUUUCCUAUUCUUGUCCUGACAUCCUUUCUCCCUUUUUCAUUCACCAUUUAAGCAAAGUUUCUUAUCGUUUGACAUUUGUAGGAAACUCCAUUUUAAUCAAUUAACAUAAAGAACUACUAGAAAAGUUUUAAGUUAAACAACUCAAUUUCUCUCUAAACUUUUAAGUUUGGAUUUAAAGAGAAAUUACUCUAAUAUACUUGCAAAAUGGAAUCAUUAAUCGAUAAAAGUAUUCAAAUAUAAUGUAAAUUUGGUUAAUGCACAUUUAAUAUUUUGUUAGAAAUCGGAUGUAGAAAUUAAUUCUUACCAUCUAUUGCUAUAGUAAAUUAAGAUAAAACAAUUAUUAUUAAUCCUUAUCAUAAUUAAUUGUUCUAAAAUGAACUUUAGUAUAUAUAUUUAAAAGUGAAAUUACAAGUUUUUUUCUUCCAAACUUUUGUCAAAUAACAAUUCUUUAUACACUAAAAAAGGCCAAUACUAUUUGCAUCGGGAGAGAAUUAAUAAUAUGUAUCAACUACAAUACAUUUUACUAUUUACGUUACAAUAAGUUAGUAUUUUUCUUUUUUUAAAAAAAAAUGGUUAAAAAUAGAAAACUAUUUACCUUUAAAAGAAAAAUCAAGUAUGGUAGAUUUUAUAUUUUAGCGAUUUUAUUUAUAUAUAUAAAAAAAACAACAACAAUUAAAUAUAACUCAUGCCCUCCUCAUCAUAAAACCUUUUAGAAAAAAGGAAGACAAACAAAAGCUCAAAAAAGAACUCCAAGUAGGAAAAGAUGGCCAAUAUGAGGAGCAAGUGUGUAAAAAAAGAGACGGAUUCGAGUAUUCGUGAAAUGUUGAACAACAACGAAUUUUCAUAGUUAGAGGAAAGAUAGGGGAGAUUCGAAAUAUAUAAACAAAGCUCUCUUCCAUGUCCAAGCAUGGUUGAGGCAUAAUUUUAAUAUGUACAAUGAGUUGUCUCUCAAGUUUUUUUAAAAAAAGAAAGGUUAUAUGGAUGAAUUUAUAAACCCUAAAAUUGGGAAUGCAAGUGAUGUGCACACGCUUGUAGAACGCGUGGCAUGAGAGGAGAUUUUGCCAUUACAUGUUUUGUUGUAUAAAAUAAAUUGGAAUUUUUUUUUUUUUGUAAGACUUUUUAUUUACUUAUUUAUUUAUUUGCAAAAAUCAAUAUAAAAAAAGAAUGUCAUAUUCAGAAAAUUAGGAAAGCAAAGGAAAUUAGAAAAAGAAAUAAAGGAAAGCAAACGCAUUUGGUGGUUGAAAUUGAUUGGGGGAUUGGUGGUGGAUGUGACUCUAAACAACUCUUUUAUAUAUCUACCAGUUGGUUGCAGAUCUAUCUCUUCUUCUUUUUUUUUUCUCAAUUACCAAUUUUAUGAGUUAAUUAAAACACUUUCACAACUCUAUACUUAUUUAGAAGGAUUUAUUAAACACCAAAUUAAAAAUUCAAACACUUUUGAGAAAUAAGAUUGAGGAUAACAAUGCAAUCGCAUGAGUUGGUAGAACAAGUGUCAUCGUCUUGAUUAACUCCUUAUUGCCACUUUGUAGAUAUGAAUUUGUCUUUUCAUCUUCUUCUAAGUCAUUUUCUUAAUGUAAACAAAUUUAUUUUUAGCACACAUGCAUCAUGAAAUAACUUAGGUUUCGUUUUAUAACUAUUAUUAUAUUUUACAUAGUUUUGUGAAGUUAGAUAUGUUUUAGUUUUAAUUUGUAUUUUAAAUUUGUUUAUUUUCAAAGGUGAUGGAAUAUUUUAAACUUUACUAAACAAAAGAAAAAAGGUUAAGAAUGUUUAAUUUCCAACCAAACCUACCAAUCCUUACCCAAACUAGGUUGAUUAAUGUUAUAAAAUACUGAUACAAAAGUUAUAAUUAAUAUGGUAUUGUAAUAUAAUAGAUUUUUUAAUAGAAUUAAUUAGUAUUGUACACAAGCUAGAAAUGUCCUUACAAUGAAAAUUAGAAAAUGGGUCUCUUUUCUAUUGAAUAUUUAUAUUCCUUAUAUAUGUGUAUAGUCUUUUCUUAUUCUUAUUAGAAAUAUUGCAUUGAUGUAAGGUGUAAGUUGAAGCAGUAGAGAUGUAGGUCUUGGUUAAUUAAUGAACUAAAACUCAUAUUAAACCAAUAAAAUGAAAACAACAAUCAUUUACUCUGAUUGUGUAAUAGUUUAAUUAAAAAAUGACAUUUGAAUAAGAGACAAUAUUGAUAUUAUUGAUUCCAUCUAUGACUUAUAUAAGGUAGCAUAGAAAUUGAACUUUCAAUUUUGUGGUUUUGUUAGUUAAAUUUUAAAAUUUAACUUUAUGAUUAUACAAUAAAAUUUAUGGUAUUGUAUAAGACACUAAAUAUUAAGAUCUUUAAAUCGAGUGAUUUUCACUAUUAUAAUAAUUCUAUUCCAAGGAUGGUUUAAGAGAUUGUGUUUGUAUAUAUAUAUACUUUUGCUCAUGCACACCAUAGCUAUGCAAAUUAAAAACACUUAAAUUAUUAUUUUUUGGAUUACUAAGCACCUUAGGUCAUAAUUGGUGUAAUCAAAGUAAGUAUUUUAUUAAUGGGUGAAUUUGGAUGAUAGCAUUUACCUAGAAUUAUAAAUUUAUGGUUCUUACAUAUUAACUUUAAUAGUUAACCAAAUAGUAAAGGACAACAAUAAAUGCAACAAAUUAAUUGACGGACUUAAUUACAUACUUUGAGGCAGAUUUCAUCACACGAUGAUUAACAUUAACACAUAUGGAUUAGCUUUUGGGCUAAACGUAAUCUUAAUUUAUUAAUGAUGUUAAAAUUUAAUGGGACAUUCUCAUUAUAAUAAAUUCAUGAAAUGCACAAACAAAAAAGCCAAAAUAUUUAAUUUAUUGUUUUCACAAUAGAAGUAAAAUUGUUUUUAUUAACUAAUAAUUCAAAUAUUUCUUUUAUAGUUUAAUUGUUUUCUAAUAACUUCUUUUUUUUUUAAUAUCCAAACUCCACAUUUUAAAAAAACAACAAAAGGAAAAAGAGAUUAAAAACAAAAAACAAAAAUAAUAUAUAUAUAUAUAUAUAUAUGUUUAUACAAUUCGUACAUUGUACAGAGAGCAAAGCGUUGAGAUAAUCGUACUCUGUUUCACCAUUUUUCUUUACAAACCCAAUUCAAAUUUUGUUCCUCUCUCUUAAACUCGAAAUCUUCGAGCAUUACAACACAAACAAAAAACAAGAAAAGAUCAUAAACCGAAUUCCACUAACAAUUAAAAAUUGAAAUUGAAAUUAGGGCCAAAUCAAAUCAACACAAACCCUAGAUUCCUUGAGAAACUCAUCCAUUACAUUCUCAUCGGCACAGAUCCGGGUCUUGUAAUUAUUGGCGUAACAGCAGUCGGAUCUGGGCAACACCGAGUUCCCAUGGGCAGAAGAAGAAGAAGAAGAAGAGGGCAUGGUCGUUGGUGGAGAAGGGAGAGUGAGGGAGUAGUCGGGAUUGGUGUCGUGGUGACGGAGGAGUUGGGAGAGGAGGAGGAGAAGAGAAGCCAUGGAUGAUGAUGGGAGGGAAGUGAAGGAAAUUAGUUGGGAGGGGGAUUGAAUGAAUUGAAAAGAGUAGGGAGAUUUGUUAUUAAUAAUGAAGGGAAUUGAAUGAAUGGCAUUUAUGGGCUCUCUUCCCACCGUUUGUAAGAUUUUCCAAUGGGUAAUUUAAUUACAAUGAGUCCGUCUUUCCACUGUUUAAUGUUUAGUGUUCUUAGUUUUCUCCGCCGGUAUUCUUUGUUUUCUUUCACAACAAAUGAAUCCAACGCUUAACAAAACCAACGCCAAAAAUCAGUGGGUCUCCCUCUCUAUGUGUAAGAUUUGAAGUAUAAGAAAGAAGAAGAUGCCUAAACUGCUCUCAAACAUCACUAAUAACGCAUCACACUUCACACUUUCACUUGUGCUGUUUUUCUUUCUUUUUAUGCUCUUCUUAAUACUAACUUUAUUUAUUGUUUCUCACUUAAAGUCAUUUUCUUUCACUCAUAUAUUUUAACUUGCAUUUGGGUCAUUUUUUUAUUUUCUUCAAUCCUAGUUUUUCUCUCUCUUUUUUAUGGAGAGUGGUGAAUGCAUAUGAAAAAAAGACAAGGUUCAAAUUUAAAUUGAAACUUUAGUCUUUAUAGUUUUAUAAAUUAUAAUUUAAUUAGUGCGAUUAUAUAUGAAAUUUUGUAAACAAAUCUUAAAACCCUCCUAUCCACUAUUUAAAUUGAAGUUUAGCCUUUAUAGUUUUAUAAAUUUUGUAAACAAGGUUACACUUAUGAUGUGUAUACAAUCUUUGUACACAAUUAUGUACAAAGUAUAAAAGAUCUUGGUAUACAAUUGUGAACCAAGAUUGUUAAUAGAUUGUAUACUUGAUCGCUUUGCUAUUAGUAUGUGAUCGUGUACCGAUUCAAGAUCUUGUACCAAACCUAAAAAAUCUUGGUACACAAUCGUGAACCAAGAUCAUUUAGGUUUUAAACACGAUCGUUUAGUUCGUACUACGCGAUCAUAUACCAAUAUGUGAUACACACAUGUAUGAUCGGUGUUGAUACUACCUACACGAUUGUGUAUCAUUGCCUAUACGGUCAUGUGUCAUUUCUUAAAUGAUUACAUAUCAUGAUCAUUUAGAAGAAGAAUUACGUGUGCGUGUGUGACUGAUUAAUCGCGUGUUGACUAGAGCAUUUUUGGUAUUUCGCAUCAUGAGCUUGUGGACUUUUUCCGAUUUUGAAAUUGCCACUUUGUUAUACUUUUUUGAAGAGUUCUUUUAUUUAUUCAUUUGUUUGUUUUGAUUUGUUCAUCUAAUUGAUUUGGUAAGACUUGUGUAAUUUUUUUAAGAAUUGAUUUGGUAAGAGUAAUAUGAUUUUUUUACUCUCCUUCUCUUUGUUUCUUUCUUCAUGUUCUUAUUUAUCUUAUUUUCUCUAAUACUAUUAAUAUUUAAUUCUUCUUAUUAAUUUGACAUUUGUAAGUUUUAAGUGACAAAUUUAAGUUAAGUCUUUUCUUAACCUUUCUAAUUGUAUACAUUUCACCCUAUACCAAAUUUGGUUCCUUUUUUGUUUUUAUAUUUCGAUUACUUUACAUAUCAACUUUUUACAUUUUUUUUAAGUGAAAGGAUUGCCAAAUUAAAAAAAGAAUAAAAAAAUAAAAGAAUUCAAAUUUCAAAUGUACAAAAUAUAUGAGAAUUUAAUAUAUAAGAAAGUUAUACAACAACAAUUUAAUAUCUCAAAUUCCAAAUUAGAGUUUGGUUUAUUUGAAUGCCAAGUUUUCCCACCUACUCUUUCUUAAAUUAUAAGAAAGAAAAAAAGGAUUAAAGUUAUAGAAAGAUGAACUUGAAUAAAUAUUUGUAAUAAUAUGUGACGUUGGGUAUUGAGGAUUAAAAAUUGGUGAAGAACCAACUCCAAACCUCUUUAAAUUUCUAACACAAAAAUCCCAAUCUUGACUUUGUAAUACCAUCCUUCUCAUAUCAAAUAAUAAUAACAAUAAAUUAUUGGUUUUUCCAAACAAGACAAACACAAAUGGAUUACUUACAAAUAUAUUUUCAAAUAUAGCAAAUAAACCAAAAUAAUAAUCUAUUUAAAAAAUAUAACAAAAUUUCAUAUUCUAGUUUUAAUCUAUUUGUUGUUAUUCAAAAUAUUUUUUCAUAAUAAUAAUACAUAAAUAAAUAUUAGGAACAGAGAGAGAGAGAGGAAUAUAGUAUCUAGAAAAGUUUAAUUCCACAGCAUAGUAUAAAAUACAAAUCCAAGGAAAAAGGAGAAUUUGUGUUUGCACAAUGUUUUCUAUAUUUUAAGUUGUACCAUCUCUUUUUACAUUCAUCUCAACCACACAAUACAAUAAUAAAAGAAGUUUACAAUAUUUGAAAAAAAAAAAACAAGAAUUUGUCACAUCACAAGUGAUAGGAUGAUUACUUAGCAAAAUAGGAUGCAUAACAAUGUCUCUCUUUAUCUGUCACUAAAAAUCCUCCAUUUCUAGCAAACAUUUGGUAAUGUUUGUAUGAGUUGAAUUAUUGGGUUGUGUAAAAAAAAAAAAAGAAACCUAAAUUCUCAAAUCAUCACUAUCAAUAAAAACAAAAAAGGAUUAAAUUAAAAAAGAAAAUCCCACAAAGCUUCAUCCUUGUUUGUAAUGUGUAUCUUAUUAAACUAAAAAAACAAGGAAAGAGAGGGGUAAUAGAACAAGUCUCCCAUUGUUUUUCACAUCCCCACUUGUCGAUCCCUUACUCCUCUCUCGCCGGCCUUUCUCUGCUUUUAAACACUCUCUUUCUCAAACCCCCUGUUUCUCCCCCCAAAAAUAAUGGAUCGUCUCAUCACCCUCGAACCCUCCAACCUCAUUCCCAUCCGAAUCGACCCCCCCCACAAAUGCUCCGGCGACCUCACCCUCCGGAACGUCAUGUACACCAUGCCUGUCGCCUUCCGACUCCAGCCUCUCAUCAAAUCCCGCUACACUUUCAAGCCCCAAUCCGGAAUCAUUCCUCCACUCUCUACUUUAACAGUCGAAAUCCUUUACCAUCUUCCACACGGCGUCAGUCUCCCCGACUCCUACCCUUAUUCCGAUGACUCUUUUCUCCUCCACAGCGUCGUCGUCCCCGGCGCCGCUAUCAAAGACUCUUCCUCAAGCUUCGACUCUGUUCCUUCCGAUUGGUUCACUACCAGAAAGAAACAGGUGUUUAUCGACAGUGGGAUUAAAGUCAUGUUCGUGGGGUCGGCUGUGUUGGCGAGAUUAGUGGCGGAUGGGGCUAUGGAUGAGAUUAGAGAGGUGUUGGAGAGGAGUGAUCCGAGUUGGAGGGCGGUGGACUCUGUGGAUGAAAAGGGGAGGACUCUUCUUCACUUGGCGAUCGGGCAGGGGAGAGCGGAUUUGGUGCAGUUGCUGUUGGAGUUCAAUCCGGAUGUGGGGAAAGUGGGGGAGAGUGGGAUGACGGCGGUGGAGGCAGCGGCGGGGGCUGGGCAGGCGUUGAUUGUGGAGUUGUUAUUGGCGAGGAAGGCGAGUACAGAGCGGGGGGAAGGAUCUGUUUUUGGAGCGAUUCAUUUGGCAGCGGCGGGAGGGCAUGUGGAAGUGUUGAGGCUGCUAUUGGUGAAAGGAGCUUGUGUUGAUGCUCUGUCAAAGAGUGGAGAUACGGCACUGCAUCUGGCCGUUCAAGAGCGCCGCCGUGAUUGUGCUCGGUUGCUUCUCGCCAAUGGCUCUAAACCUGAUGUUCGUAGUGCUGAACAAGGUUACACUUUCUCACUUUUCACUCUAUUUUUUACAUCUAACUAUUUUUUCUUCUCUCUUUUAUUUUUUUUAAAAAAGGUUAAAUUGUUAAAAUAUAUAUAUAUAUAUGAAUUUUUUUAGUAUUUAUUUCAAUAUUAAUUGUGGUCAUUAUUUAUAAAUGGUUCAAAAUUGUUGUAAGUAAUGUUUGUUUGUUUGUUUUUUUUAUAAAAAAGUUCACAACCUUAUUUAAAUAUUGAAUGCUAAGAAAAUUGAAAUUAGAGACAAGAUAUUUAAUUUAAGCUUGGGAAGCUAUCUUAAACUAAUGCAAUUAAUUAAUCCAUAUGGUUACAAAACUUUCUUUAUCAAACCAUUUUUUAGUUGUUUAAUUCUCCGUGGUUUCUAUUUAAUUAAUCAUUAGUCUUAGGAAGUGUCAAUUACAAAUUUAAAUUUAUAAUUAUCCAUCCAUUAACGAGUUGACUAAGGGUAGACUAAAAAACAAAGCAUUGUUGGGCAAAAAUGACAUUUCAAUUGAUUAUUUGUUUGAUAAUUAUUUAGUUUUUAAAAUUUAUUUGUGUGUUCCAUUUUUCACCAUUUUUUAAAUGAAAAGGUUAAAUUUUGCAAUUUAAGUACAAAAAUCUGUAGUUAAUGUGAAAAGCAAAUAUUCCUUUGUAACUAAAAUGGUGGUUCUUAUUUACAACACAGGAGAUACGGCGCUGCACAUGGCCGCAAGAAUCGGUGAUGAGCAAAUCGUUAAGCUUUUAAUUCAAAAAGGAGCCAACAAAGACAUCCGAAACUGGGUUGGAAAGCGUCCAUACGACGUUGCAUUUGACCACUCCCACACCCGCCUCUUCGACGUCCUCCGCCUUGCCGACAAGCUUGCCACUGCAGCACGCAAGGGCGACGUUCGCUCAAUUCAACUCCUCGUCGACAGUGGUGCUGCUAUCAAUAGUCGCGAUCAAAACGGCUGGACAGCACUCCACAGAGCUGCCUUCAAGGGCCACACCGACGCCUCAAGAGCCCUCAUCGAUAUUGGUAUAGAUGUCAAUGCUAAGGACGACGACGGCUAUACUGCACUUCACUGUGCUGUUGAGGCUGCUCAUGAUAACGUUGUCCAAGUACUCGUCGAGAGAGGCGCCGACGUUGAGGCGGUGACGAAUAAAGGGUUGAGUGCAAUGCAAAUUGCUCAAUCAAUGCAGUAUACAAGGACUAUGAGGAUUUUGAUGCACAGUGGUGUGAGUAAAGAUCACAUCGACGUGCCACCGACGCGAACGACGUCGUGGCAGGGGUUGGCGAAGAAGAAACAACAGAGUAAAGGAAGAGGGAGAAUCAAGAGUUUGAGGAGUACGGACUUUGAUAAAUCAGUAGCACUGUCAGUGGUGUGAGAAAAUUUGUAAAGAAUUUGGAGGGAACAUGAUCACUAUAUUUAAUUAGUGUUUUAUAUAUAAAUGUGGGUGUGUAUUUUUUGUAUGUACGGGAAUGAGAAUGUGAUGAGAUGAAUUAUAUGUAUAUGUAUAUUUUCCAUCACUUGUUUGUUUAAAGUUGAAGCAACUUUUAUAAUAAUUAUUGGAAUUUUGUAAUUAAUUCAAACUUAAAUGGGAAGAAGUUUCUGAAUAUUGAUGUCUAAUUUUAAAAAUAUUGUAAACAUUAACAAAUAAUUUGACAAAUUUAUGAUUGUUUUCUAAAAAUAGAAUAUAAGAAUAGAUGAAAAGUAUAAUUGUUAAGAACUAGGGGCGGCCUUGGUUUUUCAAUAUAUAUAGUAGAGGUCAAUUUUUAAUGUUGUCACAAACUUCUUUGGGAUUCUCACACCACCCUUCAUCUCUUCCUAUCAAAUCAAUCCACCUUUUUAAAUUUUUUUUUUUAUUAUUCAUUAUAUAUAUACAUUUGGACAAAUAUAAAAAUUAUUUCAGUUAAUUUCGUUAUAAACCAAUCUUCUUUCUCACCAUGCAAAUAAUUGAUAAAUAAGUUAGCCUCCAUUUAAUUUAAUCACUAUUUUGUUUCUCGUUUUUACGUGAAAAUUUCUAUGCCCACUCGUAGUUGUUAUAUAUAAAAAAAAAGUUAAUAAAUAAUUGGAAGAAAAUGAUUAAAUAUAAGUUUAGGAAAUAUAAUGUUUUAAAUUUAUGAAUAUUAUUUAACAUUGAAAUGAAAUUUAUUUUAAGAGUGAUAAAUAGUCAACGGGAGCCAUGUGAUAGGUUUUUUCAAAAUGCCAACUUCACUUUACUUUACUUUUAUCUACAAUUAUGUUACAUAUAUUAAUUAGUAUCAUUAUUUAUCAUAGGGGUGUUGAUUUUUUAAUGGUACAUAUAAUUUUUAAAAAGUGAUGAUAUUGGGAUGGUUGACUUAGAAAAUGAUUAGUUUGGCAAGAUGAGUGAUGAGAUUGAUCCUGUAAGAUGUGUAGUCCAUAAAUAUGAUCACACACCUUGACACAAAGAAUAAUAAUUAAGUAGUCAUAUAAGCUCAAAAUUAUUUACAAACUUGAAAGAAGAAGAAGAAUAUGGCAGGAAUAAUGAAGAAGAUCCAGGAAACAGUGCAGAGCCAUAAGAAGCAACACGAUGGGGAGAAUGGAGCUCAUGAAGGAGUUGGGAUUGUGGAGAAGAUGAAAGAGAAGAUCCAUGGUUACAAAGAGAAAAACAAAGAGAAGAAGAAGCAAAGGAAGGAGAGGAAGGAGAAAAAAGAAAAAGAGAAGAAGGAGAAAAAAGCCAAACAAAAAGCAGAAGAAGCAGAAGAAGAAGAAGAUGGGGGUGAAAGCAGCGAUGGCGAUAGUGACGACAGUGGUGGCGGGAGCGACUAAUAAGUACUGUGUGUCUUAGCGUUUCGUCCUUUCUUCUUCUUCUCUUUUUCGAUUCCUUUUUAGCUUUCUAUUAGAAUAAUAUUGCAUGAUUAAAUAUGGAUCGGAGUUGAAAUUCAAACUUAUUUCUUUUGUGUUUCUUCAAAUUUGAAUGUGUCACAUUUUAUCAUACAACAACACCACACAAGAUCUUAGAUGGUCAUUAAUAUCUACAUGGAUGUUGUCCUUCAUCCAUGGUGCUCCUUCGACUUCUCGUGCGUCUCUUGUUUUUCUUCUUCCUCCUCUUUUUUUCUCUUUAAAAGUUGAAACAAAAUUUAGUUUUAUAAUAUAUAUAUAUAUAUAUGAAUCCAAAUGUAUUAAAAGAAAACUAUCAAAAGUUUACCGUAUCUAAUGCAACCUAAUUUCUGUGCAAAAUUCAUCUCAACAAUCAAAAUCUUUAUAUAUUUUAAAUGCUAUCAAAUUUUUUGAUCUACAAUGUGUGUAGGAGUGUUUUUCCAUUGAUCAAGAUUUUUAUCUUAAAUGAUGCUAACUCAAGUCAACCACGAUUAAAUUGCCGUAAAAAUGUUGUAUUAAGAAAAUAUUUAAACUUUAAAGUAAGUACACAUUACAUUAUUGAUAAAUUUCAUAUUCAAAACUAAAAGUUUAAAUUAGCAUAGUUUAACUAUGCCAUAGAAUUUGUGCUAUCGACUUAAAUGUGAGAAUUUCAAUUCUUCUUUGAUCUUCUAGUGUUAAAUAAAAUUUAAAACUAAAAAGAUUUAUAAAUACUCGACCAAAAUCUAGUAUUUGCCUCUCAAAGAAUACACAACCAUAAAUACACAUUUUGCAAAAAUAAAAAAAUGCAAAUAUAUACACAAUAAGGAUUGAAAUUUAAAAAAAACUAUGAUUGUUUUCAAAUAUAAUAAAAGAAAUAAAAAAUUUAUAUGAUAUAAUAAAAUUUUAUAUUUUAACGGUUUUAUCAUUUAAAACAAUUUUUCAAGUUCGAAAAAUAAAAUUAAAACAACGAGUAAAGAAUACAUUUUCGAAAAAGGAAACAUACAAUAGGUAAAGAAAUAAAUAAGAAACAAAGAAAAGGAAAAUGAUAGAUUAAAAAAACUACAAUUUUUUUUGUGGAGUUUCUCAAAUUUGAACCAGUUUUACGACUAUAUUUUCAAAUCUAAAAACAAGUUAUGAAAGUAUUUUUCAACAAAUUUGUUUCUUGAAAAUUGAAAAUAAAUAGAAAAGCAUGAAAAGAAAAAGGACUAUUCUAUUUUUAAAAUAUUAUUUAAAACUAUUUCUCUUAUAUCAACUUAGUCGUGGAGACCCACAAUUUUAGGUUUUGAAAUAUAGAGUUGCAAUCAUUUAAACUCUAAAUUAAUAAUGGAAGCAAUUGAAAUCUUUAGCUUUUGUAAAUAUAUCAAUCCAUGCCCUUUUUCAAAUAAAUUGUGAUGAGUACAUCAAUUUAGAUCCUUUAUACAUCAAAUCAUCCCUUCAAAUCUUAAAAUUGACCUUUUUUUUCCAUUUGUACUUAGUGCAAAAGUCAUAUUUGUACUAUGGAUUUUUUUUUUCUUUUCGUUUUAUAAAAUAUAGUAAAAUGUUUCAAACUUGUUAAAGUUAAUUUAAUGCUAUUAGUUUAAUUUUUGUUUGCUAUCUAUAAUCAUUUCCCCAUCCCUUUUAGUAUUCAACAAACAUAAUAGCAAAUUUCUUUUGGUACCCAAGCAUUUCACAUAAUAAAUAGAACACAAGAGUGAUUUUUCUUUGGUCCUCUAACCUUCAUUUUCAAUAUGUUUAGGAGACAGCUGUUUCAUAUAUGGCAGAUAUUUCAAAAUUUAAAGCUUCCAAAUAAAACUAAAUCUAAGGUUGUUUACUUCUUUUGGUACCCAGUAUUGAACCAACCCAUGUCACAAUGGAUCGUUGGGAAUCUACAAACUCACUCCAGAUUUUAUAUCAACAUUCAGAAUUUUCAUGGUGAAACUGUUUUGAAUUUUGAUAUCCUUUUUUUAGAGUCCCAACAAAUGACCUAUUAGUACUUGGAAGCAAUUUUUAUGCAUUUCUGUUGUUUCUCCAACUAAAGUGAGUUUCCCGUAAUUGAUGUCUCCGAUCUUCUUCCCUAAUUAAAAGUAAAAUGUUGGAUUUCCAGUCCGAAUAAUAAUAAUUAAAAAAAACCACCAUAGAGAUGUUAUGAACAUUAGUAAAGAUCAUAUAAAAUCUCUUAAUCUUUAUUAUACAUCACACAUACAGUACAUAACGUAGUCUUAGAUUAAAAACAAAAAGAAACAAAGAUAGAGAAACAGAGAUCGGAAACAGAGGGAUGAUUAAUUAAACCAAAAGGGAGUGAGAUUAUUCUUGAACACACCAGCACGCGAUCGGAACACAAUCUACCUCUUAAUAAUGAUUCCGAGAUCUGACCCAUCAAUCGCUAUCGCUAUCGCUGCUGCUAUCUCCACCUUCGUGUUUGUGGCCGUGCUCACCCUUCUUCUUCUUCUCCUUCUUCUUCUUCUCCCCUUUCUCCUCAUGAUGAUCACCCCCAUGGAUCUUAUCCUUGAUCUUGUCCAUUAUCCCUUCCUUGUGCGCCCCUUCUCCAUGGUGCUCCUCGUGCUUCUUGUGUUCAUCGUGAUGCUCACCCUUGUGCUCGCCCUUGUGAGCGUCGUGGUGCUCUCCCUUGUGAUCGCCUCCAAUGUGGAGCUUCUCGCCGAUUUUCUCAAUGAAUCCAGACAUGUUUUGAUGAUGAAUUUGGAAUGGGGUUUUGAAGAGGAUGCGUGUUUGUGGAAAAUGGGGAAGGAAAGAAGGGGAAUUUAUAGAUGGCGAGGGAGGAGGAAAGACGAAUUGAAACGAAUAAAUUCAGUUUAUCCACAAUGUAUCCGUUGAUUUUGAUUGACGUUAUCUUAUUGCUUUAAUAAUUGCGUUUUUUUUAUAUAUUAUUAUUAUCCUUUUUUUCUGAUUCGUUUACGCGGUAACGCCACGUGUCACACGCUCUUCACCACGUCUUUGUUUUUUCCCUUUCACUUUCUAUUUAAUUCUAUUUUUUUGCUUUCAAUCAUACUAAAAAUAAUAAUUAGAUAUCUAAUCAGAAAAGUUUGGAGAAUUUGUUAGAAUAAAUUGUGCCAUUUCUACAGGUUAGGUUCAAGAUUUUGAAUGGGUUUGCGUUCCACCAAGUAAAUAUGAAUAUUAAUUGUAAAGGAAACUAAGAAAUUGAAUCUGAGAUUUUUUUAAUCAAAGAAAUUUACUGUGUUGGAUUGAGAAAAUUUUAAGUGUAUAUCAUAGUGUGUAUAAGAUAUGAAGUAAACUAAGUAUUUAUAGACUUAUUAGGUACUUUUAUUAUAUUUUUUCUUUUUAUGUUUAAGUGAUUUAUUUGACAUUUUUUUAAAUUUUGAAUUAAUGGGUGUUUUUCUAAAGCAUUAAAGCAUUCACUCAGAUGAAAUCUACCAAAAUUAAUUCUGUGUAACUUUUCAUUUAAUAUAAUGGACCCAUGAUGCCAUAACUCAAUUAAUGUUUAAAAUAAUAAUAAAAUAAACGUGUGAAAUUAAAUGAAAAAAUAUUGUUUAAAAUGAAUUUGAUUUAGUGGUAUUUGUACGACGUUUGUUUUUAUUGUUAUCGAUAAAAUCUUACUUUGAUCUAUAUUGAUGAAUAUAUUUUUUAAAAAAAUCAUGAAAAAACUAUUAAAAAAAACGUUUUAACUCUAAAUAAAUCAAAAUACUUCAUUUUGAAGAAAAAUUUAAGUACUUACUAUUGAUAUUAUAUUUACAUUAGUAUGUUUAAGAGUUAUGUCCUUUAAUGCAUCUAAAUCAUGUCAAUAUCUACUACUUAAGUAUACAUCAUUAUAGCUUUAUGAAAACUAUAUCCGUUCUCCACUUUUGAAUUUUCUCAACUUAGUCCACUUAUUCGUUUUCUAAUGAAAACAUCAAAUAAUGUAUGACAAAAUUUCGAUGUUUCGUUUUAACUACGAAGAGAUAACAUUUCUCUUUUCAUUAUAUAACUCUCGACUAUAUUGGUUGGUGUUUGAAAAUUUAAUAUCUUUUAGUUGAAAAAUAAUUAUAUAUAUAUAGAUGUACUCAUUCAUCGAAUAUGAAAUUUGAUGUAUAGAGAUCCGAGUUUAGAAAAAAAUUACAAUAUUAUUAUUUAGUAUUGUUUCGAGUCACGAUAUAUAUAUAUUAUAUAUAUUUAUUUUAUAAACAUCCUUUGAAAUAUUAAUGUAAAUAUAAAAUAGAAGUCAUGGAUAGGCGUGCAGAUAUGAAAUAAAAUGAAAUAAUUAUUUACUAAUCCAACUUGUAAUAACAUAAUAAAUAGCAAUAAUAAUACAUAUGAAUCAAAAUUAAUUUACAUGUUGACAUUAAUUCGGUUAUAUAAAGAAAAGGUAAACCUAACAAUUUGAAACUAUGGAAAAUAAGAUGUUGAACUAGAAGAAUCCUAAAGUAAUGCUCACAUGUUGAAUUGAAGACUAUACAAUUACAUUAUUUCAUCAUCAUAGUGAACCACUAUAAGAUAGGAGAUUGAACCUCUCACAUUUAAAAUAGAAGAACAUAUCAAUUAUUAUUGAACCAAGUUCACUUUACAUUUAUAAGAAGUAGUAUGUAUUAAAAUUUUGUUUAAACUGAAUUGUAAUUAAAAUGAAAAUCCUAUCAUAAAAUUAUAUGGCGUGAAUAGGUUAUUUUGUUUAGUUUUACCUAUUUUUUUCACAUAUUCAAUAAUCAAACUAUCACAAAAGUGUGGGUCUAUAAAAAGAUAAUAGUGAAAAUGGAAGAUUAGUAGUUUUAAUUGAAUUUAAUACACAAAAGAGGAGAAAUAGGUAAUUAAGAAAAGUAAAUAUCAAUAUACUAAAAAGUAAAAGAAAUAUGGGCAAUGGAUUGUUUAUUCAAGCGGGAUUAAGAGAAGCCACUCAUGGGAUGCCACGUGUGAAAGAUCCAUUGCCGACAUUUUGGUGUUAUAUUUGUAGAGGUCUCCGCGUUGGCCGACAUUUCAAUCAAAAAAGUGGUCGGCAGAUAAAUACCACGUGUCGUUCAUCUAAGCAUCCACGUGAAGUUAUUCUUUUUUAUUUUUUGAUUUUUUGAUUUUUUGAUUUUUGUCGUGUAGUGGAAAAUGUGGGAUUUGAGUCCAAAUUUUGAUGCAUGACUUUAUGUAAUAUCUAAACUCAUAUGUGGUUAUAAUUGAUUUAGCCAUAAAUUAAGCCUUUCAAUUUGCACCAUCUAACCCAACUUUAAUUUACAUACUAAAUCUAAUAAAUCAUCUCUCCUUAUUUCAAUCUCAAUUCCCUUUAAUUGCCUCUAUUCUUUCUUUACCUAUAUUUGUUCAUCCUAAUUAAGGAAUUCUCUUAUGUAAGGUAACAAAUAAAAAAAGCAAUAAUCUAAAUCUAAUCAUUCCAUCAUAUAUUAUUUUAGUUUAAGAAUAAAAUAGUAAAAUAGUAAAAAAACUAUAGCAAAUAAUAGGGAGUUUGAAAUAAUAUUUGUAGUAGCUAAUUGAGAGUUUUAAAAUAGUAUUUAUUGUAACUAAAGAUUGUCAGUAUAGUUUUAUAUAAUCCUCGUCCCAAAUGACAUGUAACAUGUGAUUGAAGUAUAAUUAUACACAUUUUUUAAUUUUUUAAUUUUUGAAUAAGUAUUCAUUGAACGUGAUCUCAUCGAUAUUUUAAUUUGGUCGAAAUUUCCAUAGAAGAAAGAAUAUACGAUUAUAAACUUAAUCAAAUCAUUAAAAAAAUAUAGAGUACUAUCUCCAUGAAAAUUCAUGGAUAUCAAUGAUUACACCCACCAAAAGAAGUAUCUAUCUUUUUAUAAAGAGUGUUGUAUUCGUCAGAGUUGAGGUAUCCCGAGUUGUGUUACAAACAGUUUAAUAACACAGAAGAAAAAAAAGCAUAGAUAAAUAUUUAUUCAUGUAAUAAUUGAUCUCCAGAUAUGUGGAAAAAUGAAAGGCAGAUUGAGUUUUUAUGUUUUUGUUGUUUCGUAGUAUUUUUCUUUAAAACGUUAAGAGAAAAUCAAAUAUUGAGUAAAAAGAGGAAAGUAUUGUUUAAGAAUUUAUAUUUUGUUUUUCGUCAAGAGUAUAUAGUGAUAGAAAUGAGAAAAAAGAGAAUUAAAAGGAGGAAAAUUCUUCACGUGAUGAGCAUCGAAUUCCUGGUCCAUGAUAUAUUCUUCAACAUAUAGCCCUUUUACCCUCUCAUAAUUCACUCUUUCUUCAAACUCAAGAUUUCCAAUCUAAACCCUUUUGAUGACUUUAAGUAGUGCUGUGAUUUAUGCACUUACAAUGAUCGUCUUCUUUAUCUCGUAAACAUAGGGUUUUGGUUUUUCUUUUAACAAUAGGGUUUAGUUGGUCAAAUGAGGUUUUGUGUUCAAGUCCAUGCGGUGCGAUACUAUAUUAUUCCCUCUCCAAUUAAAAUUGAUUCACAUGUCGUGUGUCUUCUCACGUAUCGACAUAAUUUAACUUGCUUAAUGAAUAUUAAUUGAGAGAGCAAAUAACAAUGCAAGAAGUUAAACACAUAACUGCGUUUGGACCAUAUGUUGCUCUAACCAUUUUAAAUUGUUGAUUGAUUUAAAAACUUAAGUUAGAAUUAUGUGAAACUUAAACGAAUUUAAUCCUAUAUCAUCUAAACCAUACCGUGCAUUUAUUCAAAAGUGGUAAAGUAUAAAAAAGAGGUAGGGAUUUGAUGUUAGUCAUGCAUAUAUAUAACUUUAUUUUGCUUAGUUUUCACGAUAUUGCUUGAGGCUUCCUCUUCAAUCUUUUAGUCUCUCCCUCAUUAAUAUGUGUAUAUAUAUAUAUAUAUAGACACAACCAAACUUUUUUCUUUUCUUUUCCCUUCUUUUCUUUCAUUAUUAGUACUCUUUUCUUCUUUUGCUUUUUCCUUCUGCUUCUUCUUCUUUCUUUCUCUUCACUUUAUUAUGCUUAUAUGAAUAAAGAAAAAUUAGUGUAUGUGAUUUUUGUUUUUACAACAAAUUAUCUCAAUAUUUAAAUGAAUGAGUUUGACAAUUUUACUCUAGAUUUCUUUUAGGGCGUUUCUGUGUUUGGGUCGUUGGAAUGCUUUUAAUUAGGAUUGGUUGAAUAUAUGCUUGACCAUUCAAAAGUAAGAUUUAUUAUUAUCAACACAACCAACUUGCACCACACAAGGAGAUUGGAAUUUGCCAACACGGCAAACUGCCAGGAAUUUAGCUACAUGUGACGUCGGAAAGGUUAUCGCAACAUUGUUUUAAUCAUCAACAAUUUGGCCAAGGGAGGAGACCCGUCUAGCAGAGAACAAAUGUCGAUGCCUGCCACAUGGUGUUUGGGAGUAAUGCUCAUAAUACACUGACACAAUUAUAUCAUUGGAAGUUAUAUGUUCAGUCCCCUAAUGCCUCUAUGAAGGUAUCAAGAUCUAUUCUAAAUUGUCGACGCUUUAUUUAAUCGUUGAUAGAAGUUGUUUAUCUCAACAAUUUACUUUUGAUGUGUUUUAUGUAUGAUGACAAAUACGUUUUUCUUUUUUCUUUUUAGUAUUGUGCAAGUGUUCAAAACUUAAGUGAAAGAGUGUGUCAUCUCCCAACUCAGUAUCUUUCAUCAUCAACCUAUUUACCCAAUCCUUUUUCGGAACUUGAAUUUGAAUAUUUGGUUUUUACAAUCUGAAAAUGUCUGUUUGAAUCACUAAAAUCUCGUUUAGUAAUUAUUUUAUAUUUAGUAUUUUUUGUUUCGAUAAUUAAAUUUAUUUUUUCUUUUCUUCUUACAAUGAUUUACAACUUUUGAAUUUUUAAUCAAAUUUAAAAAACAAAAACAACUUUUUAAAAGUUACUUAUUUUAGAUUUCAAAAUUGAGCUUAGUUUUUUUAAAACAACUAGUAAAUAGUAUAUAACAAAUAAUGAAAUUUAGAUGUGGAAGUGAUGUAGAUAGACUUAAUUUUCAAAAAGAAAAAUCGAAAAAAUAAGAUGACUACCAAACGAGUCCACAAUUUUUUAUCAAUGUCAUAACCUAAGGGUUCAUAUAACAAAGUAUCUUGGUAUUGGUGAAUGAGUUAAUUUAACCAUAUAGUAACUAAAUCUCCAUCUUAUUUUGUCAAUAUUGGAGUAACUCCAAAUUUUUGUAAGAUUUUUAGUCAUUCAAAUAAUACAAAUACUAUGUAUGAAAAAAAUCAUUAACUCAAAUCACAUAAAUACUUUAUACUAAUACUUGGGUAUAUGAAUUAUUCUUCCAUACAUCAAUUAUCAUACAGUUUCUUUUCCAUAAAAGUACCAUUUAGAUAAUCCAAAAAUUACACCUAUAUAAGUUUGGAUGUAUUUUGGAAAAUCCAUCGGAGGAUGACACUCUGUUAGGGGGAAGGCCCAUUUGUACAAACCCCAAUUUAUUGGGCUUUUAAAUUUUCAACAUCGGCUCAUUUGAACAAGCCCAUCUUUAACUAUAAUUUGGGCUUUCGUAAAAUAAUAAAUAUUGAUAAAACUAAUUAAGGAAACCCAAAUUUUUUGUUAAAUAAUUGUUUGAUGCUAUAAUUGGAGGAGAUUGUGGUUAAAGCUUAUGUAAUUAAGGUAUUGGUAACAAUUGUUUUAUUAUUUAAUUGGUAAUAUUAUAUUAUCUCUUUACGAGAAAAAAUCAAGGUUGCUAGUGCACUAUUUGAAGCAUAUGUAGUCAACAUAUGUGAUGAUAUGUUCAACUAAUAACCUAAAUUUUCUAUAGCAUAUGACUAAAGUUGGAUGGAUUAUCGUAUCAAUACUAUUAUAUUGAUAUUGUCCAUUUUAUAAUAAUUACAAAUGAUUUGACCUAAACCGUUCAUAUGAAGACAUGUGAGUACCAAGGAUAUCUCUGCAGACACAAAUGUUAUAUCUCUCUUUGCAACUUUAUAAAGCGAGAAGAUAAAAAUUAAUAUUUCACAAGACGACAACCAUAAUCCUAAGACAACCAUAAUAUUUCACCCUAUCAUUAGUUCAAGAGAGACUUGAUUUAUAAUUGAAUCUAAAACGGUUGUUCAUAAAAGUCAAUAGAUCUUUUAAAGAUGCAAUAAUAGUAUUUAUAAUUGCAUAAUAAAGUGUUCAUUGUUAUUGAUCAAUAUAUGUAGACAUACCACAUGAACAUAUCUCUUGAAAAAGAACAAAUAUUGUUAAUCAGCGGGUCGCUAACGAGUGACUUGACUUUUUUGUAUCAAAUGCUAAGGAGUGUCCAAACAAUACAUUGAUGUGUCAAAAUAUUUUAACAAACUUUUAAAAAAUAAAACGCCGUAUUUAAAUAAUAGAAUUCAAAAGGGGUAAAAUAGAGAAUGUAAUUUAGUAUAUUUAGUCCUCUUUUUGUUUCUCUAUGAUUGUUAUUUGUAAAUAUAACUUUUCUCCCUCACUAUCUCUUCAAAUCUCUUGAGGAUAUUUCUUUACUUCCUUUCUAUUAGUUCAUAAAUAUGAAUAUAAUUAAAAGUUUGAAAACAGUACUUUUAAUUUAAAAUGAAAAAUAAAAACAAAAACUAUUCCUAUCACUAAAUGGAAAUAAAAAGUUUAUAAUGAUUUUAGUUUAUCAAAUUCCAAAUUCUAGAAUAUUAUUUUUCUAACAAUUUCUCCUUUUCUUUUUCAAUAAUGUAAAAUGAAUAUUUUAUUUUUUAAAAAUAAUUAUCAAGUAAACUUUUCAUCUUUUUAACCAACCCAUAUUAUACAUCAAUUUUACAAUAUAUAUUUUUAAUUUUGAGUGAAGAAGGUAAAAAAAAAAAGGUAAUUAAGAUAUAUUUAUUUUCCAAAAUAGAAAAAAAAAAAAGGAAAAACAAAAAAGAAGAAUGUGUACGGAUCUAAACUCUAUAAUUCAAACCUUUGCUCAAAUGGUGAACUUUUGAAAAAAGAAAAAGCAACAACAUUUACUUAAAAGGAUCCCCAGAUAUAAAGUUUAGAGUAUGAAGUGAUAAUUGAUUCAAUUAAUACUUUUUGUCCAAAGAAAAUAAAACAAAUUGAUUACUUACUUGUUUAAAUCUCCAUCAUUGAAGACUUGAGAAAGUGUUUUAAAAUUUAUAAUGGAAUUGAAAUAUUUUAUAAUGUAAUAGCAUUUUGAGUUUAAAUCGUAAUAUGAAACUCAUUUCAUUUUGACAGUAUGUAAUUAUUGUGUUAUCAACUCAACACACAUUCCAACGUUUAUCUAAUCUAAUUGUGUUGAUUAAUGGGUAUAUAAGAAUCCUUCCUCUCACUUUUACAAAGCAAAAUUAGAAAAAGAAAAAGGCAAAACUUUUGACCUAUUUUUUUUCUUUUUUUUCUAAGGUUUUAUCAAAGAUAAUGCAAUUACUUUUUGGGCCACUAAUUUAGAGGAGAUUUGAGUCACUUCUCAUUAAAAGUAUGUAUUCUCAUCAUGGAAAUUUUUGGGAAGGGUAACAAACUUUCAUUUAGCUUUUUGUUUCCCUUUUUUCUAUUGCUUCAAGGAAAAAGAAAAAGAAAAAGAAAAAAAAAGAUUAGCUUUUGGAUUUUUUUUCCCUUUUUUUCUUUUAAUCUUUCUUUUUAAUUACUUUUGUUUUCUUUUUCCCUUCCUUUUAAUAAAAACAAUGGGAAAAGGAAAAGGUGAAGUGGCUUUCCUAAUGAUUCUAUAUUUUUUAUGGUGUGUUUCUUUAUGUUAUAAUAUGAAAUUGGUUAAAAUAUGGCUUUUCUCUCCGUUUAGUUUUUAUGUUUUACAAGGAUUAAAAAUGAUAUUUUAACCAAUGAAAUUGAUGUUUUGUACUUAGUUCGACAACUCGAUUUUUAUUAUUUAAAUAUUUUUUAGUUCAUCACGGGAGGUAUAAAUUUGAAUAAGGGGUGAAAUUAACGCAAAUUACUCAUGAACUAAUUAAUAAAUUAAACUAGUAAAAACUUGAGCAAAUAGUCACAUAAUGUUACAAUGCAGCUCAUUAGAGAUUGUUCUCUAUUUUGACCAAAAUCUUUCGAAAAUGAAGUAGUUUUGUGUUGUGUUGGUGUUUCAUUGAAUUGAUGUUAAAUGGCCUUGAUUCUUGUGCUAUCUUCCCAACACCCCCACUUACAAAGGCUACUUGAAAAUUAAAUGAGUGAUAAGAUCUUCACAUCCUUUGCUUGGUUGGCAGCUCUUAUAAAUAUUUAAUGAUCCUUUUCCAAAGGGGACACCCACACCCCCCCUUUUCUUUUCUUUUUUUUUCUUUCUACUUUCUUUUCUAAUAAAUAAAUAAAACACACAGUCACUCUCUCACAAAGUCCUUUUCAUUUCAAUGUAAUGUCCCUUUCUCACAGAUAGUAUUUUAUCUCAAUUCUAUUAUCUCCCUCUCAUUUUCAUUUUUUUUUUUUUAUAUAUUUCUACCCUUUCUAUUUUCCCUUCUUUAUGUUUGCAUCUAAUUUAAAUUACUAUAAUGAUAUUUGCUAUGUUCUAUAAAUUAGAUGUUGAAGUUUUGAAUUGUCAUUCUCGCAGUUGGAUAUGCAUUACAUUUGGUUUUAAAAUAGUUAAAACUACUUUGGUUAUAAAGACUAAAACGGGUAUGGUUUUUAUAUGAAUUUUCUGGCAGAAAAAGGUAUGUUCUGAAAGCUCAAAAAGUUCAAAUAAAAUGCAUACAAAUAUUUUACAAAACUUCAUCAACAAAUAGAAUAAACCUAAAAGUUAUGUAAAACCUAGUUGAAAAUAGAAACCCCCAUCAAAGAUACAUUGCUGUUCUCAGUUAGUGGCAGAGGCAAUGGAAAGAAUAGAAAUGACAGAUACUAAACUGUGGAACAAAAAAACACAUCAUAAACCUUAUGUACCAAAUUUCUUCCGAGCUUUCAGAGAUUUAUAAACAGCUUUUAAGAUUAAAAACAAAAAAUACAUUUUUAUGUGCUCUGAUGGAAAAUCUAUAAAAGAGAAUAAAAGCUUCCAGUUUUUGCUUCCAAAAUUUGAGGAGUAUCCCUAAAAUGGCCUUUGCUAUCUGCAUUAGUUGUUUCUGAAGUUUCAAAAACACUACCUUUCGAAAUGUUUUCCUUUGGAUAUGGAUGAAUUCCAAAUGUGGUCCAUAUAGGACUCCUUGAAGCCUCGCUUGGGUUAUCCACUCGUAACGUCUUUGGAACCACCACGCAUUUCUCUGACUUCUCGUCCUCUGCUAGGCUGUUUGUAUCUCUCAAAUGCUUACCGAGUGUAGGCGAUGAGCUUGUGGGGCAGGUGGAUGUUUGAGAUGCACAGACAUCAGAAGGAACAACGGUUAAAUUCCCAGUACCGGUAGAAGUCCAUACGGGCGUACAACCCCAGCAUGAGGCUGGGACGAAUUGUAAUGGAAGGCUUGGAGUGCAAAACCCUGGAACUGCCAGCACUGUUGCUGGGAGCCAUUGAACUGGUGGAUUGGGAUGACUGCUAGUAUUUGGUACACUUGUGCUAUCUGAGCUUUGGGUCAUUGCUGAUGAAAUUAGGCUGCUUCCGCCCUGAUUCAAUGGAAAAACCAAUUGUGGAACGGGGUAACAAUGAACCGUAUUUGAUGCAGUGAUAUCACUACUAGAGUUGGACAAUCUAACUGCCUCUGGCCUCUCGAUGACACUUUUAGGCAAUUCGUUUCCACGAAUACUAGUAGUUGUCAUGGAAGAUCCGCAUGAGGAUGGUUCUUCAGGACUGUCUCCACAAUAUGCAGACCCAAUCUCAAUGGAUCUCUUCUGAUCUCCAAGACUCAGCACAGUCUCCAUCGAUUCACAAAGUGGUGCUUCGGGUCCAAACUUUAGGACAGUACUACUUCCAUUGGAAGGCCUCAAAGCAGAAGGAGACUCGAUAUUCGAGAGUAGAUGAUGGUGAUUUGUUGCAUCCGAAGUUUCCAAGCGGGUUGUAGCAACUCCCUCGGAGGAUACUAUUAUCUGUCGGUAUUGAGAUGCCAACUGCUUGUUUCUUCGUCGUCCAGCACCAAUAGGAACGUUUCUCAUCGUCCCACCAGCAGUCCAAUAUCUUUGGCAGUUCUUGCAGAAAUGCCUAGGUUGAUUGACAUUAUAGUUGUUGAAGUAACAAAAUUUUGUUUCCAAACUAUUACAUCUAGGACAAGGAAUGAUUUUGUCUGGCUUCUUAAAUGCUCUUUCUUGAUCCGUGCCAUUACCAUCCUCCUGCUCUUCUUUCAAAUGUAGUUCUGAUUCUCCCUUGUUUGACGUCACGUUCGAAGCUUGGUUUUCUUCAUUAUCCCCUACCAAUACCGAAGACCUCUCUGAUGGGCAAGAGUCUUCUGCACCUGAGACUGACUGCUCAGCUUUUUUCAAAUUGUUGCAAGCAUCCUGAAAACAGUAUUCAACAAAUUGACACUUAACAACAGUCAGAAAAGAGAAGCACACAAUCGACAUACGUCGAAAAAAAAGCCAAGAAGUGUAUCAAAAUCUACAAGGAGAUGGGAUUUUACAAAACAAGACCUCAGAGCCCUUCCCAAAUAAGGUAAAAAUUACAUUCAUUCAAGAAAGAUAGUACAAUAUGCAACACGAAUGAAAAGAUACAAGGAAACAUGAUAUAAAUGAACAGAACACUUCCAUUAAGGAAUCAAUCUUCAUCAAACAUUUUCAGCAGCUCCAGAUAUUCACAAGAGAACUUCAUUUAACCCUCAAUGGAUCCACUACAAACUGAACCAAAAAAACCAUCUGAAUUCCACAUUCAAAUUUGGCUAAAAACAGUUCUCCUAAUGAACUUCUUCCAAAACCACAAAGUUGGGAAAGGAACAGUAAAGUCAACCAAGGCCACAAAAACAUUACAAGAACAAAUCUAAACAAAAUCAUAUAUUGAAGUUAAAACCCAAUAAGGGCCCCAACCCAAAUGCUUAGAGAACCCAAAAAAACAUAUACACACAAUGAAAAGAAGAGUUGAAAUGAGAGUAGAAGAGGGGGAAAGAGACAACUCAAUAGAAGAAGAAGAAGAAGAAAAAGAAGAAGAAGAAGAAGAAGACCAAGAAUAUGAAUAAGACAGUUAAAUGAGCAUUUCAAUAAUCUUUUCCAUGUCCCACAAACACACACACACACACACACACACACAGUAAAGGCAUUUUUCAGAUUAAACCCAGAAAGCAAGAAGCCAUCAAAAUAAAGAGAGAAUGAAGGAAAGGGGAGGAAAUAAAAUAGGUACCGGAUUAUGAAGAGGGGCGGCGGAAAUCUGGGAUUCCGGCAAAGGGAUGGUCCGACCGAAGAGUUUAAUGGCGAGAUCCUUGAAAUGUGGGGGGGAAAUGACAUCCUGUGUAGUAGAACUGGACAUUUUGAAAAAUGGGUUGUUAAUGGAGAGUAGUUUGAUUGAGAAAGUGGGAAGGUUUGGAGGUGAAAAUCAAUGGAAGAAGACCCAUUCAAAUAUAGAGAGAGGUUAUGAAGGAGGGAGAAGGAGAAGGAGAAGAAGAAGAAGAAGAAGAA
Molecule: long non-coding RNA, 174971 nt
Filed under: Cucumis sativus (cucumber)
Lineage: Eukaryota; Viridiplantae; Streptophyta; Magnoliopsida; Cucurbitales; Cucurbitaceae
Description: long non-coding RNA (CSAT_LNC001269)
Source: RNAcentral